AAAACCGUGGUUACGGCAACAGGUGCAGGUGCAGGCGCAGGCGCUAGUGCUUCGUUGCCCGGUGGUGAUGGUGCUGGCAGCCGCACCAUGACAGGUCCAUCAAAGAAGGAAUAGGUCUGGUACCGGAAGCUGCACCUGACCUGAAAAGCUCGGGCCCCUGUGCUGUCCACGAACCACUUCGGCAACAGCACCAUCAUCUUGUCGAGGCACCGCCGGCACUGCAGCGCGGUCAGGUCCGGCGUGCACUGCGCCCAGCUGUAGAUCUUGGGGAAUUCCCGGUCGAAGUCGGCCUCCCCGGAGGCGUACCGGCGGGUGGAGUUGUACGCGGCGUAGUUCACGGUGGCGUUCACGAGCCGGGCGACGAGGCGGUUGAACUGGCCCUUCUCCGACGUGACAUUCGUGAAGUCCCAGUACCUAUACGUCAGCGCCGCCACCGGCGCGGGGUCGCUGGAGGCGUUGGAGUAGUGGAGCGUGCACGAGUCGUAGUACAUGGUGGCCACCUGGCUGUAGUCGCACACGUUGGGCAGGUCGCGGAAGGCCUGCGCGAGGCAGCUGAGGCAGGACGUGGCGUUGGCGUCGCCGCGGCAGAGCGCGAGGGCCCAGACCUUGUCCGGGGCGGCGCCGGCCUCGGCGGUGGCGAAGAGGUCCGGGGACGCCGAGGCGUUCCCCGGGAGCGAGGCGGCGAGGAGGUUGAUGUUGGCCAGGUACUUGCUGGUGCCGGCUGCGAAUUUGCCGUCGCCGCAAACCUGCCACGGGUAUCCCGCGGUGCCGGGCGCGAGCAUGGCGGCGGCGACGGCGGCGACGGCGGCGACGGCCGCGGACAGGACGAGCCGGUGAUGCAUCAUCGUCCCUGGCCUUGUGGUGGGCAUGGUACGGUGGAACGAGCAAGAUGUUGGAACGUUCGUACGUUUUGCACACGGGGGGUUAAAGUUAAACUUGCUGGUGCCUGGUGUGCCUAAUGCAUAGUGAACGUCCUUGUCGACGACCAUCUGGCAAAGCAAGUCCUUGUCCAUUUUCUGCAACUGGUAGUUCACGUCCCGAUCGCCCAUGACUGACGUACACGGAGUAGCAAACUUCCGUUUCAUUCAACUUUCUCCAUUUCGUUGAAUGUGGUCGCAAAAGGUGGCUUGGACUCAACAUGGAAAGCCAUGGAAUGGAAUGAUGCUUCAAGCGGACCAAUCUUGUGCGCAAUCCUGGUGCCCUCAUGGUCAUGGAUACCACACAGCCAAAAUCGCGGCUGUGCGGGCGGCCGGUCAUGAUCAACUUUAACACCAUUGGAUUGCGACUUGAUGCGCACCCACUCGUGGAGAAAAAAUGACAAAUGAUGCGUCGCCCUCGCCGCCGGCGCCGGAACCAAAAACGAGCCGGUCCACCUCCACCAGUCUCCCCCCACGCACUUCCAUGGCGAUGUCAGCCGGCUAUGCUGCUCUAGCCAUCAGUGGCGGAUCUAGGGAUGGACAGGGUGGUCCAUGGACCAUCCUCAGAUUUUCACAUAGGCUAUAUAUAUCACAGAAAAAUAAUUAAAAUGAUAUUUUUUUAUGAAAAAUUACACCGUUAGACCAUCCUAUAAUGUUGAGCUCGAUAUGCCACUGCUAGCCAGUACCGAGCAGUCGCUAAGGCCGUCGUCGAGUGUUCCUGGCCUCGAUAGCUUCUCCAGGAGUUGCAUCACCGUGUCGCCAAGGCCACGGUCGUCUUCUAUGACAAUGUUUCUGCUGUGUAUCUUUCCGCCAACCCAGUUCAUCAACGUCGGACUAACCAUCAACAAUUGAUGCUCCUUUUUUAUUUCUACUUUUGCGGUGUCCAGGGACGGAGCCAACAUUCAUGCAUAGAGGGGGCAAGUUUGCUCAUGGAAGGGGCAACGUUCAUAUAAAAUGAAUUUUUUUGCCUACAACAAUCACAACAUAGUAGAAGAAUCAAUUUGUUAGGGGGUCUAGUCCCCCCUCAUCCCCCCCUAAAUUCGUCCCUGACGGUGUCAAACACCGCGAAUAGCUCAAGUAUCAUCUUCUCUAUCCCUUAUAUGUUAUAGUUCAUCACGAAGCUCUAGUAGCUUGGUGGCAGUGAUUUUGAAGAACCAUCACUAUCUCAUCUGGAAGAUUAACUCCCACUCGAUUCAAGCGAUUGUAGCACUCAGACAAUCUGAGCACAUGCUCAACGAUUGAGUUUUUCUCCCUUACUUUGUAGACAACGAUUGAGUUUCUCUCAACAAGGGCACAAACAUGAAAUCCUAAUUUCAUCUCUUGGAACAUCUCAUAUGUUCCGUUACGUUCAAAACAUCUUCGGCGCCUCAAUUCUAAGCCGUUAAGCAUUACGCACUGAACUAUUACGUAGUCAUCAAAAACGUGUAUGUCAGAUGUUCGCAACAUCCACAGACGACGCUCGAGGUUCAGCACACCGAGCGGUGCAUUAAGGACAUAAGUCUUCUGCGCAGCAAUAAGGACAAUCCUCAGUUUACGGACCCAGUCCGCAUAAUUGCUACUAUCAACUUUCAACUAAAUUUUCUCUAGGAACAUAUCUAAAAUAGUAAAGCUACAGUGCAAGCUACAACAUAAUUUGCAAAGACCUUUUGACUAUGUUCAUGAUAAUAAGUUCAAUUAAUCAUAUUACUUAAGAACUCUCACUCAAAUAGACAUCCCUCUAGUCAUUCGAGUGGCGCAUGAUCCAAAUCCACUAACUCAAGUCCGAUCAUCACGUGAGUUGAGAUUAGUUUCAAUGGUGAACAUCUCCAUGUUGAUCAUAUUAACUAUAUGAUUCAUGCUCGACCUUUCGGUCUCUUGUGUUCCGAGGCCAUGUCUGUACAUGAUAUGCUCGUCAAGUUUAACCCGAGUAUUCCGCGUGUGCAACUGUUUUCCACCCGUUGUAUAUCAAUGUUGAGUCUAUCACACCCGAUCAUCACAUGGUGUCUCGAAACGAUGAACUGUCGCAACGGUGCACAAUCGGGGAGAACACAAUUUUAUCUUAAAAUUUUAGUGAAGGAUCACCUUAUAAUGCUACCGUCCUCUAAGCAAAAUAAGGUGCAUAAAAAGAUUAACAUCACAUGCAAAUCAAAAGUGACAUGAUAUGGCCAUAAACUUGUGCUUCUUGAUCUCCAUCACCAAAGCACCGGCAAUGAUCUCUCUCGUCACCGACGCCGCACCAUGAUCUCCAUCAUCGUGCUGCCAUCGAGGUUGUCGCGCUAUCUAUGUUGUUAAUACUAAAGCUACUGCCCAGCGAUAUAGCAAGAGCAUCUGCAAGCGCAAAAUAAAUUUAAAGACAACCCUAUGGCUCCUGCCGGUCAGGGCCGGCCCUAAGGGGGGCGGGAGGGGCGGCCGCCCCUGGCCCCCGAAAACAAGGGGCCUCCGCUCACGUAUGUGCGAGCAGCAGGGGCGAGCACUUUUAGAUCGGCAACUGUUUGUUCAAGUCACCAUUAAAUCUCUAGAAGCUGUGUUUCAGGGAGAAGGCUGAACCGUCAUCCUUUAGCAUACUGGACUUGGGCCUUUUUGUUCCUUUGGCAUGUAUCGAUGUAUAUAUGAUGGUAGGCCUGUUCUAAAUAAAUGAAGAAAAACGGCGGGCUGUUGCGGCACCGAUUCAGCAAAAUUUGCGUAUCCCUAAAAAAAGCCUGACUUUGCCUAAGAAAAGCAGAAUUACCGAUCAGUUGAUCCCAAUUUUUCGAUAUUCAAGAAUAGCGGACAUGACGACACUAUCUAUACUGGUCUACCCUAGUUUAUCAGUACUAAUUUAUACCAUAUUUUAGGUGCUCUUUAGAGAGCACACAUUAAACGGUAAAUUAUGCUGAAAAAUCAUAUAUUUUGAGAAGUUGAUUUGAGUUUAUAAAUUGAUGGCCAAGUGUUGUAUAUUUUAAAUAACACAAUGCAUCCAUAAUUUACAGAUAAACAUUCCAAUGCAACAAUAGUUCAAAUAUGAAUAUUACAAUCGAAACAUAAAGUUCCGAAAUAAAAAGUUCAAACUUGAAUUCAAUUUAUUUGGACACAUGUUCUAAUUAUCCAUAUGCAACGUCCACAAAUGCUCAUCAUCUUUUCUAGCACCUUCUUGUCUUACCAAAGUGAUGGUUUUUGUAUACUCAUAGCGAGUGACUGUCAGGGGGUAAUCAAUGACAUCAAAAACUGCACAGAGGGAGUCUACACCAGCGUCUCGAGGGAGAUCAAGGAUACCUCAGAUAGUUUUGAAUCUUGCACCUUCAUCUCCGAAGGUAGAACUACCAAUAUUGAGGCACAUAGCCUUGCUAAGCAUGCUUUUGGUUUGGACUUUGGACGCCAUGUGUGGCUGUUAAAUCCUCCAAACAUUACUUGUAUCCCUAUGAACAUCUAUGAGUUUUAAAUAAAGUAUGUGUAGAUUCAAAAAAAAGUAAUCAAAGGGGAAUCAAACAAACACCAAGAAAAUAUCCAAGAACGGGUCGGGCAAACGAGAUUACGACGAUCAUUCCCAACGCCAAUCUCUCCCUAAUAAUAAAGCAAAUACGGUUUCUGGUCGUCCCUCAUUUAAAUUACCCCCAUAGUUGGCUAAAAUUACCCACCAAUGCCACUCGUAAGUGAAAAAAAGGUUCGUUUUUCAUAUUUAAGAAGUCGGCGCCGUUCUUUGUUGUUAUAUCGUCCGAUACAUUAGCAGUACAAGAACCGACGAGUAGCGCAAUGGCUAAUGCUUCAAACAUCCACACUUGAGACCAGGGUUCGAUCCCAGGUCGGGGCACCCUUGUUUUGUAUUUUUUUUCUUUUUUUUCCUUCUCUAAAUUAAUUCAGAUUUUAAAAGAACAAAGUAUCAAAAAUUUAUGAGUAUAAAAAAUGUACGAAAAAGCAAAAACUGAUUGUGUAUUUGAAAAAUAUAUUCAAAAAGUCAUAAAAUAUUAAUGAGUUUGAAAAUAUUCAUUUCUUUUUCUCCUCUAAAUAAAUUCCAGAUUUCAAAAGAACAAAGUAUCAAAAAAUUAUGAGUAUAAAAAAUGUAGGAAAAACCAAAAACUGUUUGUUUAUUCGAAAAAUAUAUUCAAAAAGUCAUAAAAUAUUCAUGAGUUCGAAAAUUGCUCACAUAUUAUAAAACAAAUCACGAUUUCAAAUAAAUUGUAAUGGAAUACUAAAUGAUCAUGAUUUUUGUAUAAAAUUAUCCAGUAAUCAAAACAUAUUCAUGAAUUUGAAUAGCUUGUCCAUCAUCUUUUAGAAAAUCUUCAUAAAAAUUAAUACACAUCCAUAAAUAAUGAACAAAACGAAUUGUCGCUUACAUAAAGGUUUUAUUAGGAGAUCUGUAAAGGUCAUUUUAUGAUUUUAUUUAGACCUUUGCAUAUCAAAAAGUUGUGAGUUUGAAAAAAAAGUAGGAAAAUGAUAAACCAUUUGUGAAUUCAGAAAAAUAUUCGGAAAACCAUAAAAAGUUCAUGAGUUCAGAAAUUGCUCACACAUUGUAAAAAAUCACAAUUUCAAAUAAUUUUUCAUGAAGUAAGAAAUGUUCAAAAAUUUAAAAAUGAUCAGGUAUUCAAAGCAUAUUCAGGAAUUUGAAAAACAUCUCCAUCUAUUUUUAGAAAAUGUUCGCAAAAAUUAAAACACAUCCAUAAAUAAUGAACAAAACUAAAUGUCGCUUACAUACAGGUUUUAUUACGAGAUCUCUGGAGGUCGUUUUAUGAUUUUUUUAGUCCCUCGCGUUAGGCAAAAAUAGGUUUUCAUUUUGUACAACGCUGAGCCCAACCAAAUUGACACAACUUUUUGUGGGUUAGUUUUGUACACAAUUAAGUCGAGGCACAUCAUUCUUCAGUAUAGCUCAGGCAGGGUCCGUAAAUGCAGUUUGCUCAGCCACAAAAUAUUAUGUUGUGACGCCUUAAGAAAUCAAGUCGCGAUGAGGAUCAAAUUUUUUGUUUAUGAAAUCAUACUUUUUUAUAUCUACCACACAUGCAUAAUCUAAUAGUUUUUUCCGUUGCAACGCACGGGCAUAUUUGCUAGUUAAAAAAAACAGAAGGACGGCAUUGAUCGUCCGGGUAUUGGCGGUUUUGCAAAAAAGUCCUUCUAUUUUCGGCUAUUCAACCCGUGGUCCUUUUAUGAGAUAAAUAACGUUUCUUUUUACGUGAACCCCCUCGCAAUCACCCUCGUCAGUCCGUCCGUAGUAGUACCCCGUCCCGCAUGCAUCUUUGGUCUUGCUGAGAGACUCAGAGCCAGAGCGCGCCGGCGUCCUUGAGUAUGGGCACGAGCUCGCCGGAGAUGUGGACGGCCAUGAGCCGGUCGAGCCCGCCGAGGAGCCGCCCGCCCACGAACACCGCGGGCAGAGCGACGACGGCCUCGUCCCCGGUGACCGCGGCGGCGAGCUCGGCCUCGUCGGCGACCUCGUGCACGGCGGGGUUCACUCCGAGCCCCUGCAGCAGCCGCUUCACCACGUGGCUGAGGCAGCACCCGCGCCUCCCCACCACCAGCACCGGGCUCUCCGCGACCGCCUGCCUCACCGCCUCCCUGCCGUCGCCCCUCGCCGGUGCGCUCUCCUGGCCGCCCGCGCCCUCGGCCUCGGCCUGCUCGGACCGCCGCGGCCACGCCGGCAGCCGGCCCACUCUGUACGGGAUCGCUGCCCUGCUCUGUUGUAGAGAAAGCCACAGGCUUGUCGCCCGGAGCCCCAUACACAGUCGUCAUCCACCAGAGAGAGAGAGGCUCCACCACCACGUGACAGGAUCUCCGUCACCGUUGUAGGCCGGGCCGAGGGAGGUGGGUUGCGGCUGGACGAGGCGCUUACCCUCGCAGUCAAAGCGACCCGCGAGUGGAGGAAGCGGCGCGGGAUCGGCCGGACCUGGGGCCUGGUGGAGGUUGUGGACCUCUGGUGGCCGGUUCUGGAACAUGAGGUGGAUUGAGAAGAAGGGAGAGAGCAUCGAGUGGAUGGAGAAGAGGAAUAAUGGCGAUGUGUUGUGGAUAAGGGGCACGUAGUGGGCGGUGGGCAGGGGGUGUUGGACCAGAAGCUGCUGGAUAGUGGACACCAACGGAGCUACGCAUUAGCCUGAAAUGUGCACGAGACAGUUCUGCUCUGGUUAGGACCUCCGUGUGAAUGAAUUAAUAUUGCAUCGCGUCAGUGACAUGCAUUGGUUUGUUUUUUCAACAACUUAUUACAAAUAAUCCAAUUUCUUUAGAAUUAGUGCAAGGAGUAUGGUUCUCUUCCGUUGCAACACACGGGUUCUAUUUAUAUACUCAUUAGGAUAUUAUGUUCAUGAGGAAUUAAUUUGAAUGCAUAUAAUUUUAUGAUCCCGUUACAACGCACGGGUCCUUGUGCUAGUGAUCUCUAAAAGAUGAUCCAAUACUGCUGUCGAGAUUUCACAUGAAUCAGAACAUGGCUGAUCGAUCUGUGCAUUAACCCAAGAAACUAUUCUGGCGCCUUGAACUGGCGGAGGAAACCGUAACGAGCGAUCUUCUCCGACGGUGGGCGUCGGUCAUGGUCUUCACCUGCCGGUGCGCCUUGUUGACGAUGCCCUCCGCCUUGCUCCGGCGCCGCUCCAGCUUGCUCUUCAUGCGGGAGCACUUGAGCUCCAGCAGCAGCUUCCUCACCAGGCUCCGCCUCUCGCCCUGGUGGGCCACGAUGAGCCCCUGCAGCCGGAGGUGCCGGUCCUCGACGUCGUCCAGCGCCGCCUCGGCCUCCCGGAGCUCCGCGGCCAGGCCGCCCAGCAGCCGACGGUCGGCGUCGUGGAGGAGAACGGCCUCCGUGGCCAGCAUCUUGCCGAGCUUCACCAGCCUCUUGGAUGCGGUUUCGUCGAGGAAGGGGCGGCCGAUGAGCCUGGAGAUCACGGCCAGCACGUCCGCGGUGGUCUCCUUGCCGCCGGCACCGUCGUUAGUCGCCACCGGCGCCUUCUUCGUCGUCGACGUCUUCGCCAUGGCGGCCGGCGAUUGCUUCCCUGCACGCUCACGCUCUCCGGUGAAGCAGUAGCCAUAGAUGCGUCUGGCUCCGCCUCUUCCCAGCAGCCGACGGUGAAGCAGUACAGAUUAGAUGCACCACCCAGGAAGAAGAUUGGUCUCUCUUUUUUUUAACCCGGUAGACUCCUAAACGAUCAUAUAAACGCACAUAUACACCUAUCUAUAUGAACACAUAUACGCAUACUCUGUCCUUAUGAACACAUUUAAAAUACUGAACCGACAUAUUAUCAUGAUAUUUAUAAAGUCACCUCAACGCCUCUUCGUCGAUGAAACGUCCCUUUCCAUUGAAUAUGCAUCGUCAAAAUUUUUAAGAAAAAAUUAAUGCAAGCACCAAGAUUUUUCAAGUACAAUUCAGUUACUCUAAUCUCAUUAUACCAAAUACAUACAUGUAUAGAUACGAUCUUUGUUUAUACCAAACACAUACAGGUACAGGUACAGGUACGAUCUUUGUUACAACAACAACAACAACAACAACCAAGCCUUUCAGUCCCAAACAAGUUGGGGUAGGCUAGAGUUGAAACCCAUAAGAUCUCGAAGCCAAGUCAUGGCUUUGCAACGUGGAUAGCUAACUUCCACGCACCCUGUCCAUGGCUAAGUCUUUGUCGAUAUUCCAAACCUUCAGGUCUCUCUUAACGGACUCCUCCCAUGUCAAGUUUGAUCUACCACGGCCCCUCUUAACAUUCUCAGCACGCUUUAUCCGUCCGCUAUGUACCGUCGCUUCCGGUGGCCUCCGUUGAAUAUGUCCAAACCAUAUGAGACGAUGCUGGACCAGCUUCUCUUUAAUCGGUGCUACCCCAAGUCUCUCUCGUAUAUCGUCAUUCCGUACCCGAUCCUUUCUUGUGUGGCCACAUAUCCAUUUCAACAUGCGCAUCUCUGCUACACCUAACUGUUGGAUAUGUCAUCUCUCGGUUGUCCAACACUCUGUGCCAUACAACAUCGCAGGUCGGAUAGCUGUCCUAUAAAACCUGCCUUUUAGCUUUUGUGGCACUCUCUUGUCACAAAGUGCGCCAGAAGCUUGGCGCCACUUCAUCCACCCAGCCUUGAUUCGGUGGCCCGCGUCUUCAUCGAUAUCGCCAUCCUUCUGCAACAUGGACCCCAAAUAUCGAAACGUGUCUCUCUCCGGUACCACCUGCCCAUCAAGGCUAACCUCUCCAUCCUCGUGCCUAGUAGCACUAAAACUGCACCUCAUGUAUUCUGUUUUAGUUCUACUAAGCCUAAAACCUUUCGAUUCUAGAGUCCGCCUCCAUAACUCUAACUUUCUAUUAACCCCUGUUCGGCUAUCAUCGACUAGCACCGCAUCAUACGCAAAGAGCAUACACCAUGGGAUAUCUCCUUGUAUAUCCCUUGUGACCUCAUCCAUCACCAAAUCAAAAAAGAUAAGGGCUCAAAGCUGACCCUUGAUGUAGCCCUAUUCUAAUCGAAAAGUCAUCGGUGUCGCCAUCACUUGUUCGAACACUUGUCACAACAUUAUCAUACAUAUCCUUGAUGAGGGUAAUGUACUUUAUUGGGACUUUGUGUUUCUCCAAGGCCCACCACAUGACAUUCCGAGGUAUCUUAUCAUAGGCCUUCUCCAAAUCAAUGAACACCAUAUGAAGGUCCUUCUUUUGCUCCCUGUAUCUCUCCAUCAGCUGUCGUACCAAGAAGAUGGCUUCCAUGGUAGACCUCCCAGGCAUGAAACCAAAUUGGUUUUUGGUCACGCUUGUCAACCUUCUUAAGUGGUGUUCAAUGACUCUCUCCCGUAGCUUCAUAGUAUGGCUCAUCAGCUUGAUUCCGCGGUAAUUAGUACAACUUUGAACAUCCCCCUUGUUCUUAAAGAUUGAUACUAAAAUACUCCGCCUCCAUUCUUCGGGCAUCUUGUUUGACCGAAAAAUGAGGUUGAAAAGCUUAGUUAGCCAUACUAUCGCUAUGUCUCCAAGGCCUCUCCACACCUCGAUGGGGAUACCAUCAGGACCCAUCGCCUUGCCUACUUUCAUCCUUUUUAACGCCUCCUUAACCUCACGCUCCUGGAUACGUCGCACAAAAGCACAUGCUGGUAUCAUCAAAGGAGUCGUCUAGUUCAAUGGUAGAGCUGUCAACCUCUCCAUUGUAAAGGUUGUCAAAGUACUCCCGCCAUCUACGCUUGAUCGCCUCAUCCUUCACAAGAAGCUGAUCAUCUCCGUCCUUGAUGCAUUUAACUUCGCCGACAUCCCUCGUCUUCCUCUCCCUAAUCUUGGCCAUCUUAUAGAUGUCCCUUUCACCUUCCUUAGUGUUUAAACGUUGGUAGAGGUCCUCAUACGCCCGACCUCUCGCUUCACUCACUGCCCGCUUUGCAGCCUUCUUCACCACCUUAUACUUCUCCAUGUUAGCUGCACUCCUGUCCAGAUAUAGGCAUCUGAAACAGUCCUUCUUCUCCCUAAUAAUCUUCUGGACCUCAUCGUUCCACCACCAGGUGUCCUUAGCUUCCCUUCUACUUCCCUUGGUCACCCUAAACUCCUCUACAGUGACCUUCCGCAAGAAGGUCGCCAUACUCGUCCACAUCAAGUUUGCAUCGCCUCCUUCCUCCCAAGGGCCCUCCUUAAUGACCCUCUCCCUGAAAGCCUGGGAUGCCUCCCCUUGAGCUUCCACCACUUCGUUCUAGCUACUUUGACGCGCUUAUCCCGUUGAACACGAAUCCUAAAACGGAAGUCAGCAACCACAAGCUUAUGUUGAGGGACAACACUCUCUUCACGUAUCGCUUUACAAUCAAUGCAAGCGUGUCUGUCUUUUCUUCUAAAGAGGACAAAAUCAAUCUGGGUAGAGUGUGGACCACUACUGAACGUCACUAGAUGGGAUUCUCUCUUCCUAAAGAGGGUGUUAGCUACAACCAUGUCAUAGGCUAGAGCGAAGCUCAGGACAUCUUCUCCUUCUUGGUUCCUGAUGCCAUAGCCAAAGCCCCCAUGCACCUUUCAAAACCUGUGUUAGAUGUACCCACAUGGACAUUGAGGUCUCCUCCUAUGAAGAGCUUCUCACCAAUAGGUACCCUCCUAACCAAGUCCUCCAGGCCUUCCCAGAACUCCCUCUUGGUGCUCUCAUUGUGGCCUACUUGCGGGGCAUACGCGCUGAUAACAUUGAGGACUAAGUCCCCAACUACCAGCUUGACAAGGAUCAUCCGGUCCCCUUGCCUCUUAACGUCCACAACUCCAUCCCUAAGGCUCUUGUUGACCAAGAUGCCUACUCCAUUCUUGUUUGAAGUUGUCCCGUGUACCACAACUUGAAGCAUGUAUCCUCCACCUCCUUCGCCUUUUGUCCCUUCCAUUUGGUCUCUCGGACACAUAGGACAUCAGCACGCCUCCUCACCGCCGUAUCAACUAGCUCUCGUAACUUACCCGUCAGGGACCCUACGUUCCAGCUACCUAAGCGUAUCCUCCUAGGCUCGGCUAACUUCCUUACCCUCCGCACUCGUCGAGUCAAAUGCAAAGACCCUUGCUCAUUUUUCACUACACCGGGGCGUCACUAAGGAUGCGGCGACCCGACCCUUGCUCAUUUAUCACCGUAUCCAGAUCAAGAUACGGCGCGCCACCAAGGGGGUGACGGCCCGGCCCUUGCCCAUUUGACAUCACACCCGGGUUUCGAUGUGGCACCGGGUUUCGAUGUGGCGCGUCGUUAAGAGGGUUACGCCCCCAACGAGUUUCCUUUGGGUUUAUCUCCAUAAGAGUGGCUGGGUUUUUCACGUUGGCUCGCCACGCCUAUCACAACCCUCCUCCUUUACCCGGGCUUGGGACCGGCUAUGCUGAGACAACAUAGACAGAGUUAGGUACGAUCUUUGUUAAAAGAAAAGAAAAAGGUACAGGUACAAUCUUUGUUAAAAGAAAAAAGGAAGGUACAGGUAUGAUUCGGCUUCAGGUCAGCUGACGAUCGGCAUUGGCGUCUGUUUUCAUUCCUUCUGAAUGAGAUUUCCUAGAAUAUUCAGCAACGACGCUUCAACAAACAUCAAGCUUUUAAACACGCAUAAUAUCAGCAUUGUUGCUUGCUGCUAACAACCAGGAACCGAUCAACUCGUCCAUCCAUUCAUUCAUUCAUCAUCAUGCGGGGUUGUGUAUAAGUUGGGUGUGACCAAAAGGCGAAUUUACAAACGCUAGCAGUGUGCCCGCAGCUAUCCUGCGCCACAACGAAAACGGAACCAAAAAAAAAGGCUGUACCAAUAUCUCCCUCGCUCUCUUUGCAACCAGCAUUAUGUAUAUGGAAACCCUAGUGGCGAAAAAAAAGUGUCAAGCACAAAACCGGCGUACUGUAUGGCAUGACCAUCCUAUCCAUGCUACUAGUUGCUAACUACUCGUAUUCACACUGCCCAGCGCCGCCACCAUCUAAACCGGCAUGCCAAGAACCAGUGGCACUCUUAUUUACAGCGAAACGGAUCGACACGAAAAAUAACACCGUCCGAAAGGAUCAGUCCAGGGCGGAGAACUCAUGCUUGUCUUCGUGCCACUUCCUCACUGUACCGUCCAGCUCUGGGAACGCGGCUAGGACGAGGAGCUCCACGAGUUCGAACGCUAGCUGCUUUAAACAAACCGGGGACUGCACGGAAAACAAAUCGUUAGAUAUCAGUGGAGAAUCACACAGUUGUUAAUUCUAAUGUUACGUUUAUCCUAGAGUAAAGUUUACAGCGUAAGCAUAUGACUAGUAUGGUCUUCCGAACAAACUAAUAUUAAACAGGUAAAUUCAAAAUACUGGAACUAUGUGCACGCUGAAUGCGGAAAUGAGGCGAAGAUGAGUGAAUCUAUAAUCUUAAGUGUGUCUAUAUACAUUCGUAUGUAGUCCAUAGUGGAACCUCUAAAAAGACUUAUAUUUAGGAAGGGGGGGAGUAAUGGUGAUGUUUCAAGAGGGUUCCCUUGGAGACAACUAGGAGCUUUCAUGCUAGCUAAUACAAAUGCCAAUGUGCAAACUUUUGAUGAAAUGGCAGAUUUUCAUUCAAUAUGAACUGAAUCCACCAAUAAUGUUUUACCUGAAGAAAGAAGUACAUAUCCUGUGCACAUCUUUCGUACUCCUUUCGACCAACCAGACUCACUAGCGCUGAUGGUGCUUUAUCUGUGCACAUCAAACAGUAAAAAAACUGAAAGCAAAUAGAAGAGCUGAAAAACUAGAUAGAAAUCAGAGGCGACGAGUCUGAUAGCAGAGGAUCAUUACGCCUCUAGAAAUGCAUCAGCAAACCAACGGGAAAGGAAGUACAAAGUUCACCUAUUAUCAGUUCACGAACAAAGUCUGCACGAUGAGCAUCUUCUAAUCGUUGUUCUUCAAUCAGAUAGUUUGUCUUGCUAUCAUUCUGGGAACUAGGAGAAGGAGCAGCUGGUUUUCUGUUGGGAUGCUUUGUCAUGAAAAUUCCAUCUGGCCAGAGUAUCUGUACAUUGAGAAAAUAGCCUAAAUUAGGGAAGCGGUCAUGACUUACGACUUGACAGGAGAAUAGGUCUAACUGGCUAAUUGCAUUAAACAGAUCCCUUUGCAAAUUAUUGGUUGUUCGCACUUGGCACCUGCUUCGCUAAAGAUGUCAUAUGAGACUUACUUGUUCAACACGCUUAACUGCAAAAGCAAUUAUCCUCCCCUUCCUAAGUAACUGGAUUUUCUCAACAAGCCAGUCAUCAAAUGUGUCUCCCAUUCCCAAUUGCAGUAUUUGCUUCGCUACCCAAAAUGCUUGACGCCUACAAAAACAAAAGGUCAAGGUCAAACGGGUUCAAUAAAAAAAAGUGCAAAUCCAAAGGUCAAUAUUACAGCUCCUAAAUAUUAGAAUCCAUAAUCAUGGGUGUAGAAUCAACUCACCUGAUCCAGCCUCCAUCUUGGAGCUGAAAAACCACAUCGACAAGAUGAAAUAUGGGGGCACUAAGAUUUGGGGCCAUCCACUGCAUUAAAGUAGGUAUGAAGUUGUCGGUCAGGCAGCUAUCACAUACAGUGCGAAUAAAGCAAGACAAAAGAAAUAUAGCUCGAGAAGACAUACAGAACUGAUGGUAAGGAUGUGCAGCAACAAUCAGAACUUACUUCAUUAGGAGUCACUGAGUAUCCAUCAGAUUCAAAAAAUUGAGGUGUAUAAUCAGUUUGAGCUGACGGCUUUUUCUUAUCAUUUCCUGAAUUUAUCAAAAACGAGUGAUCGUUCUGUUCAGGAUCACUUCCUGAGUGGUCUUCAUAAAUAUUGGCACUUGUGUUGCUAACACUAGUUCCUGAAUUCUGUUCCUUAUUUCCUUUCCUCAAUCUCAAACCAUCAUGAACAGCAGUGAAGUCCUUAUCCUUCUGAUCAUUAUCAUUUUGGCAUUCACUUAAAGAUUGUCUCGGAGAGGCAAAAUUUCCAUUCAAAACUUUGGCAGAAUUCAACGGUUUUGCACCCCUCUCAUUCGAUCUUACAUCUAAAUUGACUGCAUGACAUCAGGAUGUGGCUUAAAAUUGUGCAUAAAGAAUUAGAAAGAGCAACCGGCUACUCAACAAAAAGGAGAUUGCUCACCUGAGAGUGCCUGGAUAACUGAUAGAGAAUCUGUGAAAAUGUAUGUCUGCAAUGAGAAAAAAUCACACAGUUAUAUACAUAAAGUUUGGAAAAUGUCGGGCAUGAAUCAUGAUAUGAUUUAGAAUAAACUAACCUGUGAAUCAACACUUAGAAAAUCCCAGACUUCAAUACAGCUUGAAACAGUGGGAAUCUGAAGAAGAUUCUGUAGAAUUAACAGGCAGAGUUAUUAUAUAUUCAGAAUUUAUCAUGAGCAGAUAACAGAGCAGACUAUGGAAAGCAAACAUGACAAAAGAUAAAAUGUCUAUUUUAAGGCUUACAGACCACAUAGCAAUCAUAGAACUGAAAAAAAAAAAGUUGACUGAUGUUAUAAGCCAGUAAAGUAACAUAGGUCACACGUAAUGAGCAUUCAUGCUUGCAGAGAUUAUUUGCAUCAUUUUAGCCUCUAGUCAAGCUGAUACUGAACCAUGUCUUGAACUAAGUACAUUCCAAGAAGUUAUUUCUAAUUAGACAUCUCAAUGCCAAUACCCAAACUUAUGGAGCAAGUGAAAAAUAACUUAGGCAUAUCUUCAGAUAGCACAAGAAAUGCACCUUCAAAUAUAUGUCAAGCAAAUUGCAUCUCUCUCGAACAACAGAAACCUCUAACCCUGAUGAGAGGAAAUGCUUCGGAGGCAAGUGAAGACUGUACUGAGGAUAUUCUUUCAGACGCCGAUGCAGCUCUUCAAAAUGACGAAACCUGAUUAAAGUACAUAGCAAACCAGAGGGGGAUUUAGAAUGCAAUUAACGUACUUGAAUAAUCAUCAUAGGCUAGGCAGCGUCUUUUUGGUCUUUGUUUCAAGGUAUUGGCAUCAUAUUUGUUGUGGGCUUGUAGCUGACAUAAUCAAGUGACAAAAUAUAGCAUAAUCACCUCCUCUUGAUGGACCAACUAUUACCGUUGGCAUCAGUUACGGAAACAGAAUACACAGCAAACAUGCCAGAACCACUUUUUACGAUGCUGGCUCCUACCACCUGAAUAAGGAAAUCUAAUAAGGAUAUGCACGACCAGUAGUCACAAGCAUCAAAGAAUAUUCAACAGAAAGUUUGUUACCUCACAUCUUAACUUCAAAUACGAGUCUUCCAACACAUUGGUGCUAGAUGAAUAGGAAGAGUCACUUGAUGCCAACGACAAUGAUGAGGCAUUUGCACCACUAAGCAUCCUAGUCAUACUUUCCACCUCAGUAUCAUCAUAUAGUCCAUCCGUCCUUGAAUCAUUCGCUGAUGUAUUUAGUAUGCCAAAAUCACCACCCGCCAAAAAAGAUCUAUCUGCCUCUUGCCACAAUGGAACCUUUUGAACAUUUGACCUUGACCUUUUCCUUCCUGACGAAUUCCUCACCAUUUUCAACUUGCUCACAUGACUUCUAUUUGUCCUUGAUUUAUGGAAACCAGACAUUUCAAGUGGAUGAUGUAUAUGAGAUGAUGUCCCAUUUCCUUUACUUUUACUGUCCCAAACUCUGGUUACAGGAGAGUCCAAGCCAGUUACAUUGUUAUUUUCGUCCUCCUCGGUGCAAUAUGAACUCUCACUGUCCAAUGCAGAAUCUUCUUGGCUGGCAUGACCUGCCAUUUCUCCAGCUAAACUUUUUGGCAGGUGGUUAGUGCCAUUUGAAUAUGCUGGAGUAGCUGAGUGUUUUAUCAAAUGAUGAUUCUCAGAAUUAGACAAGGCUGUUUGCCUUUGUGGAACAGGAGGAGGAUGACGAAUUGAAGUGCUGAAGGGAACUGACUCCUGCACUGAAGAAUGGGUGACCAAAGAAGAUCUAACAGGUGCUUUAGCAACAUGAUUUGCAUUUUCUGAUUUGUAAUUCUUCCCUUUGGUCCACAUAUUCUCAAGGUGCUCAGGUGCCACGACUCGAAUUUUUCGGUGGGAGCUGACAUCCAAUAUUUGUGCUGACUCUCCUUCAUAACUCUCUGCAGUUAUCUUGCUACAAGCUUGGGGAGAAAUACCAGUAUCCGGAUAGAUGUGAGAAUUGGACGGUAAACUGCCUGACUCAAGUGGAUGUGAAUCAUUGAUCAUACGAGAAUUAAGGGGUUUUGGUUUGAUACUAGAUGUACUUUUAGUUUUGCUUAGUUGCGUAUCUGAAGCAGUUUUGGACUGGCCCUGACUGAAUCUAACAAGUUCAACCCCAGGACUUGAGUGGUCUGCUAGUGCAGAAAGUUCAUCCACAGAUGGCAUAGGAGGCUCCCUUUGCUUCACCAAUGUAGCAUCCUCCAAGGAUCCUUCAACUCCUUUAUCUGCCUUGUUGGCGCGAGAAAGAACCAAAGAUUCAAUCCUUUCAUUAAUAAACCUGCAAAUUUUACAUCUCAAUAUGAUGGCACUACAAAAUACCAUGUGCAGUAGACCAUAUACGGUAUGUUACUACCUUGGAUUUGCCAAGUUUAUGACAGGCCUCAAAACUGUGCAUGCAAGAAGUUCUCGUGCAGUAGAAUGGAAGAACGAGCAUUGUAGAUUCUCAGGCUUGACUGUGAUUGAGAGCAAACCAUCAGCAAGACUUUGCAAGACCUGGAAAUAAAAAUAAACAUAUAGUAUGCAUCAGAUAAUCAGAUAAACUUUGAUCCUUGCACAGAUACAGAGACAUGUUGCCAAGAUGCUCAACUCACCAAUAAUCAUAUGCAACUGCUAAAUGAGCGCAUGAACUAUGAGGUAGUGUGUGUUGUCAAAGUUUUAAAUACACCAGGAACAAAAAAUAUGUGAAUGCCAUAUCUCACAAAGAGUUUAUGCAGGAAGUAUUUAACAUUCAGAUAUGCAUGUUUAAAUAUGUGUUGACCUAGCAGGCUGGCAAUAGCAGCACCAAAUUAUCCUCCAUAAGUAAUGCAUGAAACUUAUGAUGCACAGAAAAGCGAGAAGAUGUGCCGGGGAAAGGAGCCAAGGUACUUAUAAAACAUAAUCUAAUUCCAGUUCAAAACCCAAGUGUUCAUCAAGGUGCCAACCUUAUCUUGGAUAUUUUGCGGCUAAGCAGCUUACUAUAAGCAAUAACUUAAAGCUUCAACAUCAACAAAGUCUUACCUUGUAUUCAGCAGUGGCUGAAAAUAAAGCCGGAUGCAACUUGCUUUGAGCUAUAAGGGCGAGUUUCAGUUCAGCAUCACGACGCUCCGUCGGGAGUCUAACAAACUUCUCUUUUCCAAUCUUAGCUUCACAGGAAUGAUAAAGCUCCAAAUUAUUGCAUAUGAGAUCAACCAGGUCCCUGCAUAAGGUAGAUAAAGUCUUCGUAAGACACCCAACGUUCUGAAAAGAUAAAGAUACAACUGUUUGUGCAUUUCAUGAGAUAAAAGAAGCUUUCUAACCUGGUUAGCAGAGUGAUGAUGUUAAUGUUUCUUGCUCGUUUAGAAAUUUCUCCAAGGACGGAAUUAACUAUGCUGAUGAGUUCCUCCGGUCCAUCCUUAUCAGGUGUUAUACGGGAGUACCAAAGAUCUGUUACCCACUCUGUGACAAGAUGCCUUGUGAACUGUUCAAAUGCUGCUUCAACUGGAGGCGAAUUCACCUUGCUCCUCCAACCAGUACUUCCACUCUUCUUGUCAGGGGAGGGUUUGCUUAGUUCAAUACUUUUUGUUUUGGCAAGUGGGCGACUGGUACCAUGGUCUGUGGCAGUUGUGCUCUUUCUACGGAAGUCGUAGUCAAGUGAUAGGUAGCGAAACAGAACUAUCAAAGAUAUGGCGAAUGGGAAGUUAAUCCAAACUGAAGAGCUUGUCACUGCAAUGGAGAAAAUCAGGCAUUCAGCACAGCCAUGAGGGAGCAAUAAUAUUUAAACAGAGUUAAAAAAAUUGUGUGACUGCAAUAUAAAUCUGCCUUGAUAUGUACAGCCUUUCGUUUUUGGCAACUUUCAGAAAGACUUCAUUAAAUUGCUAGUCAUAUUUCAAUUUAACAUGGAACCUACAUGUCUAGCUCGUAUGUUCCUAGUCUUUAGACUACACCGUGUAUUCCAUGGUAUAAUCCGGCUACAACUAUCGGCAAAUAUACUCUAACUUAUACAAUUUCAUCGCAAGCUUGAAUCAUCCUGAGGUAGCAGUAAAAAUUACGAUGCCCCGAAGAAUUCACCAAUCAUGUACUAGAAUGGAAAGCAAACAGACUACUCGGAGCUAAGUCCAGUCUACAAAUUCCCAAUGCAACAUCUAGAACUCACUACAGAUUCCAGCCAUCUUGAAAUAGCAGUAAAAUUUCCGACGACGGCCCAGAGAACUCACACCAAUCAUCUAGAAUGGAAGCAAGCAAGCUAAGUCGAGCCUACCGAUUCCCAAUGCAACAAAUCACAGCACCAAUUGAACAAACCGAUACUGCUACUCCGCGGAUGCGCCUGAAAUGAUGCCUCCCCAAAUCAGCGCCCGCGCAUCAGGGGCAACAGGCAUAAAACCUAGCCGCGGCACCGACGACGACGACCGACCGACCAACCGAAAUCAAGGGCGCGCGCCCCGACGUGAGGCCGAGACCGCCGGUGGGGGCGUAGGUAGCCUAGGGUUUGGGGGGUGGGGGAGGGGGCUCACGGGACAUGAGGAAGGCGAGCCCGAAGGCGAAGACGAGGAGCAGCACGGCCCGCUUCUUCCCCUCCUCCGCCAGGUCGCGCACCGUGUGCGCCGCCCUCGGCGCGCCGCCCGGCGUCGCCAUCCUCCCGCGCGGCGGCGGGUGGGGACGAGGCGGCCGGAAAGGGGACGGCAGUUGUGGCUUUUUCCGGGCGACUGGAAUUUCUCUUUUGUUUUCUGUUGCGGUAUUCUUGUUUGCGCCAGGUCACUGUAACGUGGGCCCCGCUCGAUGUGAGUUGGACCAGUUGGCAAGGAAAUUAUAUACUCCAGCUUUAUUUAUUAUACUCCUACUAGUAACUAAUUAAUUACAAAUUGGCUUCUUAUCUUUAAAAAAGAGCUCUUUUACGGUACCCUGGGUGAAAUAUCAGCCGUCAAAUCUUACUUAACGAACGGUGACGAGUGAGUUAUACUGCCCCAGUUCGAGAGAUGGAAUCGUGAACUCUAUAGCCUGCACUGUGCGGCUCGAGUCCUCCAGUAUAGACGUGGCGAGGGCAUUUUGGGAAGAAAAAAAAACAGCCGCCCGCGAGGCCAUUCCACCCCAUCCUGUCCCUCCCAGUUCGUUCCCCACCACGCUCACACUCGAUAGGGUUCCGGCUGUCGCCGUUGUGUGUUGCCCUUCCGCCCCCUACUCAUCGUAGCCGCCGACACCUCCCCCUCCUGCUCCCGCUCCUCGUCGUCGUCGCCACACUGCGGAGAGCGGCGCCAGCCGCGGGCGUCGCGGAGUCGUGCGCUCACUAGGGUUUUGGCCACCACCGGCGUGUGUUGCCCUCCCUCCGCCGCACAGAUAGGGACCCAUGGCUCCUUCGCCUCGUCGCCGCUGGCACCUACCCCUCCUACUCCCGCUCCUCCUCCUCGUCGCCGCGCUGCGGGGAGCGGCGCCGCGGAGUCCUUCCGAAAAGAGAAAGAGUGCAUGGUGGACACUCGUCGUAGUUCCGCGGACGGCAGCGGACAGGGAAAGGGCGGCGGGAAGCGCGCGCCGUCGUCGCCGCUGCAGCACCCGUCCUCCGCCUCUCCCAACAAGCGCUCCAAGGUGACCCUGGCCGGGCUGGGCCCCCUGUCCAACAAGCGCUCCGAGGUGACCCUGGCCGGGGUGACCCCAGGAGAAGCCGCCCGUCGCCGCGGCGGCGGAGGCGGAGCAGGGGCCGAGGACCUCGAGGUCAAGGCCUGCUAAGGCGGCGGGGAAGACGCUCGCGCCAUCGACCGCGCGGAAAGCGCUGCCUGCGGCGGCGAGGACGGGGUCGCAAGCGAGGCAGUCGCCGCACUAGGGGCCGUGGGCGAGGCUGCUGUCACACUACUUGCAGUGAUUCAUUUCACCACCAUCCCAUCGGACCAGCGACUGCUUGGAUCGUGGCCGGGACUUGCAGUGAUUACAUUUCAAACAGUAACUGGAAGUUCAGUACACUUUAGAGGACUACAUGUUGUUAUCACAGUUUGCAGGGAGUUGCCUGGAUAUUCCUGGGGCUGGGGGAGUUCAGAAACAGUUUCAGGAAGAGAUGAUGGAUUGUGCAGUAGUAUUUGAUUGUGAUGCGUACCUGUCAAAUGGUUUGCGGCCAGUCAGGAGCUCUAACAUGACGACUCUGAAGCUAUAUACAUCGCUCUUUAGUGAGUAUUGGCACAUGGCUGCCUCAGGUGCCCUAUAUCCUGAGUUUUCUUCUGAUUCCUGGAAUUGAUGCUACGCAAGUAAGUAAUUGUUGAUAUAAAUGUUUGCUCCUAAAUUAUGAUCAUUAGCAUUUGCAUUGUGAAAUGUGCAGAACACCAAACUCAGUAUCAUCUCACUUGUUUGAUCCGAUACUAUCUAGCCUUGCAUCCAACAAACAAGAAGUAAUAGUUAUACGAUCCUAGCUAACUUUAUUAUGUUACUUGAACAACAACUCAUGCUUGAUUCACUAAAAUUAUCCUUGAUUAAAUUGACGUCGUGCUAUUUGAAUAUUUAACUUUGGAUAUAAUAGCAUAAAUAAAAUAGUAAUAUGCAGCAUUUUCGGCUGCAAAAUGACAAAUAAUUCCAGCAUUUUCCUUUGAUGAUGUUAAUCUUAAAUUAUGUGAUAUUCCUGCAGGUUGUCAGGAAGACUGAGGAUAUUGUGCAUGACAUUACCUGGAAUUCCUGGUUUGGAAUAAAAUCUCCAUAUCCAGAAUCUGAAAGGUGGGGGUUCAGCUCACUAUCCAGUAAAACAUUUGAUGACUUAAAAUUCUUGUGGACCAUAGAUGGCGAACAUGUUUCAUGUAGGUACCUGCAGAAUUCACAUGAUUGUUUCUGAUAUGAAUUUUAUUUCUAGAUUAACACGAAGGAUUAACGCUGGUGUCUACUGCUCGGCCUUGAAACCGACGUCUACUGCUCGUCCACUACGUAGGCUGGUCGUUUUUGGCAGAGGAGGCCACGAUGGCUGGCCGCCCUGCCUACCCUGUAGGAUUCCAGUCGACGCCAACAUUCAUGGCGUCUUGAUUUCCAUGUAAGUAGCUUCUCCCUAAUCCAUGCUGGUAAAGUCCCAGAGAACUGAUUAUUGUUUAAGUCGUGUACAUUUCUGCAGCAGCAAAGGAAAUGCACCCGAGAGGUUGUUGUUUCUUAAGCUUAGAUUAGUGAUACUAAGACCUGCCAUGCUUGUGCUGGACUCGUUGACUAGGCAAUCACUAAUUGACCCAUUAAGUUUAGAAGUGUUUAAAUCUUGGUGCUCCAAAGUCUAAUGGUAGUGGGCCAACUGAAUUGUUCUGACUGAAUUAUUAUUAUCACCCUGUGUUACUUCUACUGGAUUUUUUAAUUACACACGCACUCUCCUGAUGGUGGGCCAUGACCAACACACCGGACACACACACUCUCCAACACAUGGAACUUCGUCGUUGCGAAUUCAGGGUUCUGAAACUGAACCUGAACGUGCAUUUCUUCAAUCCGAGGCUAGACAAACAGUUGUAUUGUAACCUCAGUAAUGGAAGCACCAGCUUUCUGCAGGAACAUGUCACACAACUCACAAGUACACAACUUGCAGCCUACCGGGCAGAACAACAUGCCAUAGUUACACAAGGCAGAAAAAAAUGUUAAAUUAUGCUACACCUAAUCUGUUGUUCUGCCUCUUGAGUCUUUUCCUCUUCCUUUUUUACAUUGUGAAGGAACAGCUACAAUCGUUUCGGAAAUUGGAUUCAUACGGAUAAUUCUCGUUUGCAUGGACCUAACUUCUGGGCUACAAAACAAGUGUCCUGGGAAGUGGCUGUAAUUACAUGCUGAUGCUGAUGCGUGGUCGUGGCUUGCCGUUGUCCCUUGUCUCUUAUCAGGUUGAUGGCAAUAGCUGCAGCGAAGAAGAUGUAGCACAGAGUCAUGCAGUUCGCUGGAAGCGUGUUGAAGCCAUCCACACCCAAUAUCGCCAUGUUUCGGUACACAAUGGCAUACGAUGCUGGGUAUUCGGUGCCGCUUGUACCGAUGUUAUGUAUAUCGAAUCUGAUUAGUUAUUAUGGACGAACAAUGCAUAUUAGAGCCAAUGUAAAUUCAGUAAAAGCAAGUAGAUUAUAAGUACAAUGAAAUUUGUCACAUGCUCAUGCAAUCAAAUGGCAGAGCAACAACUAGUCCAGUAAUCACAAGUAAUUGACAUAACUUAUUUAAAAAGGUUGCAACUUAUUAACUAGUACUCCUUCCGUUUCAUCAUGUACUGCAUAUAUAUUUUCUUAAAAGUCAUACCUGUUAAGCAUACUAAAUGUGUUGUCACACAAUGCAACCAAAAAAAGUUCCAGGAGAUGCAUCACUUGUGCUAAACAUUUUUUUCUUUCCAAAUCUCGGCUUCCACCUCUUGUUGGAUGUCUUGGAUGGAGCUCCUUUCGAUUUUAUUUUAUUUUGGAUUCCAGACAUUUCCUCGACAUGCUUGGUUUGACCCUGAAAAAUAUGCUGGAAGAGGGCCCAGUGAUGCCGCCUCAUUUUUCCCACUGUCUUCCUCGCCUUCAGCUAUAAUACCCUUGAGAAAAGCCAUCACCUUCUGUGACAUCUCCGUGCUGUUUGAAGCUUUUAAUAAAUACAUACUACAAAUGUUGCGGAGUUCAUGGUAUCGAUCCAUCCGCUCAGACCAAUCGUGCAUAUUACCAUUCCUCUCUGAGUCAAAUGCGGACUUGCCGACCAUCGUCCAUCUUGUCGAGACACAACACCUAGGAAUGUUGACUAAGCCAAGGUAUUUUAGAACAGAAAAAGUGUGUGCACACGGGAUCUCCUCCGAGUACAUCUUCAGACAACGGCAAUUCACACUCUGACGCAACGGGCCUGCCAUGUCAAACCUCACAUCAUACGUCACAUGCAUACUCUCUUUGCGAGCGACUGUAUACAGAACAACAUCGUCAUUCUUAGUCACUUCUGCUACUUCCCAUUUUGACAAUUGCUCGAUUUGUUGUUUUACCUUCUUGAACAUCACUGGAGUAUAAAUGAGAACAACACUUUUCUCAAGCGGUUCAGCUGCUAAUUCAGUAAAUGGUAUUGUGUCCGAAGCUGUAGCAUCCAACUCAGCCUCAUUCUUGCGGAUACGCGAUAAACAGUUAUCCGAGUGCUCUAGCAAAUCAACAAGUGACAUUCUCCUAUCCAGAUUCUUAUGAAGCCUACAGUUUAGGCUUUCGCUACGCUGAUUGCUCUGCAUGCCAAGGAAAUAUCUACCUUUCGUAUAGGCCCUAGACCACUUCUUCCUCAGCUCGUACAUCCUCAUAAUCCAAGCAUCUUUUUCAGAGAUAUCAUAAUCCACCAUAAACUCAACCCAACGUUUCUCAAACUCAUCGACAUCCCAGAUGUGAUAAACAAAUUCCCUAAAGUCCUUGAGCUUUUGCUUCCGUAGGUUUCGUAUCAUGUUUUGCUCGAUGUGCCAACUGCACAACCGAUGAUCUGUGUUUGGCAAAACCGCCGCUAUUGCCUUCGCCAUCGCAUGGUCACCAUCGGUGAUUACUGAUCUAGGAUGUUUCUGCUUCGUUGACUCCAAAAAUGCUUCAAGCAACCACACAAAAGAUGCCUCGGUCUCAUCCGAGACAAUACCGAAGCCAAACACGGUUGUGCUGCGAUGGUGAUUCACUCCUAUGAAGGGGACAAAUGGCAGGUUGUGUAUUUGUUUACACAGUAAGUGCUAUCAAAGAUCACGAUGCCACCAAAGGCAUCAUAGUCAAUCCGAGACUGUGCGUCUGCCCAAAAGAUGUUCAGCAGAUGCCCUUCACUAUCAGUGGUGUACUUGGAAAAAAUUCGCCAUCCGUGUCUUUUCGGGCUGCCAUAUAACGGAGUACAAAUUCGGCAUCACGACCUUCUAUCCUUUCCUUCUUGUACUUGGCAACAAAAUUAUACAGGUCCCGAGAAAUAAAGCCUACCUUGCUGUAACCACCACUAUCCUUCUCCAUUACUUCCAUUAUUUGAUGUGUCCGAAGGCCACCAAUUUCAUACUCAAUGACAUCAGCCUUUUGCACAUCACUCAGUCCGCGAUGUGAUCUUAUGAAAGCUGUCUGGUCAGGCUUAGCGAGUGGAUGGUUAUGUUCGUCCACAAAAUCUUUUACAAACCAUUCACCAUUAUCCAUACGAAGCUCGAUCUCCAUCCGGCGCCACAUCUACAACGUGACAGCGGCCUAGGAGUUCGCACUCGUUCAAUUUUUUCGAAGUGCUUCCUCGCCCGAUAUCCUUCUUUACAACAGACAUAAAGGCGACGAAAAGCUAUGUUCGUGCCCGACUUCCUGGUCAGUUCUUCCUUCCUAACACCAAAACCCUUUGACCGAGCAUAUGCAUUAUAGUAAUUGUAACCUUCUUCCUCGCUGCCAAAAAUUUGACUGAUCACCAUGUCAUAUUAUGCAAUGUUCUCGAGGGUGGCACUCCCAUAUUCCAUGUCAAACCCUGCAAUUAAAAAAGAAUCAAAUCUAAGUUAUUUGAAUUCCACCCAUGAAACUAAAACACGUAUCAGUAACAAUGCUUGUGUACAUAAUCAAAUAGAAACAUUAGAUAUACUCCAGUAAGCACUUCCCGAUUUGCACCAACAGAACCAGCACCAUAGAAGAGUGAUUUAAGCAGAAACAAUUUAGUACUACCCGCAGACUAAUAGGAAUAUGCAUAUUUGUCCAAAGGCCAAACUAGUAGGAAUAUGCAGAUUUGUCCAAAGGUCAAACUAGAAGAGUGAUUUAACCAAAACCCAUAGGGGAGUAACACGCAGAUUAUGAUGAUCUCUGUUCAGAAGGGAUGUUAUCACUGAAGAUUGAAGAACGCAAUUGCAAUGAACUGACAGAGAAGUGGACAGUGUGUUUGUGUUGCCUGAAAGCUGCAACUUUUCUUACUGCAGUUCUAUUCCUCUUAUUCUGAAUUACAAAAGCAAGAGUAGACCUCACGAUUCGCUACAGUACAGUUUGAGAAAACUAGCUAUCUAAUAGAGGAAGAUGCACUAGGAUUUAUUCAACACGGGAUUCGAACAGAACAGAGACCUUACCAGGUUGAGGACGCGCCGCGGAGGUCCAAGAUGGCGGGGCCAACUAUGUCGAGUGGCGGUGGCGGCCGUGGCGGCGACAGUGAGAACAACGCGUGCGGCGGUGGCCACGGCGGCGGCGGCGACGCCAGGGAGAAGGAGCAGGGAGCCGCGACGACAGGGAGAACGACGCGAGCGGCAGUGGCCACGGCGGCGAGUGGCGGCGGCGACGACGGCAGGGAGAAGGAGCAGGGAGCCGCAGAGGUCCACGAGGGCGGGGCUAGAGCGACGGGCGGCGGCGGCGGCGACGGGUGGCGGCGGCGGCGACGGCAGGGAGAAGGAGCAGGAGCCGCGGCAAGGAUAAGGACGCGAAGGACCAGGGCACCGCUUCGUGGGCGUGAAGUCUGCUCCAUAGUUAGUAAUAAAUUAACUAACAUAUUUUUCUACCCAUCGUACCCUUAGGAAAAUUGACGGUUUGAUUAUGUUAUACUGCUGCCUCCCCUCUGAACAGUAUAGGGUACGGUAAAAAAGCUAUUAAAAAAUCAGUUUUAGUUAUUUACUUUUUGCGAGAAGUUCAGGUCGAGUUCACUUUGAGCGCGCCGGCUUGACCUUGUCAACGGCAACCAAAAUGUCACUAAGGACCAAUGCCACGGAGUAAAAGUUGUCGUCAUUGAACCUUUAGAUCGAUCUGAGGUGACUGACACCAAAUCUUAUUGUAGUCAGUGCUCUGCGAUAAACCAUGACCUCGUCGUCCUAAGAAGACGACAAGAAUCUAUGUCAAAGCUUCGUCGAUUCCGUCGUAAUGGGAGAACUUGAGGAGGAUUAGAGUCCAAAAGACCAACUCAAAGAUAAAGUGUCACCAUCCGCCCAAAAGAUGUCCUUUCGAGAAAAAGACCGUACCUUAAAGCUGAAGCACUGGGAUCCCACCUCACCGCCACUGAUUGCAUGAGCGGUUGGCUGGGGGGAGGUGGAUCUUCAGGCUCAUCGUCGAAGCUUGAAGGGAACAAGUGUCCUAAAUGCCGUAGUCGCGAAGAAAAAGAGAAAACCCAAGUAGUGUCCUGAAGUGACUUUUUUAUUUGUGCCUUUUGGAUGAAACUACUUCAUAUACUAGGCUUGGUUGUGUGAUCCUUAUUUAAAAGCAUUAUAGCAUUAAUUGUCGCCGGUGAGUGGCGCAAGUCACCCGCGAUGAGAAUUCUCAUUGAAACUGACAAUUGAUUGCCUCCUUCAAUCCUGGCAUAUCCGUUUCACUAAACAGUCUACCACCGCUUUGUCUUAUCACCUCUACCUGCGUAGGAUGCUCGAACCUGCUUGGUCGCAUGGUUCGCUGCGGUGACGGCCAAGGCCGCAUGAUCGCAUUGCCUAGCCCGGCUCGCGGUCUCUAUGGGGGUCGUCACUCAUGUCCACCGUCCGUCGCCAUGUCAGGGUUGCGGCCAAGCGAGAGGAAGAAGGAUUGUGUAGAGGCUUGUUCUUUUCCUUUUUUUCAAGCAAAGCCCACAACCUAUUCUUUUUUUUUUUUUGAGGCAAGCCAGUUCUUUUCCUCUCACUGCACGGAUGAUGGAAACUGAUGUAAGCCCAGUAGGCCCAAACUAAGAUCACGGGCUCAAAAGUGUCACCCGAGCAGCGGCCCAGCACGGACAGCGGUCCAGGGGGGAUUAAAAAUCAGCUGGACAGCUGAAAAUGUGUACUACCUCCGUCCGGAAAUACUUAUCCUAGAAAUGUAUAAAAUGGAUGUAUCUAUAACUAAAAUAAGUCUAGAUACAUCUACUUCUAAGACAAGUAUUUCCGAACGGAGGGAGUACAGCUGAUGAUCCAACGGUUUCAAAUGCAAAUGGCCUGAGAUGGCUGGAAUAAUGUUUCUAAAAAUGGUUUCGCAUGGAUUCACUUCAAGCUGGCAUCAUCUGCUCCAGCAUAGUUGUCUGCCUGCCAGCACACUCCUUUUUUUCCUACGAUAUGACUGUCCUCUAUGGCCUAUGGCCAACGGGCGGUGGUUCUGGUUGCUUGAUUUACUUCUGGAUUUAUUUAAAACUGGGAUAAUAUGUUUCUUGAUUUGUCCCACGGCAACCUUUUCUCUGUCGGGUGAGGAUCUCACAUCACUUCUGAAUUUCUGAUCAAUGAUUCGGACUAGUAAGCUUAAUUAUGUUUGAUCUAAAAAGAUCGGAAGAUUCUUAUUUUUCAUAAUGUUUUGACUGUGUGAUGAUUAAGGCAUUAUAAUUUUUCCUGCUCUACUUGGCAUAUACAUCAACUUCUUCUCCAAUUCACGAUUUUCUGGAUGGGGAGUAUGAUAUCAUGGACAAGGCUAUAUUUUGUCGUACUAAUUCCAGUCGAGAUUUGAUUAUUAUUACAGGGUGUUGGAUUCAAUGGCUCAAAAGUUCUUACUGUUUUCUUCGGAUCUUCUAUUUGCCAGGAGCCUGUCAGCCAUGAGAUCAACUGCGGAUGGUUUCAGUUUAUGAAAAUUCACGUUUGUGCGGAAAAAAGAAGAGCAUGGAAACUUUCAUUGCUGUUGAAGGAGAGAAUAGGGAUUGGUGGAAUAGUUAAUUAUUGUAUUGCUGGAGCCUCGUGGGUAUAUAUAUAGAAGUACAUGAUCAUCUUGGAGUACAAGUCAAGGCAGGAACAAAUCCUAGUCUAUCUAUACUUUCCUAAACAACCACAUUACUCAACAUCCCCCCGCAGUCACAACGGUAACGGCGCAGACGGUGAGACUGAAGAAGAAUCCGAAGGUAAGCCGACGAUCAUCCCCCCACAGUCGUAACGGUCGAUGCAUCGUGGAAGUUGUGGCUGGAGUGGAAACCGACAAGGUUGCUCAAGCAAGGCGGUAGCCUUUUGUGCGUUGGUCGAGGUAGCCGAGAGCGUAGGGUGGUGUAGCCGUGGUCGAGGUAGCUGUGCGAAGAACACCGUGGUCGAUGUCGAGUCGGGGUAGCCGGUGUCGAGGAAGUCGUCAUGGAGCCGCGGGCGCAAGGAGGCGCCGAGUUAGUCAUGGGCGCAAAGGUGUCGAAGCAGUGGUGCGCCGGGAAGAAGACGUAGUUGAGACGCGUCGCGCCGAGUUUGUCAAGCCCGGGGACACAUCAUGGACGAAGGCACGCAUCGGUGUUGCCAGCACCGUGCAUGCAUAGACGGACGAAGCCAAUGUUGACGAUGCGUUGCUCCAGGUUUGCCAGGCCUAGGAACACACCGGGAUGAAGGCACACGUCGGUGUUGCCAGCACCGGGCAUGCGAAGACGGGGACCUGCACACAACCUGUACGUCAUGUUGAGGAGGCUAGCAGAGAAGGACUCGACGACGAUUGCGGCGCAAAUCGGCGGGGGCCUGAUGUUGCCCGCGGUGGUCGAAGUAGAUGAAGCGGUCGGGGAAGACGACGGUGACGCUGACGAUGGGCUGGUGCUGGACGAAGAUGAAUGAGGUGGAUGGGCGGUGCGACUCGGGUGAGCGUGUUGGGUAACGUAGCGUAAAUUCAAAAUUUUCCUACGCAUAUUCAGAUCUUCCUAUGGAGAGACCAGCAACGAGAGAGGGGUAAGAGCAUCUUCAUACCUUUGAAGAUCGCUAAGCGGAAGCGUUGCUAGAACGCGGUUGAUGGAGUCGUACUCGCAGCGAUUCCGAUCUAGUGCCGAACAACGGCACCUCCGCGUUCAACACACGUGCAGCCCGGUGACGUCUCCCGCACCUUGAUCCAGCAAGGAGGAGGGAGAGGUUGGNNNNNNNNNNNNNNNNNNNNNNNNNNNNNNNNNNNNNNNNNNNNNNNNNNNNNNNNNNNNNNNNNNNNNNNNNNNNNNNNNNNNNNNNNNNNNNNNNNNNGUACUAGAUCGUGGGACUAAUCGCGGGAUUGUUCGCGGGGCGGAUCGAGGGACGUGAGGACAUUCCACUACAUCAACCGCGUUCUCUAACGCUUCUGCUGUACGAUCUACAAGGGUACGUAGAUCACUCAUCCCCUCUCGUAGAUGGACAUCACCAUGAUAGGUCUUCGUGCGUGUAGGAAAUUUUUUGUUUCCCAUGCGACGUUCCCCAACACUCGGCCUAUUGUAUUGACCUGAAAUAAGCUAACCCGAAUGAGACUCCGACUCUUUAUUUUUGACUCCGAACGAUAAGGCGAGAAUCCUCCGCGUGCCGAACUUGUGCGUUUGCUGCUCCCGGAUCCCAAGGACACCAUCGGGACCAAGGGAGCCCUCGCGGUGGCCGGCGGCGGAAUGCAGUGGUGCUACGCGGUGCGCUCCUGUCGGUGACACCAUGUCUUCUCCCCGCCGGCUGAUUGUCGAUGUCACAGACUUGGAGGUCGUUGCCCGUGGGAAAAAACAGCAUGCCCGCCGCCCGUGGGGAAACCGCAUGCCCAAGAUCCCCCACGCAGUGGACGAGAUCGAGGUCCGUUGCACCGCGAAGCGCAACUUGGAGGAGUUGUAGCUACAAAUCACGCAUCUCCCGCACAUGUCGACGCGCUAGGAGGCCGCGUGCAGCAGCCUACAGCCUCACCGCCGCCGACACGUGGUGGGUAGCGAUCCAAGCCGGAAGCGGUGCCGGCGACGGCUGGAACUUGAUCUGUUGGAUGGGAUUGUCCUGGGACGGCGGUGGCGCUGCUGGGAACGAGGUCGCCACAGUCCCGUCGUAGGGCAUCCCAUGCUGGAACAUGAUGACCGGCGCCAUGGUCGCAGUCGAGAGCGGCGGGGGUCGGCGCCGGUGCUGUGUGACCAUGGAGGACCUCUCGUGGAAUGGCGCACCGUCAGGACCGGCGAAGCGGGAGGGCCCGCCGUACUGUUAGGGUGGCACCGGUGCUGACUGGAUGUACGGCGGCGCCCAGGCCGCCGUAUAGAUCGGCCCGAAGACAGGGAGCGGCAGCGGCGGCUGCAGCAGCCUGGCGUCGAGUGGCGGCGACGACAGCAGCAGCAUCGGCUGUCGCGGCCCGGCGAUCGUGGCGGAGGCCGCCUGGCGCGGCAGCCGCACUGGCCCGUAGGCGGCGACUGAUGGCGCGGUCAGCGGCGGUCCGUAGGGACCGGCCAGGAAGAGGCUGUGCGACCCAUACCGCACCUCCCUCGCCNNNNNNNNNNNNNNNNNNNNNNNNNNNNNNNNNNNNNNNNNNNNNNNNNNNNNNNNNNNNNNNNNNNNNNNNNNNNNNNNNNNNNNNNNNNNNNNNNNNNNNNNNNNNNNNNNNNNNNNNNNNNNNNNNNNNNNNNNNNNNNNNNNNNNNNNNNNNNNNNNNNNNNNNNNNNNNNNNNNNNNNNNNNNNNNNNNNNNNNNNNNNNNNNNNNNNNNNNNNNNNNNNNNNNNNNNNNNNNNNNNNNNNNNNNNNNNNNNNNNNNNNNNNNNNNNNNNNNNNNNNNNNNNNNNNNNNNNNNNNNNNNNNNNNNNNNNNNNNNNNNNNNNNNNNNNNNNNNNNNNNNNNNNNNNNNNNNNNNNNNNNNNNNNNNNNNNNNNNNNNNNNNNNNNNNNNNNNNNACCCCGAGCCCCUCCAUUAUCAUCUGCGGCACCACCCCCUCCAGCUCCGCCAUCCGCGCCGCCGCGCCGUGCACGGUCUUGCUGCCGUCGGCGCGCCAGGGCAAGAGUCAAAAUAACAAGUCGAUCGAUCUGGCUGUCAUUUUCCGACCGGCGAGCCUUCUAACUAACUACUCUAAUUGACACCGCCGGGGGUGACAUGUACGUACCAGAAGGCGGUGUUGUCGGCGGCGGCAAACAAGAGGUUGGCGAAGGCCUGGACGGCGCCCAGCUCGGGCCCAUCGACUCCAUAUAUAGAGAGGUUUACUUGACUCCCAAGUAAGGCUUACUUGACCCCUAAGCAAACCCUAAGACUAACGGGCCAGGCCCAUUACGUACUCUAACACUACACCCCACCUGGACACUACACCCCAAGCGAAAUCAUUGAAGUACUGCUUGCACAUACUGCUUUAUAAUUUAUACAUAUAAUUUUUUAAUUUCUAGAUCUAAGGAAACAAGAAAUCCUGCUAUUAUAGACUUAUAAAGAUCAUAAUCAAAGAUGACACCAUUCAAAUAUAUUCAAACAGUUUUUUAAAGAAUAUGUUCAAACAACAGCAAACAUCAAUAACGAUCUCUUACUACUCCCUCCGAUCCAUAAUAAGUGUAGUGGUUUUACUUCAAAUUUGAAUUAAAUCACGACACAUAAUAUGGAUCGAAGGGAGUAUUAAUAUUUAAAAUAACUUGCAUAAUUUCCACUUACAUCGAAAAACUAAAAACAGGUCUAUGCCUAUAUGGUUGGCUUACAAUCCAUGCAUGACUCAACUCAAUUGUUUGAUGCUUCUUCCAUCUCUAACUCUUCUUUAUAACAAGACAUACCUUGUACCACCCUUCGCAUCUUCUCAUUGAUGACAGAAGUAUGACUAUCAUCGCAACUACGCCACCGCUUCGUAUCCAUAUGCAAGAUGAAACGAAUGGAGAUGGGAAGUAUGUGUCAGCGUCUCCCUUAAUCCCAAGAUUAUGCUUCAUCUCUCUUUCUUCCCUUCUCACGGUUCUUUUCAUCAAACGAACAACAUCAAGGGGAAAAUGAACCAAGAAAACCAAUGAAGAGAAACAAAGCUAAAAAAACAUGAAUAAACCUUACCUCGCUUCAAUGCAAAUCUGGGAUGCUUGUGGGCACCGAGUCGCUGAUUAUGUUGCUACUUGUUGAACAUCUCAAUGCAAAUUAUCUACAGAUUCUAUAGAAUAAACGAUUUAAAACAAUUUGAUACUUAAAGGAUACUCUGCCGAUCCUUUUGGAAUACAACCCAGCCAGUUAAGAGAACACUCAGCCCAGUCAAGAGGCAACCAGCAACCCUAGUACCCCGAUGCCCCCCAUCAUUUCCCUCCCAGCUUCUUUCAUCCCUCCUGAGCUCACAUCAGGUGGCGGCUGUGUACACAGCGGCUGCUCACCCAACGCUAGCGGCGGCGACAGCUAGCUGGCGAUGAGCUACUCCUCAUUCCUAAGCAAUGUCCCCUCUCACACAGCAGCCAGUUAUGCACAUUUCUCUUCUCCUCUUCUCCUACCCAGCCAAGCUCAUCUCCUCUUCUUUCUCCUAUGAAGAUCUCCUAUUCUCAUCUGACAUCUCCUCCAGAUGGCUCCUCCUGCUGUACCUACGAAUCUAAGGGCACCGUUGUGGAGCCAAGUUACAAUUAUAGAGAAAUCGGGCCAAUAGCUCAUGUACGACGUCUUUCCUGCGAAUUGGAAGCAGUGCGACAUCUUUCGAUGAAAUAGCUCUCAUGCGACGGUUUGCUGGGAGAAAAUAGCUCACGGCCACACAUGCGAUAAAACCUUAGUCAACUAGUCCAAUUGGCGUUAAGUCAUGUGUUACCUAAUUUGGGCCGAAAUUAAUUAGCACCGCAUCUCGUGAAACUGCCCGACUAGAGUUGUCCGAAACUGCCCGACAUCUUCAGCUCCGGCGGCGGCUAAGGCGGAGGAGCCCUCUUUCUCGGCGUAGCCCCCUUUCGGCGGCGGCGGCGGCCAUGGUGGUGAGUGAAUUCGAUACUCUAGUCCCAAUCCCCUCCGCCUUGUAGAUCUGAGCUCUCUGUUUUGCUUGGUGAAAUCGAUAGAAGGUGAGAGGGGGCGGCGCGGUGAGAGAAGCCCGUGGUCAGGUCGAGAAGGAGCCGCCAGAUUCAGCUUCGAACAGGUAAUGCGCCUCCCUUCCGCCCAUUUUGUGAGUGCGAUUGAAGGCAAUCUUUGCUCUGUCUGACGCUGCCCGCCCGCCUAUAACAAAGGGAAUGCUGCUGAAACAUUUGAAUUUGCAAUCAAUUUCUUUCCAUCGACGGCAAAAUUAGUUGAUGGUAGCAUUGAGAACAUCCAGAGAGACACAAUUGUGAAAUGGGAGGUUGAUUGUGUAGAAAUUGAUCCCAUUGAGAUACAGUCGAUGGAAGAGAAGGCAGUGAGGAAAUUGGUGGAGAAAAUUGGGGAAACUGUGCUUUGGGGUCCAGAGCAAGAGGUUUCACUAUUGCGGUAUGAUGAUUUCAAAGGAGAGUAUGUCAGAAUUGAAGAUGGUGAAGAUAUUGUUGUUGAAAUCGAUAGGCAAGAGGGCUGGGCAAGCCUCGGGGCUGAAUUUUUAGCUGAGCUCGUUGAUCUGAAUAUUGACUCGAAGGUAGGUUAUGUGCCGUCACACUUGGCUAUGCAGAAGGCAGAUGAUGAUUGGGCUUCGCAGAGGCAUAUCGUUCCCAUUAUUACGGAUCUAACAGUAAUAGCCGAUGGAGCUAAUGCACAUGCAGAAGAGGGAAAUGUUAAUGUUGUUGAUUGGAAUGCAGUUGAGUUGGAGGAGCCUACUGAUUUGGUCAUUGCACCAAUUGCUGAUACUGAGAUGGCCAAACUAUUUGGCAUUCCAGUUGAUGACAGAGAUGAGGAGGAGAGGGAUGAAGCUAAUACAAGUGAUAAUGAUGACAGAGAAUUGAGUGAUGUAGAUGAACAGUUGAUGAAAGAUGCUGCAGAUGAUGUAGAUGAUGCACAUGAUAAAGAGCUAGUGCAUUGUAUGACAAGGAAAACCCUGUCAUUCGAGUGGGGAAGUUGUGGCCAAACAUGGAUGAGUUCAGGUUGUCUUUCAAGACUUAUGCAGUCAGACAUCAGUUUGAUGCCAAGACAGUUUGGACCGAUAGAAAGAAGUUUUAUGCUAAGUGCAGAGGUUUUGAUGGUAGUGGUAGGAGGGCUUGCAAGUGGUACAUAUCUGCUAGACUGCAGCCUGAUGGAAGUACUGUCAGGGUUAACCAAAUCCCUAAUAAACAUACUUGUCUCACAAGUUCACAGAAAAAAUCAAGCAUGAAUGUCGUGGGUAUAAGCCUGACAGUAGAUGUAUAGGGUACGAAAAGGAUGGGCAGAGUCCUAGCUACAGCGAGGAUGUAUGAGUUCAGACCCCUCUGCGGUGGAGGUAACAGCCCUACGUCUCAGUGCUCAGGGAGCUUGUUGUCGAGUGGAAUAGGGAAUACAAUGAGUUGCUAACCCCUCUACCAGUGGGGGAGGAUGGCUUAUAUAGAGUACGCUACCCUCCACAACGGUUCUGAUACAGGGGUGGAGUAGUGGCGAUUGAAUGUGUACGUUACAGGUAAUGUAUGCCCUAAAUGCUAAUAAAUGCACCUGGAAACGUACGACCGUUUCCCUCCAGGGGGGUUACGAUGUACCGAGUGGUAUCCAGUCGGUUAGCCUGAUAUGCUCCGAAUGCUAGUCUCCGACUGGAUGAUCGAGGGUAUGUUACCGACUGGAUGACACGGACUCCUUAAUUCAGUCGGAGCUGACUAAGGGUCUAGUCCUUUGCGAGGGGUAGUCCUUGGGUAGGACAUAUAGGGCAGGCCUAUGACCCUACCCUAGGACUAUAACCCCAUCAUUAGUCCCCGAAUGGAUUGGGGUUGGGACGACGAAGCGAUGUUUGAAGUUGGAUCCGACUGGAACGGACUUGGCUUGGGCGUUGCUUGCCUCGGUCCAUUUUGACUUUUCUGAUCGACGAUCCGAGUGGAAGUACUCGCGAAACAGACUGCCGGGAACCGAGUGCUUCUGCGGCAUCUUCUGACGCGACCGGUCAACUGACAGCGGUGGAUUUUCCGGGAUCCUCAAAUUUCGGUUUCCGCGCGCUCAGCGGGGAUGACGCCAUCGCGCUCGAGUAGCGCCUGACGCCUCGAUUCUCGCGCCUUCAACCUCUCCACUAAUAUCGCCAUGGUGGGUCGGGAGGAUAAGGUUUCGGGGCCACCUGCCAGUGACCCAGUCGGAACCCUAUUUAAAUCUCGGUGGCGAGGCUUCUUCGUUACGCUCGCCGAAUCUCUCGCCCUUGCUUACUCCGUCCUUCUCGCCACCUCCAGCGCUUUUACGCUCCUUCCUUCUCCUUCCUCCCGAGGGCUCGCAGUUGCCGCCAUGACCAAGGGUCAGACCAGCAAGAUGGAGGCGAGGAAGAAGAAGGGGAAGACGGCGGCGCCUGCUCAGCGGCGGCAGCGGCCGCUGCCUGCGGGGUGGAUUCAGGGCGACUUCCUCCCCUCCACGGUGACACAGGGGGAUCUGCUGCAGCUGGUGGAGCACGGGAUGAUCGAGCACAAGUCCUGGAGGCUGCCGGCAGAGAACGAGGUCGAGCCGGCGCCUCGGGAGGGGGAGCGCGUCUUGCUGCUCAGCCACGUCCACCGAGGUUUCUCCUUGCCCCCGCAUCCUUUCUUCAAGGGCAUCAUGAAUCACUUCGGGGCACAACUUCAUCACUUUCCCCCGAAUGCCAUUGCCCAUCUCUCUGCCUUUAUAGUUUUGUGCGAGUGUUUCAUCGGCUGCCCCCCCCAUUGGGGUUUGUUCAAGCACAUCUUUUCCGCCAGAUCCCAAACCAUCAAACGACUCAGCCAGUCGGAUGAUAAGACACAUCUCCUCCAGCUCUGCGGGGGCUUAGGUUUCCAGAAGAAGAGUCGGAGUAGCUAUCCUGCUCUUCAGUUAAGCGAGUGGUCAGGAACUGGCAGUCGACGUGGUUCUACUGCCAGGAUAUUGCAUGUCCGAAUGCGUCGACUGGGCUGCCUCACUUUAGUUUAGAUCGGCCCGCUCCGCCUAAGCAGCUCGCGCUCACGAAGGCGGAGAAGAACGACAUCCAGCCUUUGGUUGAGGCACUCGUAGAUGUCGUCAGGAGGGGGGGUCACUGGCAUAGACUUGCUGGAGGUCUUCCUCGGUCGGCGUAUCCAACCUCUGCAGGCUCGCGACCAUGCCAUGUGGCAUUACACGGGGCCCGAAGACUCCACUCGGACCAACGUGGUGGGCGUAACUGAGGAGAGGGUGACCUCGUGGGUGCUCCAGAUCAUAGGCCCCUGCGAGAAUCCCAAAGGAUCUCGGCGAGCGAAGCCUUACUGCGCGGAUCAUCCUCCUCCGAAUCAGGUGAGUAACACUUGUCGAGUGCACUUAACUGUCUUAAUUCCUGUCGUUUGUUUGAAUCUCUGCAUGAUGUCUGAUGUUGCCGACUGAAAUUUAUGCAGAAGUGGACCAACUGGUUCUCCCCCGUCUCGAACGGGAAUCCGGCCGAGGAGGAGGAGGAAGGCAGCCAGGAGGGCAGCGUGGAGAGCGCUGAGUACGUCUCCAACAGCGGGGAAUCGGAGGAGGAGACUAGCGAGGAGGAAGAGGAAGACGAAGAGCAGGACUCGCCGCCUCCGCAAUUAGAGCAUCGGACCAAGCGCCGACACGAGCCUACCGUUCCUUUGGCUCCUCCUGCGUCUUCGAGUGCUCCGCCCACUGUCCCGGUGGUCCCGAGUGUUCGAAGCGCCAAGAGGGCGAGGGAUGCUACUACUGAGCCUGCGGGUCAAUCUUCUAAGGCGGCCAAACUGAGUGGGCCUAAGCCUCGGAAGGCUUUGCCGCGAAUGAGGGUUGCUGUCCCUGUCACCUCCACGUAAGUGUAUCCAUCUUUAAAUUCUUUCUGAUAUCCGAGUGAACUCUUGUUUACUGGUCGAAUGGAUUUCACUCGGCAGAGCCGCUACUUCUGCCACCUCUCCGGCACGCCAGGAAGAUGAUCCCAUGGACACGGACAACAUCGUCUCGUCCCAGCCAGGUGCGUUGUAGUGACGCCGAGUGUUUUAUACUAUCGCGUCUCGAAUUCUAUCAUAGGUCCUGCUUCUUUCUUUUUCUGAGACCUCGCGUCAUUCGGCCUGUCAGGGGCGAUUUUCCUGGACGAGGGCGGCCAGGGGAGAGCCGAACCAGCUGCGGAGCCUGUUCUUGAGGCUGCUCCACCUGCUGCUGCUCUCGCCGCCGACGUGCUGCCGACUGAGGCGCUGCCACAGACUCAACCGGUGCCGAUGGAUGAGGAGCCGACUGGAGCGGACCUUGGGAUGCCUCGGGAAAUUUCAACGCUGUCAGGCUCGUCGAAUGUCGAGUUCAACAUCCAGCAUCUCCCGGAGGAGCAGGUGGGAGAGGCCAAGGGAGCUAUGGUGCAGGCGGAGCUGAUGGCUGGAGAAGCCAAGAGGGCCUACGACUCUGUUGCGUCCUUGUACCAGCGGAGCUUGGAGCUGCGGGAUGAUAUCCGAGUAAGUGGUCUAGUAAGUAUUUACUUUUCUCUUGUAACCCACUCGGUGUUCUUGGAUAGCAGCUGUUGUUUGCAAUGGGUUCACUCUGAGUGAACCCAGUGGGUGUAGUCCCCGAGACUUCUGUCGAGUGCUUGCACCGACAGUUGUCUUUAUACAUAUUGUCUUUACUUUGGUCGUGUCUGUAAAUAAUAGGACCGACUGCGAGCAGUUGUUGCACUCGGAGUGCACUUACUAUAAGAGUCCCCGAGAGUAAGUUGUACUCAGGUCGGGUAGUAUUGGCCUCGUAGACGUAGGUGAUAACAUGCAUCUCAAUAGGGCGGGCAUGCUUGAGUUGCAUGCCAGUGGGGUCACUCUUAGUGAACCCACUGGGUGUAGUCCCCGAGAUCGCUGUCGACUGCUUGCGUCGGCAGGGGUCUGAAGAACUUAGACUUUUAGUUGUUGAACUUUCUGAUUGUCCCUUGGUGUUUGUUGGCAGAAAACCUGUGAAAUGGGGACGGCUUAUGAGACUCUCAGGGCGGAGAGGAAUCAGUUCGCUGGUGAGCUUGAUGCGGCCAUGCUCGCAAUGGCUGGCAUGAAGGAUGCUCUGGAGGGACGAGAGAAGUCCUUGGAGGAGGCUCGUGAAGCGAACAAGGUGUUGACUGAGGAAGUGGAAAAGAUGAAGAAACAGAGGACUGCUCUCACGAGUCAGAUGGUCGUGCUGAAUAAACGAUGCAUAGCUCAGGAGAAGUAUGUCAGCGACUGGGCUGGGCAGAUGAUGACGCGUCUGGCUGGUAAGUCCUGUUUUUUGCCGAGUGUUUGUCCUAUGUACGUCACACUCGGCGCUUAUUGCUUGCUUGUCCUUCUGUUGCAGAUUUUUGCGUUGAUGCUGAAGUUGAAGCGGCGGACGUGGAGCGGUCAAUUCGCGACAACGUGCCACUCGGCAAGGACGCCAAUCGGGAUUUGCUCCGGGCGCACAUCCGCGUGGGCAAAUUUGGCCCUUUCAUUGGUCGAUUGAGAGAAGUCGUCAGCCGAAUCGACAAGGAGCUUUGGCCAGAAGAUGAGUCUCGGCAGGAGAUGGAGAACCUGAUGGCGCGACUGGAGGAGAUUUCGAACCGAGUGCAGUCGUGGAAGAAAUCUGCAACUCGUUGCGGUGCAGAUGUUGCUCUGUCCUUGGUCCGAGUCCAUUGCAAGGAGGUGCGUGAGGAGAAGCUGAAGACACUGAAGGUCGCCAACACGAAGAAGCUUCGAUUCGAAGACUUCAUGGAUACUUUCCUUGAGAGUGCUGUUGGAAAUAUGCCCUNNNNNNNNNNNNNNNNNNNNNNNNNNNNNNNNNNNNNNNNNNNNNNNNNNNNNNNNNNNNNNNNNNNNNNNNNNNNNNNNNNNNNNNNNNNNNNNNNNNNNNNNNNNNNNNNNNNNNNNNNNNNNNNNNNNNNNNNNNNNNNNNNNNNNNNNNNNNNNNNNNNNNNNNNNNNNNNNNNNNNNNNNNNNNNNNNNNNNNNNNNNNNNNNNNNNNNNNNNNNNNNNNNNNNNNNNNNNNNNNNNNNNNNNNNNNNNNNNNNNNNNNNNNNNNNNNNNNNNNNNNNNNNNNNNNNNNNNNNNNNNNNNNNNNNNNNNNNNNNNNNNNNNNNNNNNNNNNNNNNNNNNNNNNNNNNNNNNNNNNNNNNNNNNNNNNNNNNNNNNNNNNNNNNNNNNNNNNNNNNNNNNNNNNNNNNNNNNNNNNNNNNNNNNNNNNNNNNNNNNNNNNNNNNNNNNNNNNNNNNNNNNNNNNNNNNNNNNNNNNNNNNNNNNNNNNNNNNNNNNNNNNNNNNNNNNNNNNNNNNNNNNNNNNNNNNNNNNNNNNNNNNNNNNNNNNNNNNNNNNNNNNNNNNNNNNNNNNNNNNNNNNNNNNNNNNNNNNNNNNNNNNNNNNNNNNNNNNNNNNNNNNNNNNNNNNNNNNNNNNNNNNNNNNNNNNNNNNNNNNNNNNNNNNNNNNNNNNNNNNNNNNNNNNNNNNNNNNNNNNNNNNNNNNNNNNNNNNNNNNNNNNNNNNNNNNNNNNNNNNNNNNNNNNNNNNNNNNNNNNNNNNNNNNNNNNNNNNNNNNNNNNNNNNNNNNNNNNNNNNNNNNNNNNNNNNNNAGAAGAUCGUGCCGGUGCUUUGGUGAUGGAGAUCAAGAAGCACGUGAUGAUGGCCAUAUCAUGUCACUUAUGGAUUGCAUGUGAUGUUAAUCCUUUUAUGCACCUUAUUUUGCUUAGAACGACGGUAGCAUUAUGAGGUGAUCUCUCACUAAAAUUUCAAGACGAAAUUGUGUUCUCCCCGACUGUGCACCGUUGCGACAGUUCUUCGUUUCGAGACACCACGUGAUGAUCGGGUGUGAUAGACUCAACGUUCACAUACAACGGGUGCAAAACAGUUGCACACCGGAACACUCGGGUUAAGCUUGACGAGCCUAGCAUGUGCAGACAUGGCCUCGGAACACAUGAGACCGAAAGGUCGAGCAUGAAUCGUAUAGUUGAUAUGAAUAGCAUAGGGAUGCUUACCACUGAAACUAUUCUCGACUCACGUGAUGAUCGGACUUGAGAUAGCGGAUUUGGAUCAUGUACCACUCAAAUGACUAGAGAGAUGUACAUUUUGAGUGGGAGUUCUUUAAGUAAUAUGAUUAAUUGAACUAAUUGUCAUGAACAUAGUCUAAUGGUCUUUGCGAAUUACGAUGUAGCUUGCGCUAUAGCUCUACUGUUUUAUAUGUUCCUAGAGAAAAUUUAGUUGAAAAUUGAAAGUAGCAACCUUUGCAGACUGAGUCUGUAAAACCAAGGAUUGUCCUCGUUGCUACGCAGAAGGCUUAUGUCCUUAAUGCACCACUCGGUGUGCUGCACCUCGAGCGUCGUCUGUGGAUGCUAUGAACAUCCGACAUACACGUUACUGAUGACUACACGAUAGUUCAGUGCAAGAUACUUGAUGGCUUAGAAGCAAGGCGCCGAAAACGUUGUAAAACGUCACGGAACAUAAGUGAUGUUCCGAAGAGAUGAAAUUGUGAUUUCAUGCUUGUGCCCUUGUUAAGAGGUACGAGACCUCCAAACAAGAAUCUUUGUCCACAAAGUAAAGGAGAAAAGCUCAAUCGUUGAGCGUGUGCUCAGAUUGUCUGAGUACGACAAUCGCUUGAAUCAAGUGGGAGUUAAUCUUCCAGAUGAAAUAGUGAUGGUUCUCCAAAGUCACUGCCACCAAGCUAUGAGAGCUUCGUGAUGAACUAUAACAUAUCAAGGAUAGAUAUUAUGAUCUUUUGAGUGAUUCGCGAUGUUUGACACUGCGAAAGUAGAAAUCAAGAAGGAGCAUCAAUAGUUGAUGGUUAGUAAAACCACUAAGUUUCAAGAAAGGCAAGGGCUAGAAGGGAUACUUCGUGAAACGGCAAAACAGUUGCUGCACUAAUGAAGAGACCCAAGAUUAAACCCAAACCCGAGACUAAGUGCUUCUGUAAUAAGGGGAACAGUCACUGAGGCGGAGCAACUCUAGAUACUUGGUGGAUAAGAAGGCUGGCAAAAGUCGAGAGAAGUAUAUAUGUGAUAUACAUAAUGUUGAUGUGUACUUUACUAGUACUCCUAGUAGCACGAGGGUAUUGGAUACCGGUUCGGUUGCUAAGUGAUUAGUAACGCGAAAUGAAAGCUACGGUAUAAACGGAGACUAGCUAAAGGCGAGGUGACGAUACGUGUUGGAAGUGUUUCCAAGGUUGAUAUAAUCAAACGUCGCACGCUCCCUCUACCAUCGGGAUUGGUGUUGAACCUAAAUAAUUGUUAUUUGGUGCUUGCGUUAAGCAUGAACAUGAUUGGAUCGUGUUUGUUGCAAUACGAUUAUUCAUUUAAAGAGAAUAAUGGUUACUCUGUUUUCUUGAAUAAUCACCUUUAAUGGUUUAUUGAAUCUCGAUCGUAGUGUUACACAUGUUCAUAAUAUUGGUGCCAAAAGAUACGAGGUAAUGAUGAUAGUACCACUUACUUGUGGCACUGCCGCUUGAGUCAUGUUAGUAUAAAUUGCAUGAAGAGGCUCCAUGCUGAUGGAUCUUUAUACUCACUUGAUUUUGAAUCACUAGUGACAUGCAAAUCAUACCACAUGAGCAAGGCCUUAUUUUCAUUGAGAUGAAACAAGAUAGUAACUUGUUGGAAGUGAUACAUUUGAUGUAUGUAGUCCAAUGAGUGCUGAGGCACGCAGUGGAUAUCAUUAUGUUCUUACUUCACUAACGACUUGAGUAGAUACAGGAGUAUUUACUUAAUGAGUCACAAGUCUGAAAUAUUGAAAAGUUCAAUUCUGUUUCAGAGUGAAGUUCGUUGUAACAAAAGGAUAAACUGUCUACGAUAUGAUCAUAGAAAUGAAUAUCUGAGUUACGAGUUUUGGUACGCAGUUAAGACAAUGUGGAAAUUGUUUCGCAGUUCAUGCCACCUGGAACAUCAUAGUGUGAUGAUGUGUCUGAACGUCAUAGCCACGCACUAUUUGGUAUGGUGCAUACUAUGAUGUCUCUUAUCGAAUUACCACUAUCGUUUAUGGGUUAUGCAUUAGAGACAACCGCACUCACUUUAAAUAGGGCACCGCGUAUUUCCGUUGAGAUGACACAGUAUAGACUGAGGUUUAGAGAAAUCUAAACUGUCGUUNNNNNNNNNNNNNNNNNNNNNNNNNNNNNNNNNNNNNNNNNNNNNNNNNNNNNNNNNNNNNNNNNNNNNNNNNNNNNNNNNNNNNNNNNNNNNNNNNNNNCACCUCUCUGGCCAAUAACCAUCAGCGGGGUCUGGAUACCCAUGGUGGCUCCCACUUGCUCCACGAUGAUCUCAUCGGAUGAACCACGAUGUCAAGGAUUCAAUCAAUCNNNNNNNNNNNNNNNNNNNNNNNNNNNNNNNNNNNNNNNNNNNNNNNNNNNNNNNNNNNNNNNNNNNNNNNNNNNNNNNNNNNNNNNNNNNNNNNNNNNNNNNNNNNNNNNNNNNNNNNNNNNNNNNNNNNNNNNNNNNNNNNNNNNNNNNNNNNNNNNNNNNNNNNNNNNNNNNNNNNNNNNNNNNNNNNNNNNNNNNNNNNNNNNNNNNNNNNNNNNNNNNNNNNNNNNNNNNNNNNNNNNNNNNNNNNNNNNNNNNNNNNNNNNNNNNNNNNNNNNNNNNNNNNNNNNNNNNNNNNNNNNNNNNNNNNNNNNNNNNNNNNNNNNNNNNNNNNNNNNNNNNNNNNNNNNNUCGGUAUACCUAUACCUUGUUCAAUCUCGUUACCGGUAAGUCUCUUUACUCGUUCCGUAGCACGUCAUCGUGUGACUAACUCCUUAGUCACAUUGAGCUCAUGAUGAUGUUCUACCGAGUGGGCCCAGAGAUACCUCUCCAUCACACGGAGUGACAAAUCCCGAUCUCGAUUCGUGCCAACCCAACAGACACUUUCGGAGGUACCCGUAGUGCACCUUUAUAGUCACCCAGUUACGUUGUGACGUUUGAUACACCCAAAGCACUCCUACGGUAUCCGGGAGUUGCACAAUCUCACGGUCGAAGGAAAAGAUACUUGACAUUAGAAAAGCAUUAGCAUACGAACAAUACGAUCUAGUGCUAGGCUUAGGAUUGGGUCUUGUCCAUCACAUCAUUCUCCCAAUGAUGUGAUCCCGUUAUCAAUGACAUCUAAUGCCCAUGAUCAGGAAACCAUGAUCAUCUAUUGACUAACGAGCCANNNNNNNNNNNNNNNNNNNNNNNNNNNNNNNNNNNNNNNNNNNNNNNNNNNNNNNNNNNNNNNNNNNNNNNNNNNNNNNNNNNNNNNNNNNNNNNNNNNNGGAAGAACUCCAGCAACACGACGGCGUGGUGUCGAUGGAGAGACGAGGUCUCCCGGCAGGGCUUCGCCAAGCACCGGCGGAGAGGAGGAGGAAGAAGAGUAGGGCUGCGCCGAGAGAGAGGGAAAAACCGUGUGUCUCAAUGGCCAAAAGUGCCCGAUAUAUAUAGGGGGAGGGGAGAGGGGGUGCCACCCCUAGGUUUCCCACCCUAGGGGGUGCGGCAGCCCCCCAGAUGGGAGGUGCGGCGGCCAGAAGGGGGAGGAGGGGGUGGCGCACCAUCUGGUGGGCCUUAGGCCCACCUGGCCUAGGGUUUGCCCCCCCUUUUAUCUCCCUUGCGCUAUGGGCUGAGUGGGGAGGCGCACCAGCCCACCUAGGGGCUGGUUCCCACCCCCACUUGGCCCACCUUAUCUCCCGGGGUCAUUGCCCCCCUUCGGUGGUCUCGGUGGUCCCGGUACGUUACCGGUGAUGCCCGAAACACUUCCGGUAUCCGAAACCAUCCGUCCUAUAUAUCAAUCUUUACCUUCGGACCAUUCCGGAGCUCCUCGUGACAUCCGGGAUCUCAUCCGGGACUCCGAACAACUUUCGGUAACCUCGUAUAACAAUUCCCUAUAACCCUAGCGUCAUCGAACCUUAAGUGUGUAGACCCUACGGGUUCGGGAGAAAGGCAGACAUGACCGAGACACCUCUCUGGCCAAUAACCAUCAGCGGGGUCUGGAUACCCAUGGUGGCUCCCACUUGCUCCACGAUGAUCUCAUCGGAUGAACCACGAUGUCAAGGAUUCAAUCAAUCUCGUACACGAUUCCCUUUGUCUGUCGGUAUAGAACUUGCCCGAGAUUCGAUCGUCGGUAUACCUAUACCUUGUUCAAUCUCGUUACCGGUAAGUCUCUUUACUCGUUCCGUAGCACGUCAUCGUGUGACUAACUCCUUAGUCACAUUGAGCUCAUGAUGAUGUUCUACCGAGUGGGCCCAGAGAUACCUCUCCGUCACACGGAGUGACAAAUCCCGAUCUCGAUUCGUGCCAACCCAACANNNNNNNNNNNNNNNNNNNNNNNNNNNNNNNNNNNNNNNNNNNNNNNNNNNNNNNNNNNNNNNNNNNNNNNNNNNNNNNNNNNNNNNNNNNNNNNNNNNNCAUGAUUUUUUCUUUUUUUUUUCUUUUUUUUCUUCUCUAAAUUAAUUCCAGAUUUUAAAAGAACAAAGUAUCAAAAAUUUAUGAGUAUAAAAAAUGUAAGAAAAAGCAAAAACUGUUUGUGUAUUUGAAAAAUAUAUUCAAAAAGUCAUAAAAUAUUAAUGAGUUUGAAAAUAUUCAUUUCUUUUUCUCCUCUAAAUAAAUUCCAGAUUUCAAAAGAACAAAGUAUCAAAAAAUUAUGAGUAUAAAAAAUGUAGGAAAAAGCAAAAACUGUUUGUUUAUUCGAAAAAUAUAUUCAAAAAGUCAUAAAAUAUUCAUGAGUUCGAAAAUUGCUCACAUAUUAUAAAACAAAUCAUGAUUUCAAAUAAAUUGUAAUGAAAUACUAAAUGAUCAUGAUUUUUGUAUAAAAUUAUCCAGUAAUCAAAACAUAUUCAUGAAUUUGAAUAGCUUGUCCAUCAUCUUUUAGAAAAUCUUCAUAAAAAUUAAUACACAUCCAUAAAUAAUGAACAAAACGAAUUGUCGCUUACAUAAAGGUUUUAUUAGGAGAUCUGUAAAGGUCAUUUUAUGAUUUUAUUUAGACCUUUGCAUAUCAAAAAGUUGUGAGUUUGAAAAAAAAGUAGGAAAAUGAUAAACCAUUUGUGAAUUCAGAAAAAUAUUCGGAAAACCAUAAAAAGUUCAUGAGUUCAGAAAUUGCUCACACAUUGUAAAAAAUCACAAUUUCAAAUAAUUUUUCAUGAAGUAAGAAAUGUUCAAAAAUUUAAAAAUGAUCAGGUAUUCAAAGCAUAUUCAGGAAUUUGAAAAACAUCUCCAUCUAUUUUUAGAAAAUGUUCGCAAAAAUUAAAACACAUCCAUAAAUAAUGAACAAAACUAAAUGUCGCUUACAUACAGGUUUUAUUACGAGAUCUCUGGAGGUCGUUUUAUGAUUUUUUUAGUCCCUCGCGUUAGGCAAAAAUAGGUUUUCAUUUUGUACAACGCUGAGCCCAACCAAAUUGACACAACUUUUUGUGGGUUAGUUUUGUACACAAUUAAGUCGAGGCACAUCAUUCUUCAGUAUAGCUCAGGCAGGGUCCGUAAAUGCAGUUUGCUCAGCCACAAAAUAUUAUGUUGUGACGCCUUAAGAAAUCAAGUCGCGAUGAGGAUCAAAUUUUUUGUUUAUGAAAUCAUACUUUUUUAUAUCUACCACACAUGCAUAAUCUAAUAGUUUUUUCCGUUGCAACGCACGGGCAUAUUUGCUAGUUAAAAAAAACAGAAGGACGGCAUUGAUCGUCCGGGUAUUGGCGGUUUUGCAAAAAAGUCCUUCUAUUUUCGGCUAUUCAACCCGUGGUCCUUUUAUGAGAUAAAUAACGUUUCUUUUUACGUGAACCCCCUCGCAAUCACCCUCGUCAGUCCGUCCGUAGUAGUACCCCGUCCCGCAUGCAUCUUUGGUCUUGCUGAGAGACUCAGAGCCAGAGCGCGCCGGCGUCCUUGAGUAUGGGCACGAGCUCGCCGGAGAUGUGGACGGCCAUGAGCCGGUCGAGCCCGCCGAGGAGCCGCCCGCCCACGAACACCGCGGGCAGAGCGANNNNNNNNNNNNNNNNNNNNNNNNNNNNNNNNNNNNNNNNNNNNNNNNNNNNNNNNNNNNNNNNNNNNNNNNNNNNNNNNNNNNNNNNNNNNNNNNNNNNCUUACAAUGUCAUUAUCUUGGAUCAAAGAAAGCCUCAAAACUUACCUCGCCCAUUGGAAGAUCAAGACAUGGCGUGCGAAGCAUAGUUGGAUGACGGCAACACCGCGUUGAUCGGCCGUGUACUCUAGAUCAAGCCCCAAGAACUUCUCAUGAUCCACUGCGUGGUCAAACCAUUUUUCCUUCAACUGUUGAAGAAAAAACGGCACCUCGUUGCUCAGGUUCGUGUACACGACAUCAAGCAUCGUCGUGCCAUGUGCGAGCACCUUACAAAAGCUAGUUGGCAUGGUGGAAGAAGAGAAGGGAAGAAGAGAGGAGAAGAACAGAGAGGGCGAUGCGAGAGAGAAGAAGAACAGAGAAAUGGCGACUGUACGCUUCGGUUCGUGCUUUUCAUCGCCCGAAACGACGCGGGAUGCAAACCGUUUGGGCCUUUAGUCCCGGAUUGAGCCACCAACCGGGAAUAAAGAGGUAUACCAAACGGUUGCCACCACUACGGCAAACCACGUGUUAGGCCUUUAGUCCCGGUUUGAGCCACCAACCGGGACUAAAGAGGUAUACCAACCGUCGCCACCACUACGGCAGGCCACGUGUUAGUCCUUGAGUCCCGGGUUGAGCCACCAACCGGGACUAAAGGGGGAUACGAACGGUUCCCACCACCACUGCCCACCGCGUAGCCCUUUAGUCCCGGUUUGGGACACGAACCGGGACUAAAGGCUCCUUACGGGCCGGGACUGAAGCCUCGAGGGAGGCAUUGAGAAUUGGGGCGACGUGGCCGGGCCUUUAGUCCCGGCCCAGAGGCAGGCCGGGACUAAAGGGUUCAGGCCAAAGGCCCGUUUUCCACUAGUGAGUGCAUGUGACUGUAGCCUCGGCUAAAAGAAGUUUCUCUAAACUGAAACUACUGAAAAAUUAUUUGAGGUCUACUAUGUUGCAAGAUAGAUUGAAUGGCUUGGCUAUGUGCUGCAUUGAGAAGGAUAUCUUGGACAAUGUUGAUCUUGAUUGUGCCCUUAAUGACUUUGCAUCAAGAAACGCCCGAAGAAACUUUUUCUGAAGAAUUAAAUUCUUAUUUGAGGUAAUCAUGUCAUUUUAGUUUCAUUUCUCUAUCUUCUUAGUAUUAUUAUUAUUGGUUAAGUAAGUUGAAAUUUUGUUAUUAUUAUUGUCGAUGGAAUGAGUCAAUUAUUAUAGUUAAAUUUUAAAGUAAAAAUAUAUGAUCUUAGAACAUAGGGGCCCAUGUUGUUGAGUUCGCCUAGGGCAUCCCGAAACACAGGGCCGGCUCUGCAACCAAACAAGGUUGCAUUCGACAAUAGGGAGGUUUUAAUGACAAAUUUGACUUUUUAAUGGGAAAACCUUGCUGUUUUAUUUAUUCAUAACGUCCCUCAGUUACAAUAUCGUACACACACUCUGAUGCUACAUGCAAGAACGACUUGGACAAUUUAUUCCCAUAGCAUAGUUUUGGUAAGGCAUGUGUUGCUUAAUAUACCGUUCACGCCUACGACUUCACCUAAAACCUUUCUCUCGACCCUAGCAAGUCCUUGAUCUCCUGAAUGAGUGGCCCGCAGACCGAUGUUUUCAUUUCCUCCUUCGUUAGGGAUCUCUCACCGCAAUUUGAUCAUCCGUCUCCAGCACCUCCAUAUAGACAAGCCAAGUUCAAGCGAUAAAUAAAUAGCCCUCCUGUAUGCCGACAAGUGAACCAACUCCGAAUUAGAGACUGAUGGGAUAACCGGACAAGAUCCUACCACAAACUUGCCAUGAUAAUCUUGAAGAAUCGCUGCACCUGUUCCAUCCUCGAAACUCUUCUAAUUGUGCCAUCAGCGUUCGCCUUAAUCCACCCCUCCUCCGGCGCAUGCCAGUGCUCCCGAGGUUAGCCGGGGCUGGCCUGUUCGGGUUCUUUGAUGCUCAACCACUCCUCCCGCAACACCUACACAUAAUCCUCUAUACCCUUGACAUCGCUUGCACUGUUUCGAGCAAGCCACACUAGAUAGAUGGCCAUUAUCACCAUUGAUCUCUUCGUCUCGGUUAUUUCAUUUAAAUGGUCCAAAAACAAAUUUCACAUCCAAUAUGCACUAUGUUUUUAUAAGAUUGAAUUAUUUGGAGUUUUUAUAAGAUUGAAUUAUUAGGAGUACACAAUUUUCGCUACCAGCGACGGUAGUAGUACCUAUCUAGGUACGUGCCACCCCUAAGAAUUAGCACUAGUAAUUAUCCUAAUCACCUCAUGUGGAACAAGGCUAGGGGUUCAGAGUCUUUCUGCAGGACUUCAAUUAACCGGUUUGGCUUGCUGGUAAGGUGGACAUGUGGAGUCCAACUAGGUAGGGGUAACUACCAUUGCUUGUAGAUAUAUUGACCCCCUUCUUUAAAUUAGAUCAAGCGGAAGCGGGAAGAACUCCUACCAACUGAUCGCAUACGAGCAAUUCAAGAGGAAUUUACGAGAUUCUUUGUUGAGCAUGUCAUACCAUCAGAUGGGGUAUAUCAUCAGGAUUUCCUUACUGAUUUUGGUGGAUAUAUAAUAGCUAGUUAGGGAUCGCAAAGAGAUGUUAUAUAUUGUAUAUAUGCAUGAUCGUGUACUAUAUGUAGUAGCGUCGAGUUGUUCGACCAAGCAUGAAGAAAGAGAGGUCACUUCUCUCUAUAUAUGUUCAUGACGAUGUUGUGUAAUUAAUGGUUCCUUCAUUUGCUUACUAGCUAUCGUCGAGUUCUCUUUAUAUGUAGUAGCUACCGUUGACCAACCACGGAGAAAGAGAUGUCACUUCUCUCUAUAUGUAGUAGCUACCGUCGAUCAAGCACGGAGAAAGAGAGAUCACUUCUCUCUAUACGUAGUAGCUAGCUAACACAUAUUGAAACCCCUGAUAAAACCCUCCAAAACCCCUAAACCCCCCUCCCUUUCAAAAAAAAAACCCAGCGCCUGGGAGCUGCUGACGCAUGGCUGCCUUUUGGUCCCGGUCGGUGUUACCAACCGGGACUAAAAGUCCUCGUGCCUGUGCACCCCGCGGCGGACACGUGGAGCUCCUUUAAUCCCGGUUCGUAAGCCAACCGAGACUAAAAGUAAUGGGCAUUAGUCCCGAUUGUUUUGUCCCGGUUGGAGAACCGAGACUAAAGGCCCUCUGGAACCGGGACUGAUGCCCUCUUUUCCACUAGUGUUGGUGUUCCUGCCAAGUAAAACUCCUAGCUACAGGAAACUUUCCGUGUUCUCAACGGAGGACAUCGGAUGAGAUGUGUCAGGCCCCCGCCUUUUUCUGACCCGCCUGUAAUAUUUGAGAAAUUUAUUGAAUUUCUAGGGUUUUAGUGCCGAAAAUUGCAGAUCUGCAAGGCGACACAUGAAAUCAUGCCCAAAAACGGCAUGAAAAAUCAUAUGUGAUGUAUUAGCGGCAUGUCUCUCCCUUCUGCAGACGAAGGAGCGGUAGUUCCGGCCAUCAAGGAGCGAAAUUACAUUGACGACAUCACUCGUACAACCUUUUGAAUCCACGAAAAAUCGUAUGAUGCCAGAAAUCAACGGGAUCUGGCACAACAUCAUCACAUGGCCCCUCUAGGGCGUGGUAAAAGUUUGGGCGCGCUUCGAAUAGGCCUCACCUGAGGCUGCUUGUAAACCGCACCAUCUUUGAGGUAGUCCCUCGGUAUCGAGAGGGAAUGUGUCGGGUUUGUGAAGGAAGUGCUGGUCUUGCUGUUCCGUUGGCCUCAAAACUUUUUGUGCUCUCAAAGGAGGCCAUCUAGUGAGACGUGUUAGGCCCCCACAUUUUUCGGACCCGCCUGUAAUCUUUGAGACCUUUAUUGCAUUUCUAGGGUUUCAGUGCUAGAAAUUGCAGAUCUGCACGAAAACACAUGAAGUCAUUCCCAGAAGCGGCAUGGAAAAUCCUAUGUGAUGUAUUAGCGACAUGCGUCUCCCUUUUACAGACGAGAGAGGGACAGUUCUGGCCAUCAGGGGGAGAAAUUACUUCGAUGGCAUGACUAGUCCAACCGUUUGAAUCCACUAAAAUCUUAUGAUGCCAGAAAUCCACGGAUCUGGCACGACGUCAUCACAUGGCCCCUGUAGGGUGUGGUAAAAGUUUGAGCGUGUUACGAAUAGGCCUCACAUGAGGCCGCUUGUAAAAUGGUUACACCAUGGGUUUGGAAGAGUACAAGGGGUAUAUACAUUUGGACUUACCCACCAACUAAGGAAUUCAUAUAAUAGCAUAAAUAAGGGUCGCAACAACUUUUCAUUUUGCAUGUGAUCGUAAUAUGGUUAAACCAGGGGUUUGGAAGAGUACACCACCAUCAAAAUAUUAAAGUGGAUACAUAGAGAUAGGGAAAUUGAGAGCAUAAAAAAUAAGACCAAUGAAAACUAGUUGGGAGAAAAUGGAUGAGAAAGAAGGGAAGUCAUUUCAAAAUAAUUUUCGCAUUAAAAGAACAGGCAACCAAAAAAUCGAAGAAAAUGUAAGUUGAAUGCGUUCAUUAGCACAUAUGGCUUAUAUGACAUGUAAGCCGAGUGCUCUGACAGGACACACGGCUUAUAUGUGAUGUAAGUCGAGUGCUCUCAAAGGGCACACGGCUUAUAGGAUGCUCCGUGACGGCACCAUGAAGCCAUCUUUGCCGAGUAUGUGCUAUAAACCGAGUGCCUUUUCGGGUAUAAGGCGUAUGCACUAUGUAAGCCGAAGGCAUUUAGAGACCACUCGACUUAGAUGAUGGCAUUCUUACAUCAGCACUUGGCUUAUAUCUCAUAAACCGAGUGCCUGCAAAAUAGCUCAUGUCUUAUAGCUUAACACAUGCGAAAACGGGAUUUUCCUGCAGUGCCUUGUUGAUGAUCCUGACAACUAGCAAAGCAAUUCCUUGUCCCUUUUCUGCAACUAGCAUUUACGUCAGUGUCGAAAGCGCUGUUAUUUUUAUAUUAUACUCCCUCCGUUCUAAAAUAUCUGUCUCAACUUUGUACUAGCUCUGAUACAAAAUUGUAUUAAGUUUGAGACACUUAUUUUAGGACGGAGGGAGUACUAUCUAUGUAUUUAAAUAAUUAUAGUUGAAAAAAACUAGACUAGUUUUUUUUAACUAUAAUUACGGAGGGAAUAGGACGGAGGGGAAGGAGAAAAUGGACGGGUGAAGUGAACCUUCUCCAUUUCAUUGAAUGUGGUCGCAAAAGGUUGCUUGGACUCAUCAUUCAGGAAAGCCAUGGAAUGGAAUGGAAUGCUUCAAGCGGACCAAACCGUGAUGCCCUCCACUUGCAAGUCCACUCUCAUCUCAUGAUACCUACCACACAUCCAAAAUCGCGGCUGUGCGGCCGGCCGAUCAACUUUGACUCCUUUGGAUUGCCACUUGCGCUUGCGCACCCACUCGAUCCAAGGUGGAAAACCAAAUGACAAAUGAUGCGUCGCCGUCGCCGCCGUCGUGCGAAAGAAAAACGAGCCAGUCUCCCCACGCGCAUCCACGGCGCGCGAUGGUCGCCGCCGGCUACGCCGUCCUCGUCACGAUCAUCGCCGUCCAAGUGUUGCCGCCGGCUGAGUCGUUCAUGAUGGAGUGCGACGGCAACCCCCAGACGGCCAACAGCACCUUUCCCUCGACCCUCAAGCUUCUCGCCGCGGGACUCCCAGGCAACGCCUCCACCUCCCCAAACGGCUUCGCCACCGCCACCGUCGGCACGGCGCCCGGCCUGGUCUACGGCAUGGCCCUCUGCCGGGGCGACACCAACGCCUCGUCCUGCCGCGCGUGCGUGGCCCAGGCGUUCCGCGACGCGCAGGCAAGCUGCCCCGGCGACACGGGCGCCUCCAUGUACGAGGACGGCUGCGUCCUGCGCUUCUCCAUCCAGCGCUUCCUCGACUUCCUCGGCGCCGACCAGUGGCAGGUCCGUGAGAUCACUUUCUCCUCUGCCGCCGCUCCCCAGACCGUCGCGGUUUCCGCCGCCUGGUUCGGCGCCGCGGUCCGAGCGAUCCUCACUGCCGUGUCCAACCACGCGGUGUCGUCCCCGUCGCCGGCGGCGAGCAGCAAUUCGACUAUGAGAAGCAAGUACUUCGCCACGGGUGAGGAGGCCUUCAACCCGAGGAUUUACGGGCUCGCGCAGUGCAUCCCAAACCUGGCGCAGGCGCAGUGCGACGGCUGCCUCGGGAGACUCCAAGAUGAGGCAGCACCCUAUUUGGGCACUAACAACCCCCGAUCGAUCGACCUUGGUUCAGCGUGGUGCAUCCUGAGGUACAGCGUGGGGCGGCCGAUCUACGACGGCCAGGCAAUGCUGCAGAUUCUGGCGCCGCCACGGCAUUCUCCUUCUGCCUCUCCACAGCUCGGACCAGGUAGGUAGUAGCUAGCACAAUUUCCAUUCAGCAUGUUCUUAUCUGAACAAGACAUAUUUAUCUUCUACUAUUAUCACCAUCUAUCCAGGAAACACAAAGAUUGCAGCAGGAAUCUAUGCAGGCAUUGCUUGUUCCGUUGUCUUGAUAUUGAUUCUAUCAGUUUUCGCUUUCAUACGGUUCAAGAGAAAGAUAAAGACCGCCGAGGAUGAUAAUCGUGAGUAGGAUUAAUCUUGCAUCUAGCCAAUAGUCUGUCCGUUCAAGGGCUGCACUUCCCGUUCCCGUUUGCUCACAACAUUUCUCGCUUUUUCACAUGACACACCAGCAUUCAAGAAAAUGGCGAGAGCCUUGAUCUUCGAUUUGACGGCACUGCAAGAGGCAACCGGAAACUUCUCAGAGGCGAAUAAGCUCGGAGAGGGUGGUUAUGGAAUUGUAUACAAGGUACGAAAACAAGCAAGAAAGCAAGUUAAAAAAGAGUCGAUGUGUUGCGCUUUCGGGCCUGCUUGUCUGAAAAAUAAUUUGCAUGCAUGUUUCAGGGAAUACUGCCGGAUGGGCAAGAAAUAGCAGUGAAGAAGCUUUUGGGAGCAACUGAGCAUGGUUUGCAUCAGUUGCGCAAUGAGGUGCUGCUAUUGGCGGAGCUUCAGCACAAGAACCUUGUCAGAUUACAGGGGUUUUGCUCGCAUCGGGACGAUACGCUGCUUGUUUACGAAUAUAUCAAGAAUGGGAGCCUCGACAACUUUCUUUUCGGUAUUUAUUUUCAUAUCCAUUCACUCUCUACGUAGUGCUAUGCAGAAACAAGAUUUAUAUUCAUCAAAUAAGUUAUACAAACAAGAUUUAUAUCUAACUUCUUCAGGGAAAUGAGUAAUUUUUUUUUGAAAAGGAGGCUUAGCCCCGGCCUCUGCAUCAAUAGAUGCAUGCAACCAUAUAUUAAACCAAAACAAGUGUCGACAGAGUACAACUAAAAGUAACAAAGUGUAAAAAUUAAAAAUAAAGGCGAGCUUCACGCCAAAGCCGUAGAUGACUAAAAGAUGUAGAUGUUCAAACACCUAUCCUAUUAAUAUGUCGCCAUCCAAACCGGCUGAAGAUAUCCUGUGCUACCAUCUCCCAACGGGCACACCCAGUAACCAUAUGCUCCCUGGCUGCCACAGGAGUGAGUAACGACCAUGUGCGGAUCAGUGCGGUAAUUUUGAGGAUAACCUGCAGAAAGUUAAUAUCACGUAUUCUGUUAAAAACUAAAUCAUUUCUGCAAUUCUAUAGAGCCCACAAAAGAGCACAUGCUCCAACACGAAUAUGUUUGGCCAAAUAAACAUCCACUCCCUGUAAAAGGCAAAUGAUUAUUAUGAUUGUUCCUUAUUUAUCUUUCGGCAUCAGCUAGUAUGUAAAUUGAACAUCAUUCUUUUUGGCAACAGAUGCUAGUGAGGAAAAUACUCUAAACUGGGAGCAACGGUACAACAUCAUUCUUGGAAUUGCCAAGGGAAUACUGUAUCUUCACGAGGACUCAAUCCCAAGGAUAAUCCACAGGGACCUUAAAGCUAAUAAUAUUCUUCUAGACGAGGAGAUGGAUCCUAAAAUCGCAGACUUUGGAUUGGCAAGGCUGCUACAAGAAGGUCACACCCAUACUCAAACCACUAGAGCUGCUGGAACACUGUAAGUCAAAUGCCUAUAAUUAGGUUUGCAAAAACGAAAAAGUUACUUGUAAUUAUGAUCUAUAUCACUUAGUGAAGGUCCGUUUCCAAGCCUAAUUUCCCAUCCUCUGCAGCGGUUAUAUGGCACCAGAGUAUGCAGUACACGGAAGUGUGUCACCCAAGAUAGAUAUUUUCAGUUUUGGUGUAUUAGUCCUUGAAAUUAUAACCAGGAGAAGAAACUGCAGUUCAGAUUAUGGGGAUACCGUCAACCUCAUUAGUGAUGUAAGUGCUGGAUUUACUUUAUUUUCAUCAGCUUUUAGUGUCUUUGAACACUGUAUCAUUUAAAUUAUCGUAUCUAAAAGGAUCUUCCAUGUCUUUGAACACUGGAUUUACUAGGUGUGGAAUUACUGGACAAAAGGAACAAUAUCACAAAUGAUGGACGAAUCACUCAAUGGAUACCAUCAAAGCCAAGCGCUACGGUGCAUCCACAUCGGGUUGCUGUGCGUCCAGUCGGACCCUGACGACAGGCCUCAAAUAUCAACCGUCAUUUUCAUGUUAACAAGGGACACCAUGGAGCUUCAUCCACCGGCACAGCCCGCAUUCUUCUUUGGAACAGAAUCACCAUCUCCAGCUUCUCCACGAUCUGAUUUAGUAUUGGAAGAUGACGGAUCUUGGAAUGGGGUUACAAUUACUGAGCCAUAUCCUAGGUGAUAUAUGUGCUAAAGAAUAGGCUUGUACUCCCUCCGUUCUUAAAUAUAAGACAUUUUAGAGAUUCCACUAUAUACUACAUACGGAUGUAUGUAGUCACAUUUUAGAGUGUAGAUUAAUUCACUCAUUUUACUCUGUAUGUAAUCUAUAAUCAAAUCUCUAAAAGGUCUUAUAUUUCGAAACGGAGGGAGUAGUUUUGUGUAACGUGACAUGGUUCCUUUCUUUGCGGAAGGAAAUUCACGGAUCGGCAUUGAAGAUGCCUAUAGAACAUCUUCAAUUGGACUGGGCCAGAUUUUUAAUUUUUUUUGCGAAGGACCGGGCUAAUUUGACUCCAUAUUUGUCCGGAUGUGUACCCUUGAAGCUCGUAUUUGUCCAUGUAGGCGUGUUUCUCAAAUUAUUCAAACACAUCCAUAUAUGACUGAUGAAAAUGAGGAGAGAAAAAAAAAGUAAUAGGUGGGUUCAAAGUGGCUGGGUGUCCAGACAUGUGAAUGGCCUCAUUUCCUCCCAACAAACAUAAACGUUAGCGGACGACCUGCGCAUAAUUAUGGAUGCACUUGAAUAAACUUUUUCUUUCUCAUGUUGGAGAAAUGUCCAAAAAUAUACUCACAUGUCCACACGGUUGAAAUAUACUCACCAUGUCCAGCCUACCCCGGCCACUCAACAAGUCCUCGACGCGCCAGUUUUCCACGAGUGGGUGAUCGAGUGGCAAUCCAAACGACGAGUCAAACUUGUUCGGCCGCCCGCGCCCGCGCAAGUGGCAAAGUCAUCCGUGUCGAAAUUAAGCAUCAUAUUUUUUGUAACACAGUACAUUUGUAAGCGUGUCCAUAUAUAUAUGCGCAUACGAUCAUUUCUACGAACACAUAAACAUACAUCUUAAGAUUUACGAAAUCAUCGUAGACGCCUCGUCAUUGAAGAAGACGUCUCCUUCCACUAAAUACACAUCAUCAAAAAUACUAAAAUAAAUUUAAAAAUAAUACAAACAUCAGGAUUUAGAUCCUGAUGGACGGGAUACCACCGUUUUUCUAACCAUCCAGCCGCAAGUUCACGUGUAAUUAAGCAUCAUAUGUGAAGACCAAGUUCCAACCAAGAACUAAUUCACUGUUCGGUGUCUUGGCAAAACGGGACCAUGUGACUUGUUUAACAAUGGGUCAUGACGUUUCUACAUAGACGGCCAAAACGGAAAACAUCAACUUGCGCCAUCAAUUGCGUUGCAAAAGAUGAUUUUCUAAACACUUAUGAAAAGAUCCUUUGUUGACGGAUGGUUUUGUAUCCGCCUGCCUUGAGGGGUUUGACCGCAUGCGUCUCCCCCGAAUGCUAGUUUAGAAUUCCAUGGUUUCCUAGCGUGCCGGCUCGUCCGGCAGACUAUGUGGACUCCAAAGUCCAAGCUUGGUGGUAUGGCUAGAUAGACACUAGCAGCAUGUCGAGUCCACGGUCGUGGAAACACAUUCAUCGCCCCUGAAAGCAACUCUAGAAGAGCUGUCAUAUUAGGUUGAUCGUCAUAAUAAUCGUUUGUAUCGUAACCACAGCCAAAAAAGCUUCUUUGAUAGAGUCGUCAUAAUAAUCAUACACCUGUGGUUGUUUCACCCGGAAGAUCGCCAACUAAUGUAUGCCAUGUGUUUUGCAUCUGAUCCCAUCCACGCACAUGAAAUCCAACCAGGUUUUUCAUCGGAGUGCACGUAUUUGUGGGCAUAUAAACCCAUAUCGUCUCGCUUUGCCGACACCACUCCACCCAUAUCUUCCCUAAUCCUCGUCGCCACCACUCACACCCACCACCUCCCCUGCUCUAUAUGUUUCCCUUCACCGUUUCUCUUCACUGGGGCCGCAACACUCACCUCAUCGACCAUGUCAUGGUUGCACCAUCCUCACGAACCUUCCCGGGAAACGAAAGAUGACAUUGCUGAAAGAUAAUUCUAGGAGAAGACAAAGGACUACACCUAGUGGGUCGAGGAGGACGCGUAUCGUAAGGCUGAAUUAGCCGUCGAUCUGUCCCACUCCCCGUUGUCCUCACAUAAUUUGCCUACAUGUUGAUACCGCCAAGACAGCAAUGGACACCAUGCUUACACCGGCUUGAAGAACUAUGGCCUUAUCCCGCUUCCAUGAGACAGUGUCAUUUGCUAACCAUUUGGCCAUGGUAGUCGCAACAGCAGUAAGCAUCGAUUGUGUGCAAGUCAAUUCCAAAUGGAACAAAAGUCCGUAGUUCAAAUUCUUGUUCAGAUGGUUGUUCAAAUCCUAGUUGUAACCCAUGUUCAAAUCUAGCAUGAAAAAACUUCCAUUAUUUAGGUGCGGAAGAAAGAGGUCUUGUAGCCAAUGACAAAUGAUUCCCAAUGUUUCUUUUAAGGCUAUGCUUAUGACAAUUCUAAGUCUGUGCAUGGCCUUGGGAACCUCUAUAUUAUUAUGGAAGACGCUCCAUACAGAAGAUGGCAGUCGAUAUUAUGACGACUUUGUUUGAGUAGCUCUAAAUCGAUCACCUCAUUGUGUCACUACAGCUAUUGGUUACUGUUUUCAGCUCAAGUUUAGUUACUCCAUUCUCUCAAAGGUUUCUACCAGAAUUCAAAUUGGCCGAGUGCUAUGUCUUCAGAUAUGCACAAGUAAACAUUUGUAACUUUUGUUGCUAAUAUGUACUAGAAUGAACGAGAUCUACCACCAUUUUUAAUGACAUCGAAUGGUAUAUCCAUAAAUUUGAUUUAACUUUUGCAACGUUGAAACACCGAUUACAACAUAAACAUUGCCUUUUACUACAAGCACAAGACGCAGAAACAACGAGUACAACAUAAACAUUGCCUAUUACUACAAGCACAAUAGCGAGACACUAUAGUGAAAAAUAUAGGGUUUCAUCACUACUUGGAUGUUGUACGGCCUCCCAUUUAACCACGGCACGUGUACCUUAAUAUAGUACAGAUGGAAGCGCUCGUAUAAUCACACACACACACACACACACUCAAUUCAUGUGAGCACCGUCGAGAGACUGAAUCGGCAUAUCAUCUUGAGAUUUACGAAGUCAUCGUAGGUGCCUUGUCGUCGACGGGAACGUCUGUUUCCAUUGAAUUCGCAUCGCAGAAAACCAUGAAAUAAAUUCAGAAAUAAUGCGAGCACCAGGACUUGAACCCUCGUGGGCUGGGGAUACCAUUGUCCCUCUAACAUAUCAACCACAUAUAUUUUUACUGAACAGAGUGCAAUCGAAGUCGCUUACAUAUACGAGUAUACACUCAACCCUAUGAACGCACGAAUGCACAUCCUAUCACUAUGAACACUUUCGAGAAACUGAGCCGACAUCAUCUUGAGAUUGACGAAGUCGUCAUAGACGCCUUCGUAGUCGACGUGAAUGUCUCCUUCCACUAAACACACAUCAUCAAAAGGUCUGGAAUAAAUCCAGAAAAAUGCAAGCACCAAUGUCAAAGUCUAAGACUUGAAUUCUGAUGGACUGUCCUCUAACUAUCCAACCACAGAUUGGUUGAACAUGGCAUGUGUACCUGACGGCACAGACCCGCAUGAUGGAUCAUUAAAUGGGUAAAUACUAGCAAAUAUUGUACUAAAUGGUGUAAGAACUUACAAAACUCUCGUUAAAUGGGAUAAUCCGGAUUAAAAACCGGUAAAUGAAAUAAUUUGUGUAUAAAAAUGUUUAUUCAGAAAUUAAGCACGACCCUGGCUAGUUGAAGUGAGUGGAUGGCGGCUUCCACUGCACUCGCCAACUUGCUAUUAAUUUUUUCCACGUCUUCAAAAGCCACAUCCUCCUCCCUCUGCUCUUCUUCUUCCACCGUGUUGUUCAAUGGCGGCUCACCGUGUCGCCCUGUGUGUGCUCAUCCUUGCCGUCGCACUGCUCGCGCCCAGCCGCCACGUCGCCGGAGAACCGUGGCAAGUGUGCGGCGACAGCGGCGAAUACGACGACAAGAGCGAGUACCAGGCCAACCUCAACCUCGUCGCCCACGCGCUCCCCAAGAAGGCCUCGGCGUCGCGCAACCUCUUCGCCACCGCCGAGGCCGGCGCUGUCCCGGAGAAGGUCACGGCCCUCGCGCUCUGCCGCGGCGACGCCACCUCCAGGGCCUGCUCCACCUGCCUCGCCAACGCCUUCGACAACCUCCCCAACGUGUGCCAGGGCUCCAAGGACGCCGUCAUCUACUACGACGCCUGCAUGCUCCGCUACUCCGACGUGCAGUUCCUCUCCGCCGACGACUCCGGUCCCAUGGGCUUGGACCUCAGCAUGACGGUCCGCAACUCCGUGAACGCCACGUCGGAGCCUGGCCGGUUCGAGCGCGUCGUGGCCGCGCUCAUGAACGCCACCGCCGACUACGCCGCGUACAACUCCACCCGGCGGUACGCCACCGGCCAGGCCGACCUCGACCGGGAGUUCCCCAAGGUGUACAGCUGGGCGCAGUGCACCCCGGACCUGACGCCGGGAAGGUGCCGGGACUGCCUCGCCCAGAUCUUGGCGCAGCUGCCGCUGCAGUUCACGGACGGUAUCGGAGGCAGGCUUCUUGCUCCCCGAUGCAGCUUCCGGUACGAGACCAAGCCCUUCAUGACCGGCCCAGUGAUCGUGCAGCUGCCAGCAACGUCGGCCACCUCUGGAGCACCGGCGCCGGCCGUAGCCCCCACCGCUCCUGCGCCGGCGACACCACAGGGUCAGAUCUUCUUAACUUUUAGUUGGACUACUCCCUUUUUAUUUACUUUGCGUAUUAGAGUUGGCUAAAGUCAAACUUGGUAAGAUUUGAUCAAGCCUAUAGAAAAUAAGACAAAUACUUACCAUAACAAAUACAUAUUAUGUUAAUAUUUCUACCUAUACACUUUGUUAAAAUUUAUAAAUCUUGACUUUGACCAAAGCUAAUAUGCGGAGUAAAUAAAAAUGGAGGGGUACUGUCUUUCACUUUAGCGUUUCCUCCGCUCUUCUCUUCUUCCUCUGCAUUUCUCCGCUCUGCUCUGUUUUCCUCUCUACGUAUUCAGCUUCUAACGGACGUGAGUGAAACGACAAUUCAUGACAAAUCUUAUAUUCGAACUCAAAAGAUCAUCAUGCGAUAUUUCAGUUCACGUUUGCUACACUCGUCUGACAUGGCAUGAGUCAUCUCAAAUUGUACAGGGAGAAAGUACAGUGUUCCUGGCAUGGUUCUUAUAAUUCUCUUGCCUACAAUAGCAGCCAUAAACCUCAUUGUUUGGCUCUUUUCAUGGAGGAGGAGGCAGGCACUUGCAAAGGCAAAGCAACCGGGUAUGUAUGUCACUUUGUCACUCAAAAACCCCUAGUUGUAGUGCGUGCCAGGGCCUAAAAUGAAACAAUUUAUUUACUUGUGUCGACCUGUGUUCACAAUGGCAUCUCUAUUCAAACAGGUCCAGAUUAUUCCAGUGAUGAAGCACAUGACAUGGAAAGUGUGGAGUCAAUGUUAAUCGACAUUUCAACUUUGCGGGCUGCAACCGAGGAUUUUGCAGAAAGCAACAAACUCGGCGAAGGUGGAUUUGGCCCCGUGUACAAGGUAGUGAGCUAACCUAUAUAUCUUGAAACAAGUAGGCACAACACUGGAAAAUUGGUGGUUUAGCAAAACUUUCAUACAAUUUGAUCAGGGUACUCUCCUAAGCGGCGACGAGAUCGCAGUGAAGAGAAUGUCCAAGACCUCAACACAAGGAGUGGAGGAGCUCAAGAAUGAGCUCGCCUUAGUUGCAAAGCUGAAGCACAAGAACCUUGUCAGACUUGUGGGUGUCUGCUUGGAGCAACAAGAGAGGCUGCUCAUCUAUGAGUUUGUUCCUAACCGCAGCCUCGACCUGAUCCUUUUCGGUAACUAGUUGAGCCAUGAUUCUGCCGUCCAUUUUCUCCUCAGAUUGAAAUAAUAAUAUAACAUCACAUAGAUCUUAUACUAUCAUUUUCUAAUUCUUCUGAUGAAAAACACAGAUGAAGAGAAACGUCGGCAAUUGGAUUGGGAAACGAGGUUCAAGAUCAUAAAUGGAGUCGCUCGUGGCAUACAGUACCUCCAUGAAGACUCUCAACUCAAAGUAGUCCAUCGUGACCUCAAAGCGAGCAACGUCUUGUUAGACAUGAACAUGAACCCGAAGAUCUCGGAUUUCGGCCUGGCCAAGAUUUUCGGGAGAGACCAGACCCAGGGCGUGACGAACCGCGUCAUCGGCACAUAGUAAGUAGUAUCAUAAAUGUCGUUAAGUUUUCCAGUAUAGUAGGGAAAUUACCAACGACAAUGAAUUCUUGUUGUUGGUUCAGUGGAUACAUGGCGCCAGAGUACGUGAUGCGUGGGAAUUACUCUGUGAAAUCAGACGCGUUCAGCUUUGGCGUUUUGGUUCUGGAGGUCGUGACUGGAAAGAAGAACAGUGACUGCUGCAACACUCAGCAAUCACAGGAUCUCUUGACCACAGUAUGCACUUUUUAUUUGAAAAUCUAGCUAACAUGCAGUGCAUCUUGGCUCAUCGAUCGUACACAAUUGUGCAGGUAUGGGAGCAUUGGACUGCCGGAACAGUGUUGGAGAUGGUAGACCCAUGCAUGGACAAGAACUUCUCGGAGAGCGAUGCGGUGAGGUGCAUCCAUGUCGGGCUUUUGUGCAUCCAGAGCAGCCCGGAAGACCGGCCGAUGAUGUCGAUGGUGGCCAUGAUGCUCGGCAGCGACACAUUCCCUCUGCCCGCUCCGUCGAAGCCGGCCUUAUACUCUACAAACGUUGGUGCCAAUUCAAGCACCGGGUCAAGCAUGUCGAUCCCAUCAGUGCAGGCCCGGUCAUAGCUAGUAGAUUUUUCUUCAUCGCAACAACUUACAGCCGAAAUGGCCAAUGCGUCUCUGGUGUCAUUGCAUCCGAAUUGGAAGAAUAAUUUAAAAUUUUCAGCAAGAGUCAAAAAAUUCCAGAAUUUGUUUGGAGUCAAACUCGUGCGAAAAGUUUCGUGAAAGAAUAGUUAAUUCGACCAUUUCAAGGACCAAGAAAACAAAUUUAAGAUUACAAAAAAAACAUGAAUAACAAACUCCUUUUAUAAAGUGUCAUUUUUUUUCUGACUAUAAUACAACGAGUCAUCCCUCCGUGAAACUUUUUAUUACGCUAGACCAUGUUAGUUACAAAAAAGUCUCCGAAUUUUUUGAAUCUUUUUUUUUCUAAAAUUAAAAUUUAAUAUAUUUUGGGUGUAUUUGUCCAUGUUCAAAGAUAUGCGUAACAAUUUCAGUUACGAAUUAACUUUUUUACUCUAAGGAGGGUGUGUGCACACAACUCUAGCUAUCACGAUUAUCUUUGGUUCAUAUAUGAGGCCUACAGAUUUGCUAUUCAGCAACUUAGGCCUUCCGUAAUGGUAGUAUCUUGACACAAUAUCAUAGGCAAAAUGCUGACGUGGCACUAUAUUUAUUGAGGAAAGAGGAGGUUGUUGUAUCUUAUUUAGGAUACGGCUCUUGCACGGUAUCAUAGGCAAAAUAACUUGUUAGACCAAUCACAUAUUAGUAUGAGGCCAAAAUCAUUAAAUACAUGCUUACUAAGAUACGACACUUAACAUACAAUACAUUAGGAUGGUUGUAUCUAACGAUCGCAUACUACCUAGAAUACCGCGCUAAGAGACAAUGCAUUACGGAAGGCCUUAUCGAGCAUCUUAUCAGCAUGUUUAGUUGUAGUUGGCGUUGGCAGGCCGUACAUGUGAUAUGUAUGAAGAUUGGGAGUUGUUGGCCAGAGAGGGUGCACGGUGAGAUGGUAAUGCCGUGAAAGAAAAUGAAAAGUAAAAAUAAAUAAAAAAUACACACAUGAAUCUCUGCGUAAGAUUAUUGACAUAUGAUUUAGAUGUGCGAUAUUUAUGACACUUCAAGAUAUGCUUUAGGAAAUUUUAUUAAAUAAGCCAUCUAGUUUUACAUUUGAAAACUAGACCUUGUUGACAGCAGAGGAUAAUAAUCCGUAAGGACCAAUUAUUUCUUAAUCUCGUAGGUCGCUACAGUUUCUUCAGCUCAGGCCCCUGACGGCAGCACGCAGUUGCCGAUCUCUGUAAAGAGUGGAACGAAAUCACCAUCAACAAACAGAAACUUCUUGAGGAAUCAGAGUCAGGAAUUAAGAAGUGAACUUACUUGGUGCUUGCCGGACAAUGGCGCCGGCCCCGGCGAAGUCGCACGUUCCGGUGGCCCGGCCACGCCGCUGGUAAUAGUCGUUGAAUGCAAAGGACGCAUGCGCGACCUUGGUGUCGGGGUCGAAGCACCGUGCUCCGGGCUGGAUGUCCGUGCAGUCGGCGCCGCCGUGGCCGCAGGCGUAGUCCAGCGCCAUCUGUAGCCGCACGUCGCCCACCGCCGCGUUCGCCACACACCAGCUUGGGCUCGGGUCGCACGCACCUGAUGGUGCCUGGUUGACAAUGGUGCCGGCGCCGCCGAAGUCGCACGCGCUGCUGGCCCGGCCGUUCUUUUGGUAGUAGUCGUUGAAGGCGUAGGACGCGUGCGCGAGCUUGGUGUUGGGCUCGUAGCAAGGCUUCCCUGGCUGGAUGGCGCCGCAGUCCGCCCCGUGGCCGCAUGCGUAGUCCAGCGCCGCCUGCAAGGCCGCGUCCCCGACCGUCGGGUUCGCCACGCAAUAGCUUGCCUGCAAGGGCCCGCCGAUGGUGCCGCCAUGAACGAAGUCGAUAGGGCUCGGGUACACGGGCUGCUCGUUCGGGUAGAACAACCCAAAAUCCUGCUCGUCUGCCGGCUUGCUGUUCUCGUUGAAGAGGGCGAAGAUGUACACGUUCAUAUCGGUGUUGGGACGGUGCGGGGUGCCGCGGACAGCGCUGGCGGCGACCGGGCUGCGUCCGUUCGUGGCGGCGGAGUUACCCUGCAGCACUUGGAGGGUGAGACCAGCCAUGAAAUCUUGGGCGUUUUGUGGGGUUCCCACGCCUUUGUGGCCUUGGUUUGGGUACCCAUGCUCCCCAUGGUGGACGUUUGGGGUUCCCCCUCCUCCUGCCGUCAGCUUCCUCAUCCCCCCGACGUGCAUGCUGGAGGACGGGAGCUUCUCCACCGCAUAGUAGACUGCGUCGAGCUCAGCGUCGAAGAGGCUAUAAUAUGUUUGCCCACUAACCUUGUCAAGCACGCCGUCGUUGGGGCGGAACAAGAGGUAGUUAAUGGACAUGCCUGGGGUAUUGAGGUACGCGAUGUAUGGGUAGAAGUUCACCAUGAGAUACGACCCGGUCUGCUGCAAGAAGUCGACCAUGGGGCUCAUCACCGACAUUGCGAUGUCGUCCUUGAACGCGCCGGCGGACGGCGGGAACGACGUCUUGAGCGCGUCAAACGCGAUGGGGGUUGUCACCUUCACGGCGUCAGCCAGACCAACGGUAACCAGCGCCGCAUGCACGUUCUUCAUGGCCAUGACGAGCUGAGAGUUUAGAUGGCUAGCCUCCUUAAACACCUCGUUCCCGAUCGUCACGCCAUUGAUCAGCGUGGCCGGGUAGUAGGCCUUCACAUUGUUCUGCACCCACUGCAGUGCGAAAUUAUUUUGGUCGGCCGCCGCCAGCGGCAGCUCCUCAUUGGUUAGCUCCACUGUGACCUUGAUGUUGGUGUUGGCCAGCGAGCGCAGCACCGUCGGGUCGGUGUCGUAGAUUCUCACCAUGGUGAUGCCGUUCUUCUUGAGCAGUCGCACCACGGAUGCCGGGUCCGGCAAGUCUGUCGCCACCCUCCCGUAGCAGACGCCCACCUCGCCACCCUCCGCAGCAUGGGAGAAGAAGAGCAGCGGCAAUGCUGCGCCGAGGACGACAACAAGGAGGUGAACCAUCAUCGGUACCUAGUGUGGAGUGGAGUGGGCUAGCCAGGGCCUAAUGGAGACCAGGAUCAAUCUCGAGCUGAUGAGUUGAGAAUGAACUCGGUAGGGGGUUUGGAAUUUAUAGCCGGGCAGGCACCAAUGCUACUACUAACAUGCAUGAUGCAUGGAGGUAGAUAUUGCUACAUUUCUCUUUGGGCAAGACGAUCGAUGUGGCAACCAAAACUGGGACAGCUACCGAUAACAGCGUAGCAUGCACAGUAAUGCUAGAGGGCUCUCUACAGAAGAUUUACAGGCUCGUUAGUUAUGAUUGGUUGAAACUUGAUUAAAGAGGACGGUCCUGUUGGGACAUAAGCCGCGGCGAGGCGUCGAACGAGCCGGGCGCGUGUAUGGGCACGUGCGGUGCCCGGCACGCUAGACGCGUCGGGUCCGCGACGUUAGGUGUGCGUGCGUGCGUGUAGGAGCUGCAUGGGCAUGUCCGUGCGGGUGUAGCCUAUGCGUUGUGUUCGUUGGCGCAAAGGGCGCGGGGUAGACCGCGUCGGGGCGCUGGACCCGGUCGCGCGGAUCGCGUGCGGGCGCGGCGGGAGCUCGGGCCGGGAGCGCAGGGACGUGGGCGAGUGUGCGACGAGGGCCCGUCGUGGGCGCAACGUAAGGCGCUGGUGGAUGCGUGUAUAAACUUCUUGUACCCCGUGUGUUGUACUGGCGAGGAGGACAGCUGAGUUCGAGCUCAGGUGAAAUAUAUAGAGCGCGCUGUUCGCGGUGGCGGAGGUGUUCGAGCGCCGAGAAAUUCAUUGUGUCCAUCCCUCCCUCUCUGCACCUUGUCUCCGGCGAUCACCGGGGCGGGGUGGUUCCAUUUUCCAUCUAACAUUUGGUAUCAGAGCCUCGUGUGAUCAGGGAGCUCGAUGGCCAUGGCGCUGGUCCCGUACUCCGGCGGGUCUGGGACGACGAUGGUGACGUCGGUCCCGAUGCUUACGGGGGCAAACUACACCACCUGGGCCAUCAAGGUGGAGGCUGAUCUCGACGCCGCCGGGCUCUGGGAGGCGGUCGUGCCGCCGGAGGAAGCUACGUCAGCGGUGAUCGCGAAGAAGGACAAACCUGCGCGCGCGUAUCUAAUGCGGGCACUCGCCGACGAUCUGCUGCUGCAGGUCGCGUCGAAGAAGACGGCGGCAGAGAUUUGGGCGAGCUUGCGGACUAGGUUCGUGGGUGCGGUCCGCGUACGUGCGGCGAGGCUCGGGACGCUACUGGGGGAGUUCGAGCUCCUGCGCAUGGCGGAGGCCGAAACCCUAGACGCGUUCGCCGGAAGGCUUGAAGGCAUGGCGGUACUGUACGCGGCGUUGGGCUCAACCCUGGAGGACUCCGCGCUCGUCAAGAAGCUGCUCGACUCGGUGCCGGACCGCCUGUACGCGGCGGUGGCCGGAAUCGAGCAGUUCUGCGACGUGAGCACCAUGCUCUUCGAGGAUGCUCUCGGCCGGCUGAAGGCUUUCGAUGAGAGGCUGCAGCGUCGGGGACAGACGGGCGGCGAGCGGGAGGACGGCCAGUUGAUGCUCACCGCGGAACAGUGGCGUGCGCGGGAGCGACGGCGAAGUGGUAGGCGAGACGACGACGACGACGGCAACAGCGUGGCGUCCAACGUCAGGAAGAACCGCCGCGGUCGCUGCUACCACUGCGAUGAGCGGGGACACUUCAAGAGGGACUACCCUCAUCGGAGGAAGGGGCCAGGGGCGGAGGAACAUGCAUUGCUCGGAGAAGAAGAGCAGCGGCAAUGCUGCGCCGAGGAGGACAACAAGGAGGUGAACCAUCAUCGGUACCUAGUGUGGAGUGGAGUGGGUUAGCCAGGGCCUAAUGGAGACCAAGAUCAAUCUUGAGCUGAUGAGUUGAGAAUGAACGGUAGGGGUUUUGGAAUUUAUAGCCGGGCAGGCACCAAUGCUACUACUAAGAGCAUCUCCAACAGCCGUCCUUCGCGCCGCGUCCAAAAAAUGCGUUUGCCGCGCGCGCUUCUGCUGGUUUAGCACGGGGUUAGGCGCAUGCUCCAGCAGCCGCGCUAUAAUGCAGCGCGCGCGCGCCGCUCCAGCAGUGUCCAAAAAUGCAGACGCCGCGGUAGCCGGACGCAGAACGGCGGCGCGAUGGCAUGGUGGCGCGUCGGGGGCGGGGCGCUAGAGCGGUGGCGGCACGCUGGAGCGGCGGUGGCGCGAGAGGCAGAGGGAGAGAGAGAGUGGAGCGGUGGCGGCGCGAGGGAGCGGCAGAGCUGCGCUUCUAUAGGCGCGCGCGAAGCGGCGCGGCAAAAAUGGUGCGCGAGCUGCCGCCUUUUCGCACGCGCGCGCAACCUUUUACCGCGCGCGCUGUUUUCCUGCCGCCGCUGGAGCGCGCCAUUCCGCCCCGCGCGCUAAAAUGGCGGUUUACCGCACGCACCCCUUUUCGCGCGUCCGUUGAAGAUGCUCUCUCUCUGCACCUUGUCUCCGGCGAUCAUCGGAGCGGGGUGGUUCCAUUUUCCAUCUAACAGGUCCCACCAAUAAAAAUCAGGAAAGGACAAUUAGAUUAGACCGCGUUAGCAUUUCGUAAAAGUGUGUUAGAAUCUGUCCGUAUCUUUAGCAUUUUUGUAGCAUGCAUGUAUGCCGGCCGUGCCUAACUUGGACUGGUCGAGUCGUCGAUGGACGACUGGCUUGAGAGAGACAUACAAGCUUGCACCUAAACCCAACAGACAAAAUGCUCACUAAUGGCAGUAUCCGCGGGAUACCCUUUCUCUUGUCUUGUACGUCCGAUGCUCGCCGGCAUCAAACUAGUGGCAGUAUGAUGACACUACAAGUCUGGAUCAAACGCAGAGCAUGGAGUGCUCUUGGUUCCUGCCUGCUACUUUCCAGCGUUUGUCAACACGUGUGGAAAAAGACUAGGGAGGAUGCCAGUCAAUGUAGUACCUAACAUACACUACUUGAACCUCUUGACGCAUGGGGUGCUUCAUUAUCAUGAUAGACACACAUUGUUGUCUUGUAUCGANNNNNNNNNNUCCAGUUGCCCGGUAUAUCGUCCCAUUCAUAUACUUUGUCUCGUAUACAAAAACGUCGUUGGGGUGCUUCAUUAUCAUGAUAGACACACAUUGUUGUCUUGUAUCGACUGUUAGACAUUGUAAUAUUAGGGGUGCGUGUCUGUUUAAGUUAGGAUUGAUCUUGUAGAUAUAUCCUCUGUAUAGAUAAAGAUCAAUCCUAACCUUCUUGUAAAUCUUGUGUAUUUGGUUGGCUUAGGCCCUGUAUAAACACGCAUACGUCCCUGCAUAACGCAUACGCUUCUACCCCAGUUAUUUUCACAUGGUAUAAGAGCCUCCCUCUUCCCAUCUAUGUCCAACCCUCCUCCUCCACCACCACCGUCGCGAUGAACUCCUCCACCUCCCUUGCUGCCCUUGGACACACAAUCAUCGAGAAGCUUUCCCGAGAGAAUUUUUUGAUGUGGAAGGCACAGGUUCUUCCCCACAUCAGGGUUGUCGGCCUGAUGGGGAAUCUAGAUGGUACCUCUGCGGCGCCCCCUGCUGUUGUGACCAUGGAGACGGAGGUCUCCGGGAAGAAGGAGUUGAUCUCAGCUCCCAACCCGGCGUACACCGCGUGGUACAGCCAGGACCGACAGGUCCUGACUUUCCUCCUCGCAUCCCUCUCCCGGGAUGUACUCCUGCAAGUCCACACCAUCAUCACCUCCUCCGGCGUGUGGCAGAUGAUACUCAUGCUCUUUGCGGCAUAGUCCCGUGCUCGCAAGAUUCAACUUCGUGACCAACUAUCUACAUCUCGCAAAGGUGAUCUCUCCGCUGCUUCCUAUUAUACUAAGAUGAAAGGCAUCGCAGAUGAACUUGCGGCGGCCGGGACUCCUGUUGAUGAAGAUGAGGUUGUCUCUCAUAUCCUGCACGGUUUGGAUUCGGACUACAACUCCUUUGUGUCUGCAAUCUCAACCCGUGCAGCAGCAGACAAUCCCAUCGGCCUCGGUGAGCUGUUUUCUCUACUCCUCUCUGCCGAAACAAGGAUUGAAUGCCAAAACACUACUGCCGCCCACUCCAUCAACCUCGCCUCCAAAGGGGGCGGCCGUGGUGGCCCUGCUCGUUCUUCUGCUGGUGGUGGUGCCCCCUUCACCAACACCUUCGGCACCUCUGCUACACCACCAGGAGGAGGCGUUGCUCAUCCUCAAGGCCCUCUCAUCUGCCAGAUCUGCAAGUAUGCUGGCCACGGUGCUUGGUCCUGCAAAAAGCGCUUCGACAAGACCUUCAACAACAACCCCAAGCGCCAAGGCAAUCCUCCCAAGUCUGCCAAUGCCGCUGCUCCCUCCUAUGGUGUUGAUACUAAGUGGUAUCUCGACACGGGGCCGACGGAUCAUGUGACCGGUGAGCUAGAGAAGCUUACGGUUUGUGAUCGCUACACCGGGCCGGAACAAAUCCAUAUAGCAAAUGGUCAAGGUAUGGAAAUUGCACAUAUUGGUCAUGCACUUCUUCCUACCCCUCAUGAGUCUCUCAAGCUAAAUAAUAUUCUUCAUGUACCUAGUGCCACCAAAAUUCUUCUUUCCGGCCAUCACCUCGCCAAAGAUAAUGAUGCCUAUCUUAUUAUUUACCCUGAGUUCUUUUCUAUGAAUGAUCAGGCAACGGGGAACACAAUUCUUCACGGUCCAAGUAGAGAUGGACUCUACCCAAUCAAUGGCCGGCCAGCUAUCCAUGGGCGUCAGGUUCUUGGAGUCGUCAAGCCAUCUACCUCUAGGUGGCAUAGGCGUCUAGGACACCCAUCCUUCCCAGUGGUGCAGCAAAUUCUUCGUAAUCAUCAUCUUCCCGUGACCAAUAAAACCGACCAUCAUUUAGUUUGUGAUGCUUGUCAAAUGGCUAAGAGCCAUCAACUCCCUUACUCUCGUUCAACUAGUGUAUCUCAUGCUCCUUUAGAGCUUAUUUUUUCCGAUGUAUGGGGCCCUGGGCCUCUUUCUGUAGGCAAACAAAAAUACUAUGUUAGUUUCAUCGAUGAUUUUAGUAAGUUCAGCUGGAUUUAUCUUAUCAAACAUAAGUCUGAUGUGUUCCAAAAGUUUCACCUCUUUCAAGCUCUAGUUGAACGCCUAUUUGAUAAGAAAAUCAUUGCCAUGCAAACUGAGUGGGGAGGUGAAUAUCAAAGUUGAAUCAAUUUUUUGAAAGCAUUGGGAUUACACAUCAUGUUUCCUGCCCUCAUGCUCAUCAACAAAACGGUUCUGCUGAACGCAAACACCGUCACAUUGUUGAAGUAGGCCUCUCUCUUUUAGCCCAUGCAUCCAUGCCACUCAAGUUUUGGGAUGAGGCUUUUCUCACGGAUGUCUACCUUAUAAAUAGGGUUCCUAGUCGUGUCAUUCAUAACCAAACCCCACUUGAACGUCUCUUUAACAUCGCAACUGAUUAUUCUUCCCUUCGUAUUUUUGGGUGUGCAGUUUGGCCGAACUUGCGCCCCUUCAACAAACACAAACUUGAGUAUCGUUCUAAACAAUGUGUGUUUCUUGGCUACGGUCCACUCCACAAAGGGUAUAAAUGCCUUGAUGUGUCCACGGGUCGGGUCUAUGUCUCUCGUGAUGUUAUCUUUGAUGAGCACAUUUUUCCCUUUGCUGCCCUACACCCUAAUGUCGGUGCCCAACUUCGUGCGGAACUCGUUCUUUUACCUUCUCUUUUCCCCCACAGCCACCCCAAGUACCUCUAGAGGAAGUGUAUACUAAUACUGUGUCUAUUUCCCAUACCAGUGUACCAGGAUCUAGCGAAAAUUGUGCAGAAAAUGGUGAUUUAUGCAGGUAACACAUGCUAUAGAAUCGCCAGCCGCAGCAAAUCCCACCGGCGCGGAUUCUCCUGCAGAUCUUCCUGCCAGAUUCGCCUCGGGAUCGCCAGCGUCAGGCGCAUCAGCUACGGGAUCUGCGCGCCUAUCCGGCCCGCUCCCACCCGAUCAUGCCGCCCUACGUGGCGCGGCCUCACGCGCGGGUUCGGACAGCUCCGCCUCAGGCUCGGGUCGGUCUCCCGACAUCGACCACCUGCCCGGCCUGGCGCGGGACACGGGACUGUCCCGGUCGGCUGCACAACCCCCCUUGGGUCUGCCCCGGUCGGCUGUCACGCUGGUCCCCUCCUCGGAUGCGACGCCCACCUCGGCUGCUGCGGCGCCAACUCCCACUGCAUGUGGGCCGCCCUCUCUACAGAUCCUGGAGUCGCACGCUUCCGCAGCUUCACCCGACCACGCGUCGGCUCCUGAUUCGCUGCAUGACGCAGAUGACGCUGGAUCAACGUCGGCUGCCUCGUCUGAUGCCCCUGGAGCACUACGGCGUCGCCAGGCUCUCCUGCCACCUCCGUCGCCUCCUCCUCCUGAUCGUCCUCAUACACGGUCGCGCAGUGGUACUCUCAAACCCAAAGAAUAUAAAGAUGGUUGUAUCCGUUGGGGCUCCUUUUGUUCUACAGGUGAACCACAAAAUUUGUCGGAGGCCCUUACUCAUUCUCGUUGGAAGGAGGCCAUGGAUGAGGAGUAUCGUACACUUAUGGAAAAUCGUACGUGGCAUCUUGUGCCACACCACAAAGGUACAAAUCUCAUUGACUGCAAGUGGGUAUACAAGAUUAAACGUAAGUCUGAUGGCAAUGUUGAUCGUUAUAAAGCACGGUUGGUUGCAAAGGGUUUUAAACAGCGUUAUGGUCUUGAUUAUGAGGACACCUUUAGCCCUGUUGUCAAAGCUGCCACUAUCAGAUUAAUUUUGUCUAUAGCUGUCUCUAAAGGUUGGUGCAUGCGACAGUUGGACGUCAAGAACGCGUUUUUACAUGGUGUUCUGGAAGAGGAUGUGUUCAUGAAACAACCUCCUGGGUAUGUGGAUCCACAGUCACCUCAUUUUGUUUGCAAACUUGAUAAAGCUCUCUAUGGUCUUAAACAGGCACCAAGAGCCUGGUACUCACGUCUCUCUUACAAGCUGCAGUCACUUGGUUUUCUGCCUUCUAAGUGUGAUACAUCUCUGUUUCUAUACUCUCGGGCUGGUAUAACCAUUUUUAUGCUUAUCUAUGUGGAUGAUAUUAUUGUCACCAGUUCACACCCUCAAGCAGUUGAAGCUCUCCUUGCUGAUUUGCGCAUAGAUUUUGCUCUCAACGAUCUUGGCUCCCUCCACUACUGAGGUAACUCAUGUUGAUGGUGGCAUCCUGUUAUCUCAAAGUAAGUAUUUACUUGAAUUACUACAACGAGUGGCUAUGCCAGGAUGCAAACCUGUUAGCACACCUCUCUCCACCUCUGAGAAGCUGUCCUUGUUUGAUGGUCAACCCCUUGGGGAUGAGGACUCUACUCAGUACCGAAGUGUUGUUGGAGCAUUGCAAUAUCUCACACUGACUCGUCCUGAUAUUUCCUUCCCAGUCAAUAAGGUUUGUCAAUUUUUGCAUGCUCCUACUACUGUCCAUUGGACUGCUAUCAAGAGGAUUCUUAGAUAUUUGCAAGGCACUUUGACUCAUGGUCUUUCUAUUCGCAAAUCUGACUCCAUGUUGGUAAGUGCUUUUUCUGAUGCUGAUUGGACUAGCUGUCCUGAUGAUAGAAAGUCCACUAGAGGAUUUGAUGUGUUUGUUGGUAGUAACCUUGUUUCCUGGACUGCUCGCAAGCAACCUACUGUGUCUCGCUCCAGUACUGAAGCUGAAUAUAAGGCACUUGCCAAUGCCACGGCUGAAAUCAUUUGGGUACAAAAUCUCUUGAUUGAGUUGGGCAUUGCUCAUCCUACUGUUGCUUCUCUUUGGUGUGAUAACUUAGGUGCAACCUAUCUAUCCGCCAAUCCCAUUUUUCAUGCUCGUACCAAGCAUAUUGAGAUUGACUAUCACUUUAUCCGUGAACGAGUUGCUCAGAAGUUAUUGCAUAUUCGGUUCAUUCCAACUGGAGAUCAAGUGGCGGAUGGCUUCACUAAACCGCUUACCGCUCGCCAGUUAGAUAUUUUUCGUCGCAAUCUCAACUUAGAUAAGUUGUGAUUGAAAGGGAGUGUUAGACAUUGUAAUAUUAGGGGUGCGUGUCUGUUUAAGUUAGGAUUNNNNNNNNNNAUCUGUAUAGAUAAAGAUCCAUCCUAACCUCCUUGUAAAUCUUGUGUAUUUGGUUGGCUAGGCCCUAUAUAAACACGCAUACGUCCCUGCAUAACGCAUACGUUUCUACCCAGUUAUUUUCACAUCGACAACGUCGCUCUUGCAACCGUCUGUCCCGUGCGCCCCCAGUUGACAUGUAUAUCGUCCCAUUCAUACACUUUGUCUCGUAUACAAAAACGUCGUUGGGGUGCUUCAUUAUCAUGAUAGACACACAUAGUUGUCUUGUAUCGACAACGUCGCUCUUGCAACCGUCUGUCCCGUGCGCCCCCAAUUGCCCGGUAUAUCGUCCCAUUCAUACACUUUGUCUCGUAUACAAAACGUCGUUUGCGAUUAUAUAUCUGUCCCGUGCGUCAAGUUGUCCAGUUGUACUACCCAAUAUUGUGUAACAUCUCAAUUCAUGCCGCAUGCAGCUCUUGUCUAUGCUCUUAUAGCGGAUUUAGUUGGGGAGAAUUAAAACUAGGCAAUGGGAAUUAAUGAGUUUUUUUAACUGAUGUGAAUUAAGGAGCUUUGCUACAUGUACACGAGAAUUACGGGACGAGGGAAUUACAGGGUGUGAUGACAGUUUCUUAUUGAUCAUUAGUAGAGGCAUGUGCCUACCCACGUUGAAAUCGGAGGGAGGUCAUGUUUAAAAAGUUUGAAAGGAUCGGAGCCCGUAGAAUCUCUGUAAAAGCCUUUUAUGUCUAACAUUUUUGGGAAUUAAGAGGGUAGGAGCCUAAAAAUCUGUUGUUUGCUUGGACGGUAUGGGAGUUGAGGUGGAAAGGGGAAGAGGAAUUAAGAGGGCCAACUCCCGCAUAUCUAUUCCCUCGGGGGGCCGGGUAAUUCAGCUGAGACUGGGAAUUGACUAAGAAAAAAUGUUGUUUAGUUCAUUGCACACAUAACGCCAAACAAAAAUCUUUGCAAAUAUGUGAUAUAUAAUUAGGGUGUGUCUAUCACUCUUCUAGAUGAGACUUAACCAAGUCACAUCCGACUCAUAUGUCACUUGAUUUUUAUAAAGAUUUGUGCAUGUUUUUUAUAUAUUUUACUUGAUACACUAGUGGGGAUAGGGCCUAUAGCCCCGGCCCGUAAGGGGCUUUAGUCCCGGUUCACCAACCGGGACUAAAGGGGCGGGACUAAAGGCCUAACAUUUUCGUUCCGGCCCUCUUACACGCCGGGACUAAAGGUGCUCCACGUGGGCGCCUCGUAGCGCCCGAGGGGCAGGCCCUUUAGUCCCGGUUCGUUACACGGUCCAGGACUAAAUAUUUUCAGAUUUUACUGGCUUUUGGGUUUUUUUUUGAAUGAAAUUAUUUUUGGGUUUUAGGGUUUUAGGGUUUAGGUGUUCAGGAGAUUAACGUGAUGCCUCGUUUGGUGUUCGGGAAUUAGUUUUCAUAUAAUUUAAAAUAGAAAUAAUUAUGCAUAUAUAUAUAUAUAUAUAAGAUUAACUUAUCUUAUAAGCGAUCAUAUAUAUACAAUUAUAUGGAGAUCUGAAUUAUCCGGACUAGAGCCCGUCUAUUCGAUUACAUGGACGAACAUCAGUAAUGGCCCUUAGCUACACUAAAUCGUCCUUUGUCUUCUAUAGCUUCCGUCCUCAGAAAUCCCGCAAGCUCCUCUGCAACAGCAAUCACGCGUUGCUCUGGUAGGACCUUCGUCCUCAUGGCCGUGUGCUAUAUAAGAAGAGGAGAUGAAUAUGAAUAUCAAUCAUGAUAACAAAGAAUGACGGGUAAAAAUAGAGGUGUGAAUGUUCAUUGCUUACGUCGAAUCUGUGAUCCUUGAACUCACAGGUAAACGUGCGAAUGGUCUCGCAAACAUAGUAUUCGCAUAGAUGCGUUCCCCGUGGCUGCUGGUCGCACUUUACGAGAAUAGAAUAUAUAUAAUCAAAAUAAUAAUCUAGCAUCAUAAAUGUAUUGAAAAUUAAUAGAAGUAUAUCAUACUACUACUUACCUGAGCCGCUCUAAAGGCCAGCUUCUCAGGAAAGUUACCGGGAGUCACGCACUUGAACCGAUUCCAAACCCUGCCCGACAAGGAUAAUGAUUUGCUAAGUUUUUCAUUAAUUGAUAUAUCAGAAAAUCAUCGAAAGAGACCGAUAGAGCGCAAGAAUGAUUAAAAUUACCCUUGGAGCAUGUCCUGCAGGCUUUCGAACUGUUUCAAGGGUCUCGGUAAUGGGUCGAAGGCAUCAACUCUUCCCCUAUCAAUUUGAAUGUCCAACAGAAUCCAAUGGAAGCUUCACAUGUAUAUAUAUAUAUAUAUGUGUGUGUGUGUGUGUGUGUGUGUGUGUGUGUGUGUGUCAGUAACUUAUCAAUUACACUUAUAAGUGAAUGGACACAACAGAGUAAAGACCCUCACCUGAAGUUGUAUGGAAACAGUAUGUGGUCACAGAAAUUUUGAUCUCUUAGAAACCUUAGAAGGUUUUCCUCCGUCUCCUUGGGACAAUUAGUUAGCGUCGCUAUAUGUAUUUUAUCUGGAUCAAUAAACCCAAUAUUUAGGAUGCUCUUACUUUUACACUCCAGAAUCUUCAUUCUGCAUAAUAGAGUACAAGUUAUAUAUAGACAAUGAAUUGAAAUAACUAAACAAGUUAUAUGUAGACAACGAAUUUAAAAACUUACAGACAAUAGCAACUCAUAAGCGAUUUGUCGAGGGCGUCGCCAUUGUACAUCUGGAAGAGUUCAUCAAAGUUGAUAUGGAUUUCUUCGGAGCGGCCGUAGUACUCCUGUGGGACACUCAACACGAUCAUCGUUCUCCCAUUCUUUGAUUCACUUAAGUACCAUGUAUGCAAGUAACGCAUAUUUGUUGGGAGAUCAUGUUUGCUCACCAAAGGCUCUCCCAUGACAAACUGUGGCUUAGGGGCUACCACAGCCUUGGGUAUCCUGUCGUCUUGGGAAGCCAGGAAAUCUUCAACCGAGAUACCACAUUCAUCCGCCAACUCCUUUGCUUUUUCAAAAGCUUGCCCCUGCACCGGAGGGGGGACAUUCUCGGUUAACACCUUGAGGGGUGGGAUCGACUGUUUGGCCUGUUGUCCAAGCUGAGGAACGUCUGAUUUUUUCUUGCUUGUAGUUGAACUUGAUUUGCUCCCACUUGCACUUGCACGUGACCUGCUCUUUUUCACUUCCUUCUGCAAUGUGCGUGUAUAGUCAUCAGGCUUAUAGUGUAAGUCAUACUGUGAUGGAUUGGUUAUGAAGUCUUUUUCCCAUGCUAUGUUCUUCUCGGUGUAUUUCGGGCGGGGCUCGGGUUCCUUCCUUUUCAUCUGCGCAUCAUGCUGUUCCUUUGCUAUCCUGGCAUUUUCCUCGGGGGUACGAUCAUAAGGUCUGAUAGGAAGGUUAGCAUGAGGUACCUUUGGGAGGGGCGACAGUUUGCGCUUUGGGGAGCUCUGUCCCUUAGAAAUCAUCGAUGAAGCGUUCUUGCUGGCACGCUUCCGCUUAGUAUCAUGUGCGGGCGGCGGCGGAGACGGACGACCCAAGUCCGGCGGCGGUGAUCGAGAUGGACUCGUGUUGUGCUGGCCGACGUCAUGUGGAGGGCUUGGAGGUAAUGGAGGUGUAGGUGACCUGCGACGACUCGGAGGCGGUGUUGUCCUUGGGGCCGAGCCUGCAAGCUUGAUGUAGUUCUUGUCCCAUAGGAUGACUCCACCCAGUACUUCUUCGAGUGUCCUCUCAUCUUCGGGUCCAGCUAUGUCGAGCUCCAUGUCAUUAAACCCCGUCAUGAUUUCAUCCACCCCGACUUUAGCAAAGCCAGCUGGAAUCUCACGGCCAUGCCAGCGUGCAUCAGGGCCAGAAGGUAAAGCUUGUCCGACGGCCACCUUCAUGGAUAUGUUCUUGAAUUUCUGAUGGAGUUCACAUGAUGUUGACUCCUUGAUUCCAUCCACGGGGUAGCCGGGACCGCCCUCUAUCAUUCUUCGUUCAUCGUCGGGCGGGGCCUCAGAUUCAGCCACGCUGCUUUUCCGCUUAGAUGGGGCGCCGGUAAUAUCAACAGCAGGAUCUUCGUGGCGCUGUACUCCUCUAAGCUCAUCAAUCUGCUUCCGUUGCUCGUUAAUCCUGGCAAGCAACUGGUUGAACUUGUCAUUCUCCUNNNNNNNNNNAGGUAAUAUCAAGUGCAGGAUCUUCCUGGCGCGGUACUCCUCUAACCUCAUCAAUCUGCUUAUGUUGCUCGUUAAUCCUGGCAAGCAACUGGUUGAACUUGUCAUUCUCCUCAUCCUGCUGCCGCUUCUUUGCUCUCUCUCGGCUUCUGUAAGUGUCUUGGUCUCUGGCAAACCCAAGCCACCAAGGGUAAGAAGGACCGAAGCCUCGCGUUCGUCCUCCAUGUUCGUCAUUGUCGAGGACCAGUGUGAGCAAAUCUUUAUCUCUAUCUGCAGUGAACUUUCUUUGUCCCUCCUUAAUUUCUUUCACUAUCAUUUUCCAAUUUUCCCUGGGUAUCCUAAGCUCGUCAUUGCAAAUGAGGUCCCCUGUUGUUUCGUCGUACGACCCACCAUGCACAAGGAACCAAUUUCUUGCUCUCAAUUCCCACUCAUCACGGAGUGGUUCAGGUACGACGCCUUUAUCUAUCAGAUCUUGCUCUUUCUUAUCCCACUUUGGGAUGGCAGUCUCAUAGCCCCCUGGCCCCAGCUUGUGGUGAUAUUUCUUCUUGUCGGCAUUUAUCUUGNNNNNNNNNNCGGGUAAGGAGGACCGAAGCCUCGCGUUCGUCCUCCAUGUUCGUCAUUGCCGAGGACCAGUGUGAGAAAAUCUUUAUCUCUAUCUGCAGUGAACUUUCUUUGUCCCUCCUUAAUUUCUUUCACUAUCCUUUUCCAAUUCUCCCUGGGUAUCCUAAGAUUGUCAUUGCAGAUGAGGUCCCCUGUUGUUUCGUCGUACGACCCAACAUGCGCAAGGAACCAAUUUCUUAAUCUCAAUUCCCACUCAUCACGGAGUGGCUCAGGUACGACGCCUUUAUCUAUCAGAUCUUGCUCUUUCUUAUCCCAGUUUGGGAUGGCAGUCUCAUAGCCGCCUGGCCCCAGCUUGUGGUGAUAUUUCUUCUUGUCGGCAUUUAUCUUGUUCUUUUCUGAUAAUGCCUGGGCAUCUUCUGACUCUUUGUACUCUUGAAAUGCCUUCCAGUGAUUCGCCUGCUUGGCUAGAUACCCCUCGAAUACUGACACUUUCUGUGUCUUGAGAUAGUUUUUCCAUAGCUUCUUCUUCCAGCUACGGAACAGUUCGGCCAUCUUCUUCAGAGUCCACUGCUUGACUUUGGCCCUCAGUUUGUCUGCGGCGUCUUCAUUCUCACAUUCUGGCAGGUUGAAAUGUNNNNNNNNNNGCACUUUCUGUGUCUUCACAUAGUUUUUCCAUAGCUUCUUCUUCCAGCUACGGAACAAUUCGACCAUCUUCUUCAGAGUCCACUGCUUGACUUUGGCCCUUAGUUUGUCUGCGGCGUCUUCAUUCUCACAUUCUGGCAGGUUGAAAUGUNNNNNNNNNNACUUCUUGAAUGUGUCAGCAACAUUCUUAGGAAGCUUGGGUUCGCCCAUAGGAAAUAUCACCUCAAAUGUGUAAUGCGUCCGUGCAUUCCAACUUUAGAUAUAACGACGAAGAUUCAGCUGGUUCAACGUUGGGGCCCUCUUCGAUUAUAUCUUUCAGAAGUUCUUCCUCUUCGAGGUUCCUGAUAUGUGGAUCCAUAGUUCUGCAAAAAACGGAUUCUCUUAACCUUUGUACCAAAAAAGAAUUAUUCUAUCAGGAACUCCGUUCCAAAACAACUUAAGUCCCGGGUCGUGGCUCCACCCGGGACUCCUAGAUUUCUGCAUAGUAUUCAAAGUAGGAGUACUUUUCCAAUUUNNNNNNNNNNGACAUGAGAUCAUUCCAAAGAUUAUCUUUCUACCUUUCGGCGACAUAGUCACUAUCGGCUGCCCCUUUGCGCUUGUUCCACUCCCGAACGCUGAUCGGGACGUGAUCCCUAACGAGAACUCCGCAUUGCUUCUUGAAUGUGUCAGCAGCAUUCUUAGGAAGCUUGGGUUCGCCCGUAGGAAAUAUCACCUCAAAUGUGUAAUGCGUCAGUGCAUCCAACUUUCUAGUCGGGCCUCGUUCCGUAGUUUUGCUCGAUGUGGAGGCCUAAGAGGGAGAAACAUACGUCAAAUGAAUGUAUAUGUAUGCAAUAUAGAGCUAUCUCCAAUAUUUUUCACAUAUUACAAGUGAUUGUCGAACUUCAUAUGUAUACCUCGCCGGACUUCUCCUCUUCACCGGCUUCUCCAUCAGUGGAGCUAUCACCUUCUCCGUCAUUGGACCUAUCUCCUGCCCCAUCGGCUUCAUCUUCGUGUCGCUCGACCUCCAUUACAACGUCCUGGUUUAGAUAUGACAACGGAGAUUCAGCUGGUUCAACGUCGGGGCCGUCUUUGAUUAUAUCUUCCAGAAGUUCUUCCUCUUCGAGGUUCCUGAUAUGUGGAUCCAUAGUUCUNNNNNNNNNNCCAAAGUAGGAGUACUUUUCCAAUUUGAGGCUCCUAGAUUUCUGCAUAGUAUUCAAAGUAGGAGUACUUUUCCAAUUUGAGCAUUCAAUAAGCAAAACCAAAUUGUAAAAUAAAGUAGUAUUCAAAUUAGCAUGCAUUCAAUUAGAAGCUAAUACAUCAUCACUUUUGUCCGUACAUCGUCGAAUAUUAUCACUAAUACUCCUCGAAUACUAUCAUACAUAUAGCAUCACUAAUACAUCUAGAACCGUAACGCCCGACGGGUAUCGGCGCGGGCGGUGGACACCCAAAGAGAAGGAACCAUCACAGGAUCAUAGCUCCAGUGAGAUCCCCGAAGAACCUGCCAGGUAUGCUCGAACCUGCCCUCCAACGCAACCAUGUAGCGACGGACGUGCUCAUCCUCCUCGCUGAAACAGUGACGUACCACCUCCGCGGUGUCCGGAAGCCUCGGCACCCUCACUGGCCCACGCGACCGCCACCAAACAAGGAUCGGGUCAACGACGGGCUGGCUCCUCACCAACCUACGCCCCCCGGAAGGUAGCAUCUCCCAAUACCAGCCGGGCGGAGCCCAGUCCCGGACAGGACCCCUCUGAUCAAGCAGGUGUCCUCCGCCGAGUCGACGACGAGGAUGCNNNNNNNNNNCACGGUGACGUACCACCUCCGCGGAGUCCGGAAGCCUCGACACCCUCACUGGCCCACGCGACCGCCACCAAACAAGGAUCGGGUCAACGACGGACUGGCUCCGCACCAACCUACGCCCCCCGGAAGGUAGCACCUCCUAAUACCAGCCGGGCGGAGCCCAGUCCCGGACAGGGCCCCUCUGAUCAAGCAGGUGUCCUCCGCCGAGUCGACGACGAGGAUGCGGGAUAGGCAUCGUAAAAUGAACUAAAAAAAUAAACUAGUUCUAUUAAUUUUCUUGCUAAAAAUAAACUAUUAACACUUAAGCAUAUACAAUAGCAAGAUUAAACUAUUAACACUUAAGCAUAUACAGUAGCAAAAUUAAGCAAUAAUCUAAGAAACACUAUUAACACUUAAGCAUAUACACUAUACAAUAGCAAAAUUCCUCCUCUUCUUAUUUUCAUUUUUCUUCUCCUCCUCUUCUUUUCUUCUGUUCUCCUCCUCUUCUUUUCUUCUUUUCUUAUACACUAUACACUAUAGCAAAAUUCUCCCUCUCCUUAUACACUAUAAACUAUAUAUACUAUACACUUAAGCAUAUACACUAUACAAUAUACACUUUUUCUUCUUUUCUUCUCCUCCUCUUCUUAUUUUCAUUUUUCCUAAUCUUAUUUUCUUAUUUUUGUUCAUAUUUCUUCUUCUUUUAACCCUAACCUAAUUCUAUAUAUUACUAACCCUAUAAUCUAGCACAAACCUAAUAACAAUAGGAAUUAAAUGACAAAAAAAUAUUUUUCUUUUUCUUCUUUUCUUCUCAUUUUUCUUCCUUUUUCUCCUUUUUCUUCUUCUCUUCUCCUUUUUCUUCUUUUCUUCUAUACUGUCCGGAGUGUUGGGGAGGAGGGGCGGGGGGCUUACCGGCCAGAGUUGUCGACGGCGCUCGGCGAGGAGGACGGCGCGACGGCGAGGAGCACGACGCGACGGCCAGGAGGACGGCGCAAGGGCGAGGAGGACGGUGAGGAGGACGGCGCGACGGCGAGGAGGACGGACGACGGCGAGGAGGACGGCAGGCGGCGGCGAGCAGGACGGCGGGCAGCCUGACGGCGUCGGUUAGUUCGUCGUUGUGCCGCGUCGGGCAGGAGAACGAGAGGAAGAAGAAGAGAAAUGGACGAAUUGGGUUNNNNNNNNNNUUUAUUUUUAUUUUUCUUCUCCUCCUCUUCUUUUCUUCUCUUCUCCUCCUCUUCUUUUCUUCUUUUCUUAUACACUAUACACUAUACACACUAUAGCAAAAUUCCUCCUCUCCUUAUACACUAUACACUAUAUACACUAUACACUUAAGCAUAUACACUAUACAAUAUACACUUUUUCUUCUUUUCUUCUCCUCCUCUUCUUAUUUUCAUUUUUCCUAUUCUUAUUUUCUUAUUUUUGUUCAUAUUUCUUCUUCUUGUAACCCUAACCUAAUUCUAAAUAUUACUAACACUAAUAAUCUAGCACAAACCUAAUAACAAUAGGAAUUAAAUGACAAAACAAAUCUUUUUCUUUUUCUUAUUUUCUUCUCCUUUUUCUUCUUUUCUUCUCCUUUUUCUUCCUUUCUUCUAUAUAUACUGGCCGGAGUGUUGGGGAGGAGGGGGCGGGGGGCUUACCGGCCGGAGGUGUCGACGGCGCGCGGCGAGAGGACGGCGUGGAGGACGGCGCGACGGCGAGGAGGACGGCGCGACGGCGAGGAGGACGGCCGACGGCGAGGAGGACGGCAGGCGGCAGCGAGCAGGACGGCGGCCGGGCAGCCUGACGGCGUCGGUUAGUUCGUCGCUGUGCCGCGCCGGGCAGGAGAACGAGAGGAAGAAGAAGAGAAAUGGACGAAUUGGGUUGGAAAUUUUUGAAGUCCCGCUUAUAUAGGUGGACCUUUAGUCCCGGUGUGUGGCUCCACCCGGGACUAAAGCCCCUCCUCGGCUGCACGAUAAGUUUNNNNNNNNNNNNNNNNNNNNNNNNNNNNNNNNNNNNNNNNNNNGGGAAGCAGGGGGUCUGUAGUCCCGGGGCGUGGCUCCAGCCGGGACUAAAGGGGGUCUUUAGUCCCGGGUCGUGGCUCCACCCGGGACUAAAGCCCCUCCUCGGCUGCACGAUAAGUUUAGUACCACCUCGCCCAGCGAGGGGGACAAACACUUGUUUAUAAGCCCCGUCGCAGCUUGUCCAUCGAGCUCCUCUCUAAAGCAGGUUUACGGGCCUAAACUUACUGAAAAUUGAAACUAUAUUCGAAAUUGUGGAUAAAAUUAAAUCUGAAUUCAAAGUGAAUUCAGGUCGAAUUUUGUCCAUGAUUUCUCAUAUAGUUUCAAUUUUUUUCUAUUUUCAAAACUAAUUAUUUUGACUAUCCAAAAUAUUAACUUAUUUUGUUAUUUUCAAUUAAAAACUAUGUUUAUUAAAAAUUCUUUUUGCAUAUUUGAGAAUUUGACAAAACUAUGAUAAUGAAAAGUGUUUCAAAUUGAAUAAAUAAUGCAAAACUAUUUUCUAUUUUCAUAAUUAAUAAUUUUGACUAUCCAAACUAUUAUCUAUUUUGUUAUUUUCAAUUAAAAACUAUGUUUAUUAAAAAUUCUUUUUGCAUAUUUGAGAAUUUGACAAAACUAUGUUAAUGAAAAGUGUUUGAAAUUGAAUAAAUAAUUCAAAACUAUUUUCUAUUUUCAUAAUUAAUAAUUUUGACUAUCAAAACUAUUAUCUAUUUUGUUAUUUUCAAUUAAAAACUAUGUUUAUUAANNNNNNNNNNNNNNNNNNNNNNNNNNNNNNNNNNNNNNNNNNNNNNNNNNNNNNNNNNNNNNNNNNNNNNNNNNNNNNNNNNNNNNNNNNNNNNNNNNNNAUGGCGUCGGGGCGGCGCGGGACGGCGUCGGGGCGACGACGGCGACGACGAGGCGGACACGGCGACGGCGAGACGGAGUCGGGGCAGCCUAGCGGCGUCGGGAUCGAAUGGAGAGAGGGGGAGAGAUCAAAAUUUCUAAACUGUCGCUUAUAUAGCCCCACCUUUAGUCCCGGUUGGUGGCACCAACCGGGACCAAAGGUCUCUUUUCAGCAGCCCGACGGGCGGGAAGCAGAUGCAUUGGUACCGGUUGAUGGCACAAACCGGGACCAAAUGCCUCUUUUCAGCAGCCCAAAGGGCGGGAAGCAGAGGCCUUUGGUCACGGUUGGUGGCACCAACCGGUACCAAUGCCUCCCUUUAGUCCCGCUUGGUGCCACAAACCGGGACAAAAGGCCUUGCGCGGUGCGGUGCUAUGUUUAGUCCCACCUCGCUAGCCGAGAGGGGCUCGAAGUGGUUUAUAAGCCAUGCCGAACCAACCACUUCGAGCUCCUCUCUACUGCAGGCUUACGGGCCUAAAAUCACUCUCUGUGCUUGUGGGCCUAUUGGGCCUACUACGGGCCUGCAUCCUGGCCCUAGUAAUGGGUUUCUAGUCGUAUGCAGGCAGUGGUGGCCUUGUAGGUGACACAUUUUUUUAUUUUUUUCCUGUUUUUUUGCUUUCUUUUUGUUUCUAAUUACUUAUUUAUUUUCUUUUACGAUAAUUCUUUUUUCUAUUAAAGUUUGUAACAAAAUUCUAAUUACUUAUUUAUUUUAUUUUAUGAUAAUUCUUUUUUGCUUUUAAUGUUUUGAACAAAAUUCUAAUUACUUAUAUAUUUUCUUUUAUGAUAAUUCUUUUUGCUAUUAAAGCUUGUAACAAAAUUCUAUAUAAUUUUAGUUUCAAUAAGACUUAUUUAUAAAAGCUUUUUAAUUUUAUAAAAGCUUUUUAGUUGAUUCCUUUAUUUUAAUUUUUCCUAGUUUUUUUGCUUUCUUUUUUGUNNNNNNNNNNNNNNNNNNNNNNNNNNNNNNNNNNNNNNNNNNNNNNNNNNNNNNNNNNNNNNNNNNNNNNNNNNNNNNNNNNNNNNNNNNNNNNNNNNNNCAUUGGAAUAGUGUUCCAUAAUAUGAAAAAUCGUAUUAGAAUCAACUAGUGUUUAAUAUGUUCCAUUGGAAUCAUAGUUGGUUCGCUUCAAAUAGUUGUAGUGAAACAAUUUUGAUUAGUUGAAGGGAACACAAACUGAUUGGAAUAGUGUUCCAUAAUCUGAAAAAUCUGAUUGGUUCAAUAUGUUCCAUUGAAAUCAUAGUUGUAGUGACACAAUUUUAUGCGGUGUUCUUUGAUCCAAGGUUAUGAAAAUUGAAUAUAGCUAGUGAUCUCUCUAGGUUCCAUUGGAUAGCAAUAUGAUAUGUCAUAGUCAUGAAAAUUGCAUAUAGCUAGUGAUCUCUCUAGGUUCCAUUGGAUAGCUAUAGUGAUCUCUCUAGGUUCCAUUGCAUAUGUUCUAUUUGAAUCCUAAAGAUAAGUUUCUCUUUAGUUCUAGUGAAACAUGUUUCCUUAUUGCAGCAGUAUGUAACAUUUGUUCCAUUUUAAUUUGUUUCUGUUGCAGGAGUGACAAGCAUUGUCCAGAACUCAUGGAGUUCCUUCGCAGCGGCAUCACUUUUGCUUCCGUUGACAUAAGGAAUGACAAGCUGAAGAUGAGGCACAGCUUCGGUAUUGAGAUACCAGCUGGUUGCCUCGUUGAUCUCCAAACGAUAUUCAGGCUUCGACAUGACAGGACUUCGAUGGNNNNNNNNNNGUCACUUUUGCUUCCGUUGACAUAAGGAACGACAAGUUGAAGAUGAGGCAUAGCUUCGGUAUUGAGAUACCAGCUGGUUGCCUCCUUGAUCUCCAAACGAUAUUCAGGCUUCGACAUGACAGGACUUCGAUGGCUCAUAUGGCAGUUGCCUUGAUCGACGAGUCAUAUGGUGAUAUGAAGACCAGUUUCCCAAAGUCUCAGCACAGACUUUGGGAGAAGGGCCCACUUGAUGAUAUCAACAUUGAGUAUGCAACAAAAGAUGCAUACGUUUCAUACGAGUUGUACCGCAAGAUUCGAGUCGNNNNNNNNNNGUCAGCACAAACUUUGGGAGAAGGGCCCACUUGAUGAUAUCAACAUUGAGUAUGCAGCAAAAGAUGCAUACGUUUCAUACGAGUUGUACCGCAAGAUUCGAGUCGUCAACUAUGGCCAGCGUCACCUCGAGGAACGUGGACAUUCUGAUUUAGAUGAUUCAGACGAGUAGUGUUCUGAACGUCGAACACUUGUAUAUAUAUCUAUGGUAGCUAUUAUUAUGUACUGUUUGGGCUAGUAUCAUGUACUUCUUGGACCAAUUUAUAUAUGUCUAGUUUCUGUUUGUGCCAUUAUAGUUUCCAAAUUUGAAUGGUUUAGCCCUUUCUAACUUCAUUUGCUNNNNNNNNNNAUGAUUUAGAUGAUUCAGACGAGUAGUGUUCUUAACGUCGAACACUUGUAUAUAUAUCUAUGGUAGCUAUUAUUAUGUAUUGUUUGGACUAUUAUCAUGUACUUCUUGGACCAAUUUAUAUAUGUCUAGUUUCUGUUUAUGCCACUAUAGUUUCCAAAUUUGAAUGGUUUAGCCCUUUCUAACUUCAUUUGCUACUUUUGAAUGGUUUAGCCCUUUCUAAUUUCAUGGUAUCAUGCAUUUUGACCACAUAUAUAUACAAAAAGUCUUCAGUUCAAAUAAGUUCAAAAAAUGAAAUCCCUUUUGUAACAGAUCUGUUUUUGAUUAAAACAAUCAUUUAAAAAUGAAAGACCAUUAGUUCCACGUGGCGUGCAGCGGAACCACGUGGCGUGCCGCGAAACCACUUUUGUUGUGGGGGUCGCUUCUCCUUCUUCUCCUUGUGCUAGAUAUUGGUUAUGCACUAGGGGAAGUAGGAGUAGCGACCAUCAUCGACGGUUGAAAAAUCAGGUGAGCUAGUGUCCACCAUAUAUGAGAGAAGAAGAAAUCCAUUUGUGAUGUGCCUUUGAAUGGUGCAUUUUGAACACACAAAAAGUAUGNNNNNNNNNNCUUUUUUAUUAAAACAAUCAUUUAAAAAUGAAAGACCAUUAGUCCCACGUGGCGUGCAGCGGAACCACGUGGCGUGCCGCGGAACCACUUUUGUUGUGGGGGUCUCUUCUCCUUCUUCUCCUUGUGCUAGAUAUUGGUUAUGCACUAGGGGAAGUAAGCGACCAUCAUCGACGGUUGGAAAAUCAGGUGAGCUAGUGUCCACCAUAUAUGAGAGAAGAAGAAUGUCGUCUCUUAUUGUGGGGGUCGCUUCUACUUCGAGAGAGAUUGUCCAUUUUGUGAUGUGCCUUCGAAUGGUGCAUUUUGAACACACAAAAAGUAUGGAGUUCAAAUAAGUUCAAAAAAAAUGAAAUCCCUUUGUAAGAGAUGACUUCUCGUUCGAAACCCUGCUACUUCGAGAGAGAUUGUCAGUUUUGUACACGAACUGCACCCAGUUUUUGACGUAGCCCUCUCAACUUUUUAACACAUGCUAUGUGGGUGAAAUGAUGANNNNNNNNNNNNNNNNNNNNNNNNNNNNNNNNNNNNNNNNNNNNNNNNNNNNNNNNNNNNNNNNNNNNNNNNNNNNNNNNNNNNNNNNNNNNNNNNNNNNGCGCUGAUUUGGGGAGGCAUCAUUUCAGGCGCAUCCGCAGAGUAGCAGUAUUGGUUUGUUCAAUUGGUGCUGUGAUUUGUUGCAUUGGGAAUUGGUAGGCUCGACUUAGCUUGAUUGCUUCCAUUCUAGAUGAUUGGUGUGAGUUCUCUGGGCUGUCGUCGGAAAUUUUACUGCUAUUUCAAGAUGCCUGGAACCUGUAGUGAGUUUUAUAUGUUGCAUUGGGAAUUUGUAGACUGGACUUAGCUCCGAGUAGGUUGUUUGCUUUUCCAUUCUAGAUGAUUGGUCAAUUCUUCGGGGCAUCGUAAUUUUUACUGCUACCUCAGGAUGAUUCAAGUUUGUGAUGAAAUUGUAUAAGGUGGAGUAUGUUUGCCGAUAGUUGUAGCCGGAUUAUACCAUGGAAUACACGGUGUAGUNNNNNNNNNNUAUCAAGUCUUUCUAAAAGUUGCCAAAAACGACAGGCUGUACAUAUCAAGGCAGAUUUAUAUUGCCGUCACACAAUUUUUUUAACUCUGUUUAAAUAUUAUUGCUCCCUCAUGGCUGUGCUGGAUGCCUGACUUUCUCCAUUGCAGUGACAAGCUCUUCAGUUUGGAUUAACUUCCCAUUNNNNNNNNNNNNNNNNNNNNNNNNNNNNNNNNNNNNNNNNNNNNNNNNNNNNNNNNNNNNNNNNNNNNNNNNNNNNNNNNNNNNNNNNNNNNNNNNNNNNUUCUUUUCUGAUAAUGCCUGGGCAUCUUCUGACUCCUUGUACUCUUGAAAUGCCUUCCAGUGAUUCGCCUGCUUGGCUAGAUACCCCUCGAAUACUGGCACUUUCUGUGUCUUCACAUAGUUUUUCCAUAGCUUCUUCUUCCAGCUACGGAACAAUUCGACCAUCUUCUUCAGAGUCCACUGCUUGACUUUGGCCCUUAGUUUGUCUGCGGCGUCUUCAUUCUCACAUUCUGGCAGGUUGAAAUGUGACAUGAGAUCAUUCCAAAGAUUAUCUUUGUACCUUUCGGCGACAUAGUCACUAUCGGCUGCCCCUUUGCGCUUGUUCCACUCCCGAACGCUGAUCGGGACGUGAUCCCUAACGAGAACUCCGCAUUACUUCUUGAAUGUGUCAGCAACAUUCUUAGGAAGCUUGGGUUCGCCCAUAGGAAAUAUCACCUCAAAUGUGUAAUGCGUCCGUGCAUUCCAACUUUAGAUAUAACGACGAAGAUUCAGCUGGUUCAACGUUGGGGCCCUCUUCGAUUAUAUCUUUCAGAAGUUCUUCCUCUUCGAGGUUCCUGAUAUGUGGAUCCAUAGUUCUGCAAAAAACGGAUUCUCUUAACCUUUGUACCAAAAAAGAAUUAUUCUAUCAGGAACUCCGUUCCAAAACAACUUAAGUCCCGGGUCGUGGCUCCACCCGGGACUCCUAGAUUUCUGCAUAGUAUUCAAAGUAGGAGUACUUUUCCAAUUUGAGCAUUCAAUAAGCAAAACCAAAUCGUAAAAUAAAGUAGUAUUCAAAUUAGCAUGCAUUCAAUUAUAAGCUAAUACAUCAUCACUUUUGUCCGUACAUCGUCGAAUAUUAUCACUAAUACUCCUCGAAUACUAUCAUACAUAUAGCAUCACUAAUACAUCUAGAACCGUAGCGCCCGACGGGUAUCGGCGCGGGCGGUGGACACCAAAGAGAAGGAACCAUCACAGGAUCAUAGCUCCAGUGAGAUCCCCGAAGAACCUGUCAGGUAUGCUCGAACCUGCCCUCCAACGCAACCAUGUAGCGACGGACGUGCUCAUCCUCCUCGCUGAAACAGUGACGUACCACCUCCGCGGUGUCCGGAAGCCUCGGCACCCUCACUGGCCCACGCGACCGCCACCAAACAAGGAUCGGGUCAACGACGGGCUGGCUCCUCACCAACCUACGCCCCCCGGAAGGUAGCAUCUCCCAAUACCAGCCGGGCGGAGCCCAGUCCCGGACAGGACCCCUCUGAUCAAGCAGGUGUCCUCCGCCGAGUCGACGACGAGGAUGCGGGAUAGGCAUCGUAAAAUGAACUAAAAAAAUAAACUAGUUCUAUUAAUUUUCUUGCUAAAAAUAAACUAUUAACACUUAAGCAUAUACAAUAGCAAAAUUAAACUAUUAACACUUAAGCAUAUACAAUAGCAAAAUUAAGCAAUAAUCUAAGAAACACUAUUAACACUUAAGCAUAUACACUAUACAAUAGCAAAAUUCCUCCUCUUCUUAUUUUCAUUUUUCUUCUCCUCCUCUUCUUUUCUUCUGUUCUCCUCCUCUUCUUUUCUUCUUUUCUUAUACACUAUACACUAUAGCAAAAUUCUCCCUCUCCUUAUACACUAUAAACUAUAUAUACUAUACACUUAAGCAUAUACACUAUACAAUAUACACUUUUUCUUCUUUUCUUCUCCUCCUCUUCUUAUUUUCAUUUUUCCUAAUCUUAUUUUCUUAUUUUUGUUCAUAUUUCUUCUUCUUUUAACCCUAACCUAAUUCUAUAUAUUACUAACCCUAUAAUCUAGCACAAACCUAAUAACAAUAGGAAUUAAAUGACAAAAAAAUAUUUUUCUUUUUCUUCUUUUCUUCUCAUUUUUCUUCCUUUUUCUCCUUUUUCUUCUUCUCUUCUCCUUUUUCUUCUUUUCUUCUAUACUGUCCGGAGUGUUGGGGAGGAGGGGCGGGGGGCUUACCGGCCAGAGUUGUCGACGGCGCUCGGCGAGGAGGACGGCGCGACGGCGAGGAGCACGACGCGACGGCCAGGAGGACGGCGCAAGGGCGAGGAGGACGGUGAGGAGGACGGCGCGACGGCGAGGAGGACGGACGACGGCGAGGAGGACGGCAGGCGGCGGCGAGCAGGACGGCGGGCAGCCUGACGGCGUCGGUUAGUUCGUCGUUGUGCCGCGUCGGGCAGGAGAACGAGAGGAAGAAGAAGAGAAAUGGACGAAUUGGGUUGGAAAUUUUCGAAGACCCGCUUAUAUAGGUGGAUCUAUAGUCCCGGUGCGUGGCUCGGGCUGGGACUAAAGAUCCCCUUUAGUCCCGAGUGGUGCCACGACCCGGGACUAAAGGCCUAUUUUCGGGCAGACCAAGAGGCGGGAAGCAGGGGGUCUUUAGUCCCGGUGCGUGGCUCCAGCCUGGACUAAAGGGUGUCUUUAGUCCCGGGGCGUGGCUCCACCCGGGACUCAAGCCCCUCCUCGGCUGCACGAUAAGUUUAGUCCCACCUCGCCCAGCGAGGGGGACUAACACUUGUUUAUAAGCCCCGUCGCAGCUUGUCCAUCGAGCUCCUCUCUAAAGCAGGCUUACGGUCCUAAACUUACUGAAAAUUGAAACUAUAUUCGAAACUGUGGAGAAAUUUCAAUCUGAAUUCAAAGUGAAUUCAGGUUGAAUUUUGUCCAUGAUUUCUCAUAUAGUUUCAAUUUUUUUCUAUGAUAAUGAAAUUUGAGAAUUAUUUUUGCAUAUUUGAGAAUUUGACAAAACUAUGAUAAUGAAAAGUGUUUCAAAUUGAAUAAAUAAUGCAAAACUAUUUUCUAUUUUCAUAAUUAAUAAUUUUGACUAUCCAAACUAUUAUCUAUUUUGUUAUUUUCAAUUAAAAACUAUGUUUAUUAAAAAUUCUUUUUGCAUAUUUGAGAAUUUGACAAAACUAUGAUAAUGAAAAGUGUUUCAAAUUGAAUAAAUAAUGCAAAACUAUUUUUAUUUUCAUAAUUAAUAAUUUUGAAUAUCCAAACUAUUAUCUAUUUUGUUAUUUUGACUUCAUUUGGUAUAUUCGUGCAUUUACUUUUUUUUUGUAGCUAGUUGACAGUGAAAUUGAAAAGCAUUACAAAUGAACUCUGAAAAUGUUGAAAGUUGGCAUGCUAUCAUCAUUUCACCCAUAUAGCAUGUGUUAAAAAGUUGAGAGGGCUACGACAAAAACUGGAUGCAGUUCGUGUACAAAACUGACAAUCUCUAUCGAAGUAGCAGGGUUUCGAACGAGAACUCAUCUCUUACAAAGGGAUUUCAUUUUUUUUGAACUUAUUUGCACUCCAUGCUUUUUGUGUGUUCAAAAUGCACCAUUCAAAGGCACAUCACAAAAUUUCAACAAUUUCUGACUUCAUUUGGUAUAUUUCGUGCAUUUACUUAUUUUUUUUGAGCUAGUUGACCCUGAAAUUGAAAAGCACUACAAAUGAACUCUGAAAAUGUUGAAAGUUGGCAUGCUAUCAUAAUUUCACCCACAUAGCAUGUGUUAAAAAGUUGAGAGGGCUACGACAAAAACUGGAUGUAGUUCGUGUACAAAACUGACAAGCUCUCUCGAAGUAGGAGGGUUUCGAACGAGAACUCAUCUCUUACAAAGGGAUUUCAUUUUUUAACUUAUUUGAACUCCAUACUUUUUGUGUGUUCAAAAUGCACCAUUCAAAGGCACAUCACAAAUGGAUUUCUUCUUCUCUCAUAUAUGGUGGACACUAGCUCACCUGAUUUUUCAACCGUCGAUGAUGGUCGCUACUCCUACUUCCCCUAGUGCAUAACCAAUAUCUAGCACAAGGAGAAGAAGGAGAAGCGACCCCCACAACAAAAGUGGUUUCGCGGCACGCCACGUGGUUCCGCUGCACGCCACGUGGAACUAAUGGUCUUUCAUUUUUAAAUGAUUGUUUUAAUCAAAAACAGAUCUGUUACAAAAGGGAUUUCAUUUUUUGAACUUAUUUGAACUGAAGACUUUUUGUAUAUAUAUGUGGUCAAAAUGCAUGAUACCAUGAAAUUAGAAAGGGCUAAACCAUUCAAAAGUAGCAAAUGAAGUUAGAAAGGGCUAAACCAUUCAAAUUUGGAAACUAUAAUGGCACAAACAGAAACUAGACAUAUAUAAAUUGGUCCAAGAAGUACAUGAUACUAGCCCAAACAGUACAUAAUAAUAGCUACCAUAGAUAUAUAUACAAGUGUUCGACGUUCAGAACACUACUCGUCUGAAUCAUCUAAAUCAGAAUGUCCACGUUCCUCGAGGUGACGCUGGCCAUAGUUGACGACUCGAAUCUUGCGGUACAACUCGUAUGAAACGUAUGCAUCUUUUGCUGCAUACUCAAUGUUGAUAUCAUCAAGUGGGCCCUUCUCCCAAAGUUUGUGCUGACACUUUGGGAAACUGGUCUUCAUAUCACCAUAUGACUCGUCGAUCAAGGCAACUGCCAUAUGAGCCAUCGAAGUCCUGUCAUGUCGAAGCCUGAAUAUCGUUUGGAGAUCAACGAGGCAACCAGCUGGUAUCUCAAUACCGAAGCUGUGCCUCAUCUUCAGCUUGUCAUUCCUUAUGUCAACGGAAGCAAAAGUGAUGCCGCUGCGAAGGAACUCCAUGAGUUCUGGACAAUGCUUGUCACUCCUGCAACAGAAACAAAUUAAAAUGGAACAAAUGUUACAUACUGCUGCAAUAAGGAAACAUGUUUCACUAGAACUAAAGAGAAACUUAUCUUUAGGAUUCAAAUAGAACAUAUGCAAUGGAACCUAGAGAGAUCACUAUAGCUAUCCAAUGGAACCUAGAGAGAUCACUAGCUAUAUGCAAUUUUCAUGACUAUGACAUAUCAUAUUGCUAUCCAAUGGAACCUAGAGAGAUCACUAGCUAUAUUCAAUUUUCAUAACCUUGGAUCAAAGAACACCGCAUAAAAUUGUGUCACUACAACUAUGAUUUCAAUGGAACAUAUUGAACCAAUCAGAUUUUUCAGAUUAUGGAACACUAUUCCAAUCAGUUUGUGUUCCCUUCAACUAAUCAAAAUUGUUUCACUACAACUAUUUGAAGCGAACCAACUAUGAUUCCAAUGGAACAUAUUAAACACUAGUUCAUUCUAAUACGAAUUUUCAGAUUAUGGAGCACUAUUCCAAUCAGAUUGUGUUCCCCUUCAACUAAUCAAAAUUGUUUCACUACAACUAUUUGAAGGGAACCAACUAUGGUUCCAAUGGAACAUAUUAAACACUAGUUGAUUCUAAUACGAUUUUUCAGAUUAUGGAACACUAUUCCAAUUAGAUUGUGCUCCCCUUCAAGUAAUCAAAAUUGUUUCACUACAACUAUUUGAAGGGAGCCAACUAUGAUUCCAAUGGAACAUAUUAAACACUAGUUGAUUCUAAUAUGAUUUUUCAGAUUAUGGAACACUAUUCCAAUUAGAUUGUGCUCCCCUUCAACUAAUCAAAAUUGUUUCACUACAACUAUUUGAAGGGAACCAACUAUGAUUGAAACAAAUAAACUUACAAUGUCAUUAUCUUGGAUCAAAGAAAGCCUCAAAACUUACCUCACCCAUUGGAAGAUCAAGACAUGGCCUGCAAAGCAUAUUUGGAUGACGGCAACACCGCUUUGAUCAGACGUGUACUCCAGAUCAAGCCCGAAGAACUUCUCAUGAUCCUCUGCGUGGUCAAACCAUCGUUCCUUCAACUGUUGAAGAAAAAACGGCACCUCCCUGCUCAGGUUCGUGUACACGACACGGAGCUUGGUCGUGCCAUGCGCGACCACCUCAUGAAAGCUAGUUGGCAUGGUGGAAGAAGAGAAGGGAAGAAGAGAGGAGAAGAACAGAGAGGGCGACGCGAGAGAGAAGAAGAACAGAGAAAUGGUGACUGUACGCUUCGGUUCGUGCUUUUCAUCGCCCGAAAAGACGCGGGAUGCAAACCGUUUGGGCCUUUAAUCCCGGGUUGAGCCACCAACCGGGACUAAAGAGGUAUACUUACGAGUACAAAAAUAAGAAUGGUGAUCUACGCAUAAAUGGAUGUGAACUAGUAAUGAUUAAGGAGUGAUCCUGAACGCCUACUUACGAGUCAAACAUAACCCCACCGUGUUCUCUCUCGGUUCAGAACUCAUGAGUAGAGACAGUCACGGUUACGCACAUGGUUUAUGUAUUUUAUUUGAGUUUAAUUCAAGUUUGCUAUGACCGGGUGUUAAACAAAUUUCCAAGUUGCCACAUAACUGCAGGCACGAAUUUUCAAAAGAUUUAACCCUUAAGGGGUGCUUCAACUCAUCCAUCACAAACUAACCACAAGCUCUGUGGAGAACCUCAACCAUGGAAUAACCAGUAGUCUCCUCGAAAUCCCGAUGGAAAACCUCAACCUCGAGAUAGCCCAAAGUAUCCUCGGAAUCCUAGUGCGCAAGACGUUCAAGAAAGGUUAAAAAAUCCAGCAAGACCGCCCGACUUGUCGACAAACCCAAUAGGAGCCGCGUAUCUUGUUCUCAGAACAUGGUAGAUAAGCAAUGCAUACAGUGGCCUCAUAGAACUCCCACGAGUUUAUUACUAGCUAGGCGAAAGCUUAUAGAUAGAAUUUUAGCAGUAGCGUGGUAUAAUCUAGUAGUGGUUGCCCCGGGUGGCCUCGCACAGUGCUCUAUUUUGGACCAACACUCAUGUAGAGCACUAGACGGGGGGUUGAUUAAAUAUACACGGGAUGAUCAAUGCCCUAUGCAAAUUUUUGUUAGUUGUUAUUAAGAAAAAAAUACCAAUGUUGGGCCUUGGCGGAAUAGUUUUUUUCCCUAAACGAAAAUCAAGGGGGUCCCUAUAACAACCCUAAGCAUGUUAGUUGCAUUCAAUAUGGAACAUAACACCGAUACACAAGUAACUAGGGCGAUAAAGGUGGAACAAAACACCGAGCAAAAUACCAAGCCUUCCACCCUUUACCAAGGAUAUAUGUGCAUAAAAUUAAAUAGCAAUAAUAUUGUGAUACCUCAAGACAUCCAUGUUGCCACAUGGAAACAAUCUGCACCUGCAACUAACAACGUUAUAAGAAGGACUGAGCAAGCGGUAACAUAACCAAACAAUGGUUUGCUGGGAUGUGAAGGGGAUAGAGGCUUUUCAUGGCAAUGUUGGGAGGCUUUACAUGCAAGUGGUAGGUAGCGAGACAUAAUGAUAGAAGAGAUACAAUUAGCAUGGCAAUGAUAGUAGUGGUAUCCAAGAAAAUGGUCAUCUUGCGUGAGGUCUCUCUUGGAAGAAGAAUGAAUCCUUGAAGUACACGAACAUGCAUAGUCGAACGAAUCCUCACACUCCAAAUCGGUUUGGGACUCUAUCGAUAAGAAACAAUCCAGAAACAACAAUCAACACACGAUAAAUACCAUAACAUAUACAUGACAUGAUGCACAAUCAAAUAUGAUUAAUGUCCGUACAACUAUGCAUGACAUGGCAAAGCACAAUAAUCAUCUUCUACACAUUAAGUGAAGCUCAAUAUGCAACUAGUUGCAUAUUGACGAAGUUCCAUAUUUUAAUUACUUAGUUCACUCUCGUUGAUAUACACGACAAUAUUAAAUGUUAUUAACAUGGCAAGAGGUAAAGCAUAAUGAAACUAUACUAUCUAUGCAUUUUAAUGAGGUCCAAAACAACUUAUAGUAUUUCCGAAAUGACCCCAUAUGUUAAUUUUGAAAUUGGUCCAGGUCUGAACUGAACAUAUUUUAUAUUUAUUAAACAGGUAAACAAAAUACACCAUGAGAUUCUACUAGUCGUUCUAGGCGAUUUACAUAUAUAGAUGAUUUAAAAUGGAGCUACGGUCUAAAUGCAUGCAAACAACACCCACAACCAUUUUAAAUCAUGGAUACAACAAUAUAUUAUGUAACUACAUGAAAUUUGAAGCAAGUUUCAUAUAUGACAUGUUCAAAACGGAGCAACGGUUCAACAACUACAACCAACACAAGUUCUAGCUAUAUUUGUCCAAAACAACAACAUGACAUUUUGCACAAAGCAAAACAACAAGUUACAGGAAUCGAAAAUGCACAAACAAGACAUGGGGCAGUAAUUUACAUGAUGCACAACAAUUCAUCUCACAGGAGCUAAUUGAAUAGAAGCAUGGUUUACUAGGAAAUGAGCUCACAACAUGGCUACUUGAACACAGUUUUAGACUUAGUGAAAGUAAAAGUUUUUAACAAAGUAGUUUUAUUAUGAAGGCAUAUUGACAGCAAGAAGAACAUAUGCUACAGAGCAUAUAAUGGCAUGAAAAUCUACAACAUGGUAGUAGGCAUGAUGCACUAGAAAUAACUCCAAAGGAACAGCAUCAAACCAUGCUCAGAAUCAUGGCUAGCAUCUACCCAACAUGGCAAUCUAAACUUAGCAGUUUCUCCGACUUAGAAAAAUUAGCAUGGUGCAAGGAACAAGAGUUUUAUCAGAUUGCCAUGUUUGAUAGCAAAAUUAACUAGGAUUCAGAACCUAUACUUGAAAACUAAUGGCACAAACUAAAAGAAGAUAACAUGCUUGACAAUUCCCUCCAUUAGACUAAUCACAUAGGAGUUGUAGAUUAAGGACAAUUGACAUGGAAACAUAGCAAAAAAAUAUAGCAGAUCCCAGAGAUAGAAUUAUUUGGACCCUCAAACAGCAACAUUUUUAUGGCAGGUUCGUAAGAUCAAAACUAUAGCUAAAUACGAAAUUCAUGGCAUGGAAAACCUACUAACAACAAUUAGACAUGGCAUACUCCAAAUCUCUCCAUUGUCACACAUUCAAAAGAAGCAUGGUUUGCUUAAUUCGAACUUCGCAAAAUGGAGCUUAACGUUAACAUAUUAGCAGUUUUAACAUGAUAGCACGUCUAGAGCAACAUAUUUACAUGAUAGAGAUAAUUUACAUGGCAAUCAGAGGCAUAGAAUCAAAUUAGACAUCACACAGAACAAAUCUCAUGAAGGUGCCACAUGCAAAAGACCUACGGAUUAGAUGGAACCAUCCUCGCAAGUUUGCAGGUUUUAACAGUUUUUGUUGAUUACCAUGAUGAAUCCUAUUGCCCAAGGAAUUGCUACUGUCAUGUAGAGUGCAUCGAGUAGAAGAAUUUACAAGUUUAGAUCACUGCAAUCCGAUGCACGGUUUAUGAGAUAUGCAUCACACAAAAUGCAAUGCUCCCGAUAAAACAUGCAGUUCCAGACUUAGCCGUUUCAGCACUGUUUGUCACAUAGCAUAAUUAUCGAACAGUUCACACGAUAACCAAAAACGUUCGUUCACUAUUCAGAUUUAAACGAUGAACGGGCGGGGCUUAACGGUUUGCUCACCUCGGGCCACAUGAGUCGGUUGGACUGGAGAUGGACCAGCGGAGGUGGGCCGAGGCGAUGUCAAGUUGGGCCAUCGAGGCUGGGGGCCACGCGUAGAGGAGGCCAGUGCCUUGUCUCUUUGAUCCAUCCCGAGUGGGACGAGCGAGUGGCGGCGCAGGGCAACGACAGCUGGCCGACGGCGGGGAUGCGGCGGGGCGGAGCAAAGCGGCGACACGGAUGCGGCGGCAUGCUAUGAAUGCGGCGGUGCGGCGCGGUUGCGGCGAGGCUCGUGGUGGCUCGCUGGCGGCAGCGCAGCCAUGCGCGCCUCGAGGCCGGCGAGUGCAGGGGCAAGGUGGAUCCGUCUGGAGGGAGCUCUAACUCCGGCAUUACUGGUAAUGCCGAUCUUCACUGUACUUUAUGUGGUAGUAUAAGUCGGUUGCCGUUGCAGUAUCUUCAUCGUCCGCACUUGCUUUAGUCCGAGUGUCAGGGCACGUCCGACUGAUCGAAGGUGGUCCGAAUGACUUUGAACAUCCGAGUGAGAACCUGGUGCCCGACUGAGCCCGAGAUUGUGCCGAUAGCUUUGAGGACAUUGAUGUCCAUGUGAAGCCUUGGGUUGGCCCUAAGAUUUAGGUCGGUGGCCCUGGCCCUAAUAUACAACCCCAUAAGUCGGUUCCAUCUUUCUUGCCGGCAUAUUCGGAAAAAAUUACUCACCAGUUUAAGCACCCGGUGGCUGCUCUCUCCAACACCUAAAGUUGUUGGGCGUCAUCGACCCAUGUGGCACAAGCGUGGAUGGUCAAGCACCCAUGGCGCCUGCUUAAUAGGAAUGACAUAUGCACCUUGUUUUUCAGAAGCCCAUCCAAAACGAACCUCAAAAUUAAACGUGCAUGACUUGAAGCAAUUUGAGGAUGAGUGGCUGACUCAAAAGUUAAUCCCGGAUGAGCACGUAUGAAAAAAAGUGUUUGAAAAAGAUUAGUAUUUUUCUACGAGGCCUGUCUAAUUCCUAGAUGACACACUACUAGUUUGGAAGAUAGGUUUCCAAUAAUCAACCCUUUUCUGCACAAAUCACUACCACCCAAGGGCAAUGCGUUGCCAAAUACUACCAGGUUGCAUUACCUGUAAGGACGUGAUUGAUUGCAAUUAGUACAUCCGUCACAGUUUAAAAGACACGCACGUGUAUCUAGGUCGUCAAUUUAACUUAUAUAAAAUCUAUUGUUUAAUAUAAAAAUUAUAUUAUUAGAAAAUAGAACAUCUAAAGCUUUUGAUGAUAUAUUUUUUUAUAAUAUAUGCUUAUCAUUAAGUUGGUCAAAUUGACGACCAAGAUACACGUGCCACACUUAUAUACUGAGAUGGAGAGAGUAUGUCCGGAAACGUUUCCAUUGGGUUGAUGUGGACGCCGGUUAUUUUCAGUGGGGGUGAACAUGACAUUUGGGCUUAAUAGGAAUGACAUACUUCUCAUAGCAAUAAGAUGCAUCUUCUUUUUCGAAAGUCCAUCCAAAAGGAACCUGAAAACUAAACGUGCAUGGCAUUGGUGCAGUCGGUCAGAGAUUGGUGGAUCAGCCGGUCCAACAUCGACAUGCCAAACCGAAAGGCACGGGCCUUCCUUACCAUGUUUAUAUCUUGGGUCGUCUAGAAUGAACGAAACGCUAGGGUCUUUCGCAACAAGUUCGCGUCGUCAACAACCUUGUUCAACAACAUCAAGAUAGAAGCUUGGCUUUGGGUCGUCGCUGGCGCAAAAAAAUUAGGCCACAUCAUUCCGGAAGAGUAACAUCUUUAUACUUGGCAUGUUUGUAACAAAAUAAUAUCCCCUCUCUUAUUCAAUAUAUGCAGCAAAUCUUUUGCCCGUCUUUAAAAAAUAAAUUAGACGUACAUGACUUGAAGUAAUUUGAGGAUGACUGGUUGACUCACAAGUUAACCCUGGAUGCACAUCGUGUGGAAAAAAAGUGACCGAAAAAGACUAAUAUUUUCCUUGGAGGUGUGUCAAAAUCCUAGAUGGCUUUGGUUCGGGCCUGACCAGCCCAUUAGUCCCGGUUCUUCACGAACCGGGACCCAUGGGGGCAUUAGUCCCGGUUCAUGAGCCCAGGGGGCCGGCCGGGGCCUCGUGGGCAUUGGUCCCGGUUCGUGUGGACCCAUUUGUCCCGGUUCUAGGCACGAACCGGGACCAAUGGGCCGCGCUCCUGGCCCACAUCCAUUGGUACCGGUUCAUGCCUUGAACCGAUUUUGAAGGGGGGCUUUAGCCCCGGUUUAUGCCACGAACCGGGACAAAUAAUUUGCCUAUAAAUCCUUCAUUAUUUCUGAAACAAAUAAAGUCUAUCUAUUCUAGAUACAAUUUUAAUUUAAAAUACGUGUAUGUGAAAAAAAGACUUUCGGUUCAUUUAGAUUUCAUAUUUAAGCUCAUAUAUACACAUCCUAUCUAGUAAUUAUUGUGUGUGCCUAGUAAACAUGCCACGCAGGCAACCCAAUUCCUAUGACAAUAUCAUUUGGUCGUAAUUGACCAGAAAUAUUUUCACAAACACUCCUACACAUUCUAAUGACCAUUUUGUGCAAUGGGGUUCUGACCUUUUGACAUGGAUGGUCAUAAAAUUCUAGGGUUUGGACCCUCCCACACCAUUUUGCAAAUUUUGGUCAUAGACCUAUGACCAAUUUAACCACGGUCAUUAUUUUUGGUCAAAAACAGACAUAUUUCUUGUAGUGCAAUUGGGUGUUCUAGCUUACGUCCUAUGCACAUGAGGUGUUCGAUGAAAUGCCCGAGCCACACUAGUUAAGUUUUAUCCUCUCGAAGCUCGACCUCGAAGCUCCAUUUUUCCCGAGAUUUGUCUAGAUUUAGCGGUCCGUCACGCCCCGUCCCCGUUUUCACCGCUGGGGCACGUCCAUGUGUACGUCUGCAAUGUCAUGUGCAGGCUCCUCCGCAGACAGUGAGGUAAGUCGAUUUGGUUUUUCGGUUGACAUUGGAUUUGGGGAUUUCUCAUCUGGGGUUUCGCGGGAUGGGCGUAAUAUGCGCCUUUUUGGCUCGUAGGUUGAUGGUUGUGGGAUUGUGCAGUUCCAAUCCGAAUUUUUCAUUCCCAAUCCAAGUUUCUACGGCCUUGAGGAGCGCUCGAAUCACCGUUGUCCGGGGCAUGGGCUAAUUCCUGCUCGCCGUGUUUAUUGGGGUGGAGCAAGCACGGGAAGAAGGUUUUUGGGUUGUCCACUCGAUGUAAUUCCUCAAAACAUCAUUUGGUACUCUGUUUUCAUCGAUUUAUUGCAAAGUUAUGAAUUUCACCUAAUUAUGUGAACUCUGAUUUAACAGCUUCCUGAUGAGUGUGAUUGGGUUGUUUGGAUUGACCCCCCUCCCACUGAGCUAGUGGGGCAAGCUUUUGAGGAGCUUCAUGUUGGCCGUGAACGUAGUUGGAUCAAAGCUAGUAGGAUGGAGAAGAAGGUUAUGGAUCCGAACAAUGAAAACAAGAAAAUGCAAUUGAAGUUGCAGAAAAGGAAUGAGCUCAUGGAAACAAUGGGUUUUCUCUUUGUUCUUGGCAUCAUCAUUGGGGCUAGUUUAGUUUCUAUUUGAUCUAAGCAAACCAAUUAAGUGGCAGUGUGUGUGUUAUGUUUCUGCUAGUGUGUUGUACCCUAGAUGUAAUUCUAUCAUUUGUGCACUGUUGUGAACUUGAACAAAUGUAAUGUUGUGCCCUAGAUGUAAUGGAUAUCAUGUGUUGUGUUAAAAUUGUCACCACUUCCAACUUGGAACCUUUUCAGAGUUCAUUUCAAAUGCUUUUCAAUUUUAUGGUCUUAUAGCUCAAAAUAAUCAGUAAAUGCAUGAAAAAUAACAAAUGAUGUCAGAAAGGGUUGUAAAUUGUUGAUGUGCCUUUGAAUGGUGCAUUUUGAACACACAAAAAGUAUGGAGUUCAAAUAAGUUCAAAAAAAAUGAAAUCCCUUUGUAAGAGAUAAGUUCUCGUUCGAAACCCUCCUACUUCGAGAGAGAUUGUUAGUUCUGUACACGAACUGCAUCCAGUUUUUGUCGUAGCCCCCUCAACUUUUUAACACAUGCUAUGUGGGUGAAAUGAUGAUAGCAUGCCAACUUUCAACAUUUUCAGAGUUCAUUUGUAGUGCUUUUCAAUUUCAGGGUCAACUAGCUCAAAAAAAAAAUAGUAAAUGCACGAAAUAUACCAAAUGAAGUCAGAAAUUGUUGAAAUUUUGUGAUGUGCCUUUGAAUGGUGCAUUUUGAACACACAAAAAGUAUGGAGUUCAAAUAAGUUCAAAAAAAUGAAAUCCCUUUGUAAGAGAUGAGUUCUCGUUCGAAACCGUGCUACUUCGAGAGAGAUUGUUAGUUUUGUACACGAACUGCAUCCAGUUUUUGUCGUAGCCCUCUCAACUUUUUAACACAUGCUAUGUGGGUGAAAUUAUGAUAGCAUGCCAACUUUCAACAUUUUCAGAAUUCAUUUGUAGUGCUUUUCAAUUUCAGGGUCAACUAGCUCAAAAAAAUAAGUAAAUGCACGAAAUAUACCAAAUGAAGUUAGAAAUUGUUGAAAUUUUGUGAUGUGCCUUUGAAUGGUGCAUUUUGAACACACAAAAAGUAUGGAGUUCAAAUAAGUUCAGAAAAAUGAAAUCCCUUUGUAAGAGAAGAGUUCUCGUUCGAAACCGUGCUACUUCGAGAGAGAUUGUCUGUUUUGUACACGAACUGCAUCCAGUUUUUGUCGUAGCCCUCUCAACUUUUUAACACAUGCUAUGUGGGUGAAAUGAUGAUAGCAUGCCAACUUUCAACAUUUUCAGACUUCAUUUGUAGUGCUUUUCAAUUUCAGGGUCAACUAGCUCAAAAAAAAUAAGUAAAUGCAUGAAAUAUACCAAAUUAAGUCAGAAAUUGUUGAAAUUUUGUGAUGUGCCUUUGAAUGGUGCAUUUCGAGCACACAAAAAGUAUGGAGUUCAAAUAAGUUCAAAAAAAAUGAAAUCCCUUNNNNNNNNNNNNNNNNNNNNNNNNNNNNNNNNNNNNNNNNNNNNNNNNNNNNNNNNNNNNNNNNNNNNNNNNNNNNNNNNNNNNNNNNNNNNNNNNNNNNACUUAUUUUUUUGUAGCUAGUUGACCCUGAAAUUGAAAAGCACUACAAAUGAAGUCUGAAAAUGUUGAAAGUUGGCAUGCUAUCAUCAUUUCACCCACAUAGCAUGUGUUAAAAAGUUGAGAGGGCUACGACAAAAACUGGAAGCAGUUCGGGUACAAAACUGACAAUCUCUCUCGAAGUAGCACGGUUUCGAACGAGAACUCAUCUCUUACAAAGGGAUUUCAUUUUUUUGAACUUAUUUGAACUCCAUACUUUUUGUGUGUUCAAAAUGCACCAUUCAAAGGCACAUCACAAAAUUUCAACAAUUUCUGACUUCAUUUGGUAUAUUUCGUGUAUUUACUUAUUUUUUUUGAGCUAGUUGAUGACCCUGAAAUUGAAAAGCACUACAAAUGAACUCUGAAAAUGUUGAAAGUUGGCAUGCUAUCAUCAUUUCACCCACAUAGCAUGUGUUAAAAAGUUGAGAGGGCUACGACAAAAACUGGAUGCAGUUCGUGUACAAAACCGACAAUCUCUCUCGAAGUAGCACGGUUUCGAACGAGAACUCAUCUCUUACAAAGGGAUUUCAUUUUUUUUAACUUAUUUGAACUCCAUANNNNNNNNNNNNNNNNNNNNNNNNNNNNNNNNNNNNNNNNNNNNNNNNNNNNNNNNNNNNNNNNNNNNNNNNNNNNNNNNNNNNNNNNNNNNNNNNNNNNGUGACUUCAUUUGGUAUAUUUCGUGCAUUUACUUUUUUUUUGAGCUAGUUGACCCUGAAAUUGAAAAGCACUACAAAUGAACUCUGAAAAUGUUGAAAGUUGGCAUGCUACCAUCAUUUCACCCACAUAGUAUCUGUUAAAAACUUGAGAGGGCUACGACAAAAACUGGAUGCAGUUCGUGUACAAAACUAACAAUCUCUCUCGAAGUAGCAGGGUUUCGAACGAGAACUUAUCUCUUACAAAGGGAUUUCAUUUUUUUUGAACUUAUUUGAACUCCAUACUUUUUGUGUGCUCGAAAUGCACCCUUCAAAGGCAAAUCACAAAAUUUCAACAAUUUCUGACUUCAUGUGGUAUAUUUCGUGCAUUUACUUAUUUUUUAAGCUAGUUGACCCUGAAAUUGAAAAGCACUACAAAUGAACUCUGAAAAUGUUGAAAGUUGGCAUGCUAUCAUAAUUUGACCCACAUAGCAUGUGUUAAAAAGUUGAGAGGGCUACGACAAAAACUCGAUGCAGUUCGUGUACAAAACUGACAAUCUCUCUCGAAGUAGCACGGUUUCGAACGAGAACUCAUCUCUUACAAAGGGAUUUCAUUUUUUUGAACUUAUUUGAACUCCAUACUUUUUGUGUGUUCAAAAUGCACCAUUCAAAGGCACAUCACAAAAUUUCAACCAUUUCUGACUUCAUUUGGUAUAUUUCAUGCAUUUACCUUUAUUUUUUGAGCUAGUUGACCCUGAAAUUGAAAAGCACUACAAAUGAACUCUGAAAAUGUUGAAAGUUGGCAUGCUAUCAUCAUUUCACCCACAUAGCAUGUGUUAAAAAGUUGAGGGGGCUACGACAAAAACUGGAUGCAGUUCGUGUACAAAACUAACAAUCUCUCUCGAAGUAGGAGGGUUUCGAACGAGAACUCAUCUCUUACAAAGGGAUUUCAUUUUUUUUGAACUUAUUUGAACUCCAUACUUUUUGUGUGUUCAAAAUGCACCAUUCAAAGGCACAUCACAAAAUUUCAACAAUUUCUGACUUCAUUUGGUAUAUUUCGUGCAUUUACUAUUUUUUUUGAGCUAGUUGACCCUGAAAUUGAAAAGCACUACAAAUGAACUCUGAAAAUGUUGACAGUUGGCAUGCUAUCAUCAUUUCACACACAUAGCAUGUGUUAAAAAGUUGAGGGGGCUACGACAAAAACUGGAUGCAGUUCGUGUACAGAACUAACAAUCUCUCUCGAAGUAGGAGGGUUUCGAACGAGAACUUAUCUCUUACAAAGGGAUUUCAUUUUUUUUGAACUUAUUUGAACUCCAUACAUUUUGUGUGUUCAAAAUGCACCAUUCAAAGGCACAUCACAAAAUUUCAACAAUUUCUGACUUCAUUUGGUAUAUUUCGUGCAUUUACUUUUUUUUUUUGAGCUAGUUGACCCUGAAAUUGAAAAGCACUACAAAUGAACUCUGAAAAUGUUGAAAGUUGGCAUGCUAUCAUCAUUUCACCCACAUAGCAUGUGUUAAAAAGUUGAGGGGGCUACGACAAAAACUGGAUGCAGUUCGUGUACAAAACUAACAAUCUCUCUCGAAGUAGGAGGGUUUCGAACGAGAACUUAUCUCUUACAAAGGGAUUUCAUUUUUUUGAACUUAUUUGAACUCCAUACUUUUUGUGUGUUCAAAAUGCACCAUUCAAAGGCACAUCACAAAAUUUCAACAAUUUCUGACUUCAUUUGGUAUAUUUCGUGCAUUUACUAUUUUUUUUGAGCUAGUUGACCCUGAAAUUGAAAAGCACUACAAAUGAACUCUGAAAAUGUUGACAGUUGGCAUGCUAUCAUCAUUUCACACACAUANNNNNNNNNNNNNNNNNNNNNNNNNNNNNNNNNNNNNNNNNNNNNNNNNNNNNNNNNNNNNNNNNNNNNNNNNNNNNNNNNNNNNNNNNNNNNNNNNNNNCAGAACUAACAAUCUCUCUCGAAGUAGGAGGGUUUCGAACGAGAACUUAUCUCUUACAAAGGGAUUUCAUUUUUUUUGAACUUAUUUGAACUCCAUACAUUUUGUGUGUUCAAAAUGCACCAUUCAAAGGCACAUCACAAAAUUUCAACAAUUUCUGACUUCAUUUGGUAUAUUUCGUGCAUUUACUUAUUUUUUUGAGCUAGUUGACCCUGAAAUUGAAAAGCACUACAAAUGAACUCUGAAAAUGUUGAAAGUUGGCAUGCUAUCAUCAUUUCACCCACAUAGCAUGUGUUAAAAAGUUGAGAGGGCUACGACAAAAACUGGGUGCAGUUCGUGUACAAAACUGACAAUCUCUCUCGAAGUAGCAGGGUUUCGAACGAGAAGUCAUCUCUUACAAAGGGAUUUCAUUUUUUUUGAACUUAUUUGAACUCCAUACUUUUUGUGUGUUCAAAAUGCACCAUUCGAAGGCACAUCACAAAAUGGACAAUCUCUCUCGAAGUAGAAGCGACCCCCACAAUAAGAGACGACAUUCUUCUUCUCUCAUAUAUGGUGGACACUAGCUCACCUGAUUUUCCAACCGUCGAUGAUGGUCGCUUACUUCCCCUAGUGCAUAACCAAUAUCUAGCACAAGGAGAAGAAGGAGAAGAGACCCCCACAACAAAAGUGGUUCCGCGGCACGCCACGUGGUUCCGCUGCACGCCACGUGGGACUAAUGGUCUUUCAUUUUUAAAUGAUUGUUUUAAUAAAAAAGAGAUCUGUUACAAAAGGGAUUUCAUUUUUUGAACUUAUUUGAACUGAAGACUUUUUGUAUAUAUAUGUGGUCGAAAUGCAUGAUACCAUGAAGUUAGAAAGGGCUAAACCAUUCAAAAGUAGCAAAUGAAGUUAGAAAGGGCUAAACCAUUCAAAUUUGGAAACUAUAGUGGCAUAAACAGAAACUAGACAUAUAUAAAUUGGUCCAAGAAGUACAUGAUAAUAGUCCAAACAAUACAUAAUAAUAGCUACCAUAGAUAUAUAUACAAGUGUUCGACGUUAAGAACACUACUCGUCUGAAUCAUCUAAAUCAUAAUGUCCACGUUCCUCGAGGUGACGCUGGCCAUAGUUGACGACUCGAAUCUUGCGGUACAACUCGUAUGAAACGUAUGCAUCUUUUGUUGCAUACUCAAUGUUGAUAUCAUCAAGUGGGCCCUUCUCCCAAAGUCUGUGCUGAGACUUUGGGAAACUGGUCUUCAUAUCACCAUAUGACUCGUCGAUCAAGGCAACUGCCAUAUGAGCCAUCGAAGUCCUGUCAUGUCGAAGCCUGAAUAUCGUUUGGAGAUCAAGGAGGCAACCAGCUGGUAUCUCAAUACCGAAGCUAUGCCUCAUCUUCAACUUGUCGUUCCUUAUGUCAACGGAAGCAAAAGUGACGCCGCUGCGAAGGAACUCCAUGAGUUCUGGACAAUGCUUGUCACUCCUGCAACAGAAACAAAUUAAAAUGGAACAAAUGUUACAUACUGCUGCAAUAAGGAAACAUGUUUCACUACAACUAAAGAGAAACUUAUCUUUAGGAUUCAAAUAGAACAUAUGCAAUGGAACCUAGAGAGAUCACUAUAGCUAUCCAAUGGAACCUAGAGAGAUCACUAGCUAUAUGCAAUUUUCAUGACUAUGACAUAUCAUAUUGCUAUCCAAUGGAACCUAGAGAGAUCACUAGCUAUAUUCAAUUUUCAUAACCUUGGAUCAAAGAACACCGCAUAAAAUUGUAUCACUACAACUAUGAUUUCAAUGGAACAUAUUGAACCAAUCAGAUUUUUCAAAUUAUGGAACACUAUUCCAAUCAGAUUGUGUUUCCUUCAACUAAUCAAAAUUGUUUCACUACAACUAUUUGAAGCGAACCAACUAUGAUUCCAAUGGAACAUAUUAAACACUAGUUGAUUCUAAUACGAUUUUUCAUAUUAUGGAACACUAUUCCAAUGAGAUUGUGCUCCCCUUCAACUAAUCAAAAUUGUUUCACUACAACUAUUUGAAGGGAACCAACUAUGGUUCCAAUGGAACAUAUUAAACACUAGUUGAUUCUAAUACGAUUUUUCAGAUUAUGUAACACUAUUCCAAUUAGAUUGUGCUCCCCUUCAACUAAUCAAAAUUGUUUCACUACAACUAUUUGAAGGGAACCAACUAUGAUUGAAACAAAUAAANNNNNNNNNNNNNNNNNNNNNNNNNNNNNNNNNNNNNNNNNNNNNNNNNNNNNNNNNNNNNNNNNNNNNNNNNNNNNNNNNNNNNNNNNNNNNNNNNNNNAGUACCACCUCGCCCAGCGAGGGGGACAAACACUUGUUUAUAAGCCCCGUCGCAGCUUGUCCAUCGAGCUCCUCUCUAAAGCAGGUUUACGGGCCUAAACUUACUGAAAAUUGAAACUAUAUUCGAAAUUGUGGAUAAAAUUAAAUCUGAAUUCAAAGUGAAUUCAGGUCGAAUUUUGUCCAUGAUUUCUCAUAUAGUUUCAAUUUUUUUCUAUUUUCAAAACUAAUUAUUUUGACUAUCCAAAAUAUUAACUUAUUUUGUUAUUUUCAAUUAAAAACUAUGUUUAUUAAAAAUUCUUUUUGCAUAUUUGAGAAUUUGACAAAACUAUGUUAAUGAAAAGUGUUUGAAAUUGAAUAAAUAAUUCAAAACUAUUUUCUAUUUUCAUAAUUAAUAAUUUUGACUAUCAAAACUAUUAUCUAUUUUGUUAUUUUCAAUUAAAAACUAUGUUUAUUAAAAAUUCUUUUUGCAUAUUUGAGAAUUUGACAAAACUAUGAUAAUGAAAAGUGUUUCAAAUUGAAUAAAUAAUGCAAAACUAUUUUUUAUUUUCAUAAUUAAUAAUUUUGACUAUCCAAACUAUUAUCUAUUUUUUUAUUUUCAAUUAAAAACUAUGUUUAUUAAAAAAUUCUUUUUGCAUAUUUGAGAAUUUCACAAAACUAUGAUAAUGAAAAGUGUUUCAAAUUGAACAAAUAAUGCAAAACUAUUUUUUAUUUUCAUAAUUAAUAAUUUUGACUAUCCAAACUAUUAUCUCUCGAAGUAGCAGGGUUUUGAACGAGAACUCAUCUCUUACAAAUGGAUUUCAUUUUUUGAACUUAUUUGAACUCCAUACUUUUUGUGUGUUUAAAAUGCACCAUUCAAAGGCACAUCAGAAAAUUUCAACAAUUUCUGACUUCAUUUGGUAUUCUUUGUGCAUUUACUUAUUUGUUUUGAGCUAGUUGACCCUGAAAUUGAAAAGCACUACAAAUGAACUCUGAAAAUGUUGAAAGUUGGCAUGCUAUCAUCAUUUUACCCACAUAGCAUGUGUUAAAAAGUUGAGAGGGCUACGACAAAAACUAGAUGCAGUUCAUGUACAAAACUAAAAAUCUCUCUCGAAGUAGCAGGGUUUCGAACGAGAACUCAUCUCUUACAAAGGGAUUACAUUUUUUAGAACUUAUUUGAACUCCAUACUUUUUGUGUGUUCAAAAUGCACCAUUCAAAGGCACAUCACAAAAUUUCAACAAUUUCUGACUUCAUUUGCUAUAUUUCGUGCAUUUACUUAUUUUUUUGAGCUAGUUGACCCUGAAAUUGAAAAGCACUACAAAUGAACUCUGAAAAUGUUGAAAGUUGGCAUGCUAUCAUCAUUUCACCCACAUAGCAUGUGUUAAAAAGUUGAGAGGGCUACGACAAAAACUGGAUGCAGUUCGUGUACAAAACUGACAAUCUCUCUCGAAGUAGGAGGGUUUCGAACGAGAACUCAUCUCUUACAAAUGGAUUUCUUUUUUUUGAACUUAUUUGAACUCCAUACUUUUUGUGUGUUCAAAAUGCACCAUUCAAAGGCACAUAACAAAAUUUCAACAAUUUCAGACUUCAUUUGGUAUUCUUCGUGCAUUUACUUAUUUUUUUUGAGCUAGUUGACCCUGAAAUUGAAAAGCACUACAAAUGAACUCUGAAAAUGUUGAAAGUUGGCAUGAUAUCAUCAUUUCACCCACAUAGCAUGUGUUAAAAAGUUGAGAGGGCUACGACAAAAACUGGAUGCAGUUCGUGUUCAAAACUAGACAAUCUCUUUCGAAGUAGNNNNNNNNNNNNNNNNNNNNNNNNNNNNNNNNNNNNNNNNNNNNNNNNNNNNNNNNNNNNNNNNNNNNNNNNNNNNNNNNNNNNNNNNNNNNNNNNNNNNUAGCACGGUUUCGAACGAGAACUCAUCUCUUACAAAGGGAUUUCAUUUUUUUUGAACUUAUUUGAACUCCAUACUUUUUGUGUGUUCAAAAUGCGACCAKUCAAAGGGCACAUCACCAAAUUUCAACAACUUUUCUYGACUUAAUUUGGUAUAUUUCGUUGCAUUUACUUAUUGUUUUUGAGCUAGUUGACCCUGAAAUUGAAAAGCACUACAAAUGAACUCUGAAAAUGUUGAAAGUUGUCAUGGUAUAAUCAUUUCACCCACAUAGCAUGUGUUAAAAAGUUGAGAGGGCUACGACAAAUACUGGAUGCAGUUCGUGUACAAAACUGACAAUCUCUCUCGAAGUAGCACGGUUUCGACCGAGAACUCAUCUCUUACAAAGGGAUUUCAUUUUUUUGAACUUAUUUGAACUCCAUACUUUUUGUGUGUUAACAAUGCACCAUUCCAAGGCACAUCACAAAAUUUCAACAAUUUCUGACUUAAUUUGGUAUAUUUCGUGCAUUUACUUAUUUUUUUUGAGCUAGUUGACCCUGAAAUUGAAAAACACUACAAAUGAACUCUGAAAAUGUUGAAAGUUGGCAUGCUAUCUUCAUUUCACCCACAUAGCAUGUGUUAAAAACUUGAGAGGGCUACGACAAAAACUGGAUGCAGUUCGUGUACAAAACUAACAGGCUCUCUCGAAGUAGGAGGGUUUCGAACGAGAACUCAUCUCUUAUAAAGGGAUUUCAUUUUUUUUGAACUUAUUUGAACUCCAUACUUUUUGUGUGCUCGAAAUGCACCAUUCAAAGGCACAUCAANNNNNNNNNNNNNNNNNNNNNNNNNNNNNNNNNNNNNNNNNNNNNNNNNNNNNNNNNNNNNNNNNNNNNNNNNNNNNNNNNNNNNNNNNNNNNNNNNNNNUGAGAGGGCUACGACAAAAACUGGAUGCAGUUCGUGUACAAAACUGACAAUCUCUCUCGAAGUAGCAGGGUUUCGAACGAGAACUCAUCUCUUACAAAGGGAUUUCAUUUUUUUGAACUUAUUUGAACUCCAUACUUUUUGUGUGUUMMAAAUGCACCAUUCHAAGGCACAUCACAAAAUUUCAACAAUUUCUGACUUCAUUUGGUAUAUUUCGUGCAUUUACUUAUUUUUUUGAGCUAGUUGACCCUGAAAUUGAAAAGCACUACAAAUGAACUCUGAAAAUGUUGAAAGUUGGCAUGCUAUCAUCAUUUCACCCACAUAGCAUGUGUUAAAAAGUUGAGAGGGCUACGACAAAAACUGGAUGCAGUUCGUGUUCAAAACUGACAAUCUCUUUCGAAGUAGCACGGUUUCGAACGAGAACUCAUCUCUUACAAAGGGAUUUCAUUUUUUUGAACUUAUUUGAACUCCAUACUUUUUGUGUGUUCAAAAUGCACCAUUCAAAGGCACAUCACCAAAUUUCAACUAAUUUCUGACUUAAUUUGGUAUANNNNNNNNNNNNNNNNNNNNNNNNNNNNNNNNNNNNNNNNNNNNNNNNNNNNNNNNNNNNNNNNNNNNNNNNNNNNNNNNNNNNNNNNNNNNNNNNNNNNCGAUCCAGGAAUCGUCGUAGAAGUGACGACGAUUUCGAUCAAAACGUCGGUGCUGUUCAUUUCUGACGCUCCGUUUUCGACGCUUGGUUUUUCGUCGUGAGAUCGUCGUAAACUAAAAACCGUGACGAUGUAGCGACAAAAAUAUAGCGUCGUGUAUUAGCAUAUUCCUUGUAGUGGUGCCUUUGAAUGAUKCAUUUUGAACACACAAAAAGUAUGGAGUUCAAAUAAGUUCAAAAAAAUGAAAUCCCUUUGUAAGAGAUGAGUUCUCGUUCGAAACCGUGCUACUUCGAGAGAGAUUGUCUGUUUUGUACACGAACUGCAUCCAGUUUUUGUCGUUGCCCUCUCAACUUUUUAACACAUGCUAUUUGGGUGAAAUGAURAUAGCAUGCCAACUUUCAWCAUUUUCAGAGUUCAUUUGUAGUGCUUUUCAAUUUCAGGGUCAACUAGCUCAAAAAAAAAGUAAAUGCACGAAAUAUACCAAAUGAAGUCAGAAAUUGUUGAAAUUUUGUGAUGUGCCUUUGAAUGGUGCAUUUUGAACACACAAAAWGUAUGGAGUUCAAAUAAGUUCAAAAAAAUGAAAUCCCUUUGUAAGAGAUGAGUUCUCGUUCGAAACCCUCCUACUUCGAGAGAGAUUGUUAGUUUUGUACNNNNNNNNNNNNNNNNNNNNNNNNNNNNNNNNNNNNNNNNNNNNNNNNNNNNNNNNNNNNNNNNNNNNNNNNNNNNNNNNNNNNNNNNNNNNNNNNNNNNUUUUUGUCGUAGCCCUCUCAACUUUUUAACACAUUCUAUGUGGGUGAAAUGAUGAUAGCAUGCCAACUUUCAACAUUUUCAGAGUUCAUUUGUAGUGCUUUUCAAUUUCAGGGUCAUCAACUAGCUCAAAAAAAUAAGUAAAUACACGAAAUAUACCAAAUGAAGUCAGAAACUUUGGUUCGAAAUUUCGUGAUGGUGCCUUUGAAUGGUGCAUUUUGAACACASAAAAASUAUGGAGUUCAAAUAAGUUCAAAAAAAUGAAAUCCCUUUGUAACAGACGAGUUUCUGAAUGAAACCCUCAUACUUCAAAAGAGGUUGUCCGUUUUGUACACGAAGUGCAUACAGUUUUUGUCGUAACCCUCUCAACUUUCUCGCACAUGCUAUGUGGUGAAAUGAUGAUACCAUUCUAACUUGGAACCUUUUCAGAGUUCAUUUCAAAUGCUUUUCAAUUUCAUGGUCUUAUAGCUCAAAAUAAUCAGUAAAUGCAUGAAUUUUGUUACAAACUUUAAUAGANNNNNNNNNNNNNNNNNNNNNNNNNNNNNNNNNNNNNNNNNNNNNNNNNNNNNNNNNNNNNNNNNNNNNNNNNNNNNNNNNNNNNNNNNNNNNNNNNNNNCUCGUCUAGAAGAAUAUUAUUAGCUUUAAGGUCCCUGUGGAUUAUCCUUGGGAUUGAGUCCUCGUGAAGAUACAGUAUUCCCUUGGCAAUUCCAAGAAUGAUGUUGUACCGUUGCUCCCAGUUUAGAGUAUUUUCCUCACUAGCAUCUGUUGCCAAAAAGAAUGAUGUUCAAUUUACAUACUAGCUGAUGCCGAAAGAUUUUCAGAGUUCAUUUGUAGUGCUUUUCAAUUUCAGGGUCAACUAGCUCAAAAAAAUAAGUAAAUGCACGAAAUAUACCAAAUGAAGUCAGAAAUUGUUGAAAGUUUGUGAUGUGCCUUUGAAUGAUGCAUUUUGAACACACAAAAAGUAUGGAGUUCAAAUAAGUUCAAAAAAAUGAAAUCCCUUUGUAAGAGAUGAGUUCUCGUUCGAAACCGUGCUACUUCGAGAGAGAUUGUCAGUUUUGUAAACGAACUGCAUCCAGUUUUUGUCGUAGCCCUCUAAACUUUUUAACACAUGCUAUGUGGGUGAAAUUAUGAUAGCAUGCCAACUUUCAACAUUUUCAGAGUUCAUUUGUAGUGCUUUUCAAUUUCAGGGUCAACUAGCUCAAAAAAUAAGUAAAUGCAUGAAAUAUACCAAAUGAAGUCAGAAAUGGUUGAAAUUUUGUGAUGUGCCUUUGAAUGGUGCAUUUUGAACACACAAAAAGUAUGGAGUUCAAAUACGUUCAAAAAAAUGAAAUCCCUUUGUAAGAGAUGAGUUCUCGUUCGAAACCCUCCUACUUCGAGAGAGAUUGUUAGUUUUGUACACGAACUGCAUNNNNNNNNNNNNNNNNNNNNNNNNNNNNNNNNNNNNNNNNNNNNNNNNNNNNNNNNNNNNNNNNNNNNNNNNNNNNNNNNNNNNNNNNNNNNNNNNNNNNAAGAGGAGGAAUUUUGCUAUUGUAUAGUGUAUAUGCUUAAGUGUUAAUAGUGUUUCUUAGAUUAUUGCUUAAUUUUGCUACUGUAUAUGCUUAAGUGUUAAUAGUUUAAUCUUGCUAUUGUAUAUGCUUNNNNNNNNNNNNNNNNNNNNNNNNNNNNNNNNNNNNNNNNNNNNNNNNNNNNNNNNNNNNNNNNNNNNNNNNNNNNNNNNNNNNNNNNNNNNNNNNNNNNNNNNNNNNNNNNNNNNNNNNNNNNNNNNNNNNNNNNNNNNNNNNNNNNNNNNNNNNNNNNNNNNNNNNNNNNNNNNNNNNNNNNNNNNNNNNNNNNNNNNNNNNNNNNNNNNNNNNNNNNNNNNNNNNNNNNNNNNNNNNNNNNNNNNNNNNNNNNNNNNNNNNNNNNNNNNNNNNNNNNNNNNNNNNNNNNNNNNNNNNNNNNNNNNNNNNNNNNNNNNNNNNNNNNNNNNNNNNNNNCCUGCUUGAUCAGAGGGGCCCUGUCCGGGACUGGGCUCCGCCCGGCUGGUAUUAGGAGGUGCUACCUUCCGGGGGGCGUAGGUUGGUGCGGAGCCAGUCCGUCGUUGACCCGAUCCUUGUUUGGUGGCGGUCGCGUGGGCCAGUGAGGGUGUCGAGGCUUCCGGACUCCGCGGAGGUGGUACGUCACCGUGUCAGCGAGGAGGAUGAGCACGUCCGUCGCUACAUGGUUGCGUUGGAGGGCAGGUUCGAGCAUACCUGGCAGGUUCUUCGGGGAUCUCACUGGAGCUAUGAUCCUGUGAUGGUUCCUUCUCUUUGGGUGUCCACCGCCCGCGCCGAUACCCGUCGGGCGUUACGGUUCUAGAUGUAUUAGUGAUGCUAUAUGUAUGAUAGUAUUCGAGGAGUAUUAGUGAUAAUAUUCGACGAUGUACGGACAAAAGUGAUGAUGUAUUAGCUUCUAAUUGAAUGCAUGCUAAUUUGAAUACUACUUUAUUUUACAAUUUGGUUUUGCUUAUUGAAUGCUCAAAUUGGAAAAGUACUCCUACUUUGAAUACUAUGCAGAAAUCUAGGAGCCUCAAAUUGGAAAAGUACUCCUACUUUGGUUUUUGGUACAAAGGUUAAGAGAAUCCGUUUUUUGCAGAACUAUGGAUCCACAUAUCAGGAACCUCGAAGAGGAAGAACUUCUGGAAGAUAUAAUCAAAGACGGCCCCGACGUUGAACCAGCUGAAUCUCCGUUGUCAUAUCUAAACCAGGACGUUGUAAUGGAGGUCGAGCGACACGAAGAUGAAGCCGAUGGGGCAGGAGAUAGGUCCAAUGACGGAGAAGGUGAUAGCUCCACUGAUGGAGAAGCCGGUGAAGAGGAGAAGUCCGGCGAGGUAUACAUAUGAAGUUCGACAAUCACUUGUAAUAUGUGAAAAAUAUUGGAGAUAGCUCUAUAUUGCAUACAUAUACAUUCAUUUGACGUAUGUUUCUCCCUCUUAGGCCUCCACAUCGAGCAAAACUACGGAACGAGGCCCGACUAGAAAGUUGGAUGCACUGACGCAUUACACAUUUGAGGUGAUAUUUCCUACGGGCGAACCCAAGCUUCCUAAGAAUGCUGCUGACACAUUCAAGAAGCAAUGCGGAGUUCUCGUUANNNNNNNNNNNNNNNNNNNNNNNNNNNNNNNNNNNNNNNNNNNNNNNNNNNNNNNNNNNNNNNNNNNNNNNNNNNNNNNNNNNNNNNNNNNNNNNNNNNNNNNNNNNNNNNNNNNNNNNNNNNNNNNNNNNNNNNNNNNNNNNNNNNNNNNNNNNNNNNNNNNNNNNNNNNNNNNNNNNNNNNNNNNNNNNNNNNNNNNNNNNNNNNNNNNNNNNNNNNNNNNNNNNNNNNNNNNNNNNNNNNNNNNNNNNNNNNNNNNNNNNNNNNNNNNNNNNNNNNNNNNNNNNNNNNNNNNNNNNNNNNNNNNNNNNNNNNNNNNNNNNNNNNNNNNNNNNNNNNNNNNNNNNNNNNNNNNNNNNNNNNNNNNNNNNNNNNNNNNNNNNCUAUGUCGCCGAAAGGUAGAAAGAUAAUCUUUGGAAUGAUCUCAUGUCNNNNNNNNNNNNNNNNNNNNNNNNNNNNNNNNNNNNNNNNNNNNNNNNNNNNNNNNNNNNNNNNNNNNNNNNNNNNNNNNNNNNNNNNNNNNNNNNNNNNCCCCCCCCCCCCCUCUCAAAAGUACACCCAAAUAAAUACGGUUUUAUCACGGUAUCUUUCAGCGGUGUUUUUGGCUUCAUGGCCAAAAUUUGCCGAAUUGUUUUUCAGUUUUUAAUGUGAAUCUCCAUAGAAGGCUGAUGGAUCUGUUGCCAAAAUUUGGCACCAACAUUAGCAAUCCCAAAAUUUGGCGAAGUUUGACACUGGUUUGUUGUCAAUCACUAUGGCAACUCGUUGGCAAGGCAAAUGUUAGCACGGUGAAGAUUAAAACUCACCUCCUGUGGAGGCCGGCGGCGGCGNNNNNNNNNNNNNNNNNNNNNNNNNNNNNNNNNNNNNNNNNNNNNNNNNNNNNNNNNNNNNNNNNNNNNNNNNNNNNNNNNNNNNNNNNNNNNNNNNNNNNNNNNNNNNNNNNNNNNNNNNNNNNNNNNNNNNNNNNNNNNNNNNNNNNNNNNNNNNNNNNNNNNNNNNNNNNNNNNNNNNNNNNNNNNNNNNNNNNNNNNNNNNNNNNNNNNNNNNNNNNNNNNNNNNNNNNNNNNNNNNNNNNNNNNNNNNNNNNNNNNNNNNNNNNNNNNNNNNNNNNNNNNNNNNNNNNNNNNNNUGGAGGCCGGCGGCGGCGGCGCCGUUGUCAAAACCGUGGUUACGGCAACAGGUGCAGGUGCAGGCGCAGGCGCUAGUGCUUCGUUGCCCGGUGGUGAUGGUGCUGGCAGCCGCACCAUGACAGGUCCAUCAAAGAAGGAAUAGGUCUGGUACCGGAAGCUGCACCUGACCUGAAAAGCUCGGGCCCCUGUGCUGUCCACGAACCACUUCGGCAACAGCACCAUCAUCUUGUCGAGGCACCGCCGGCACUGCAGCGCGGUCAGGUCCGGCGUGCACUGCGCCCAGCUG
Molecule: long non-coding RNA, 113771 nt
Filed under: Hordeum vulgare
Lineage: Eukaryota; Viridiplantae; Streptophyta; Magnoliopsida; Poales; Poaceae
Description: long non-coding RNA (HVUL_LNC002425)
Source: RNAcentral